CAAGUAGAAGUUUAUUCUUUUUUGUAUCAGUUUUUGAUAGGGCAAAUUGCAAGUGCACGAUUAUGUCGUCAAAUAAUAAAAUAUCGAUCUCACAAGGACUGGGAAACUCCUUUAAUUAUAGAAAUUGAUUUAUAUUUAACUCAAAUAAGGAAUAAAAUUGAAUUUAGAACAAUUGUCAAGAAUAAUUAUGAAAAUAAUCAAAAGAGAUUAAAUCUAAUUUAGGAAGAGUUCUCAGGAAAAGGGUUACCGCCUUUACACUCGCAAAUCCUUGUUUUGCUCAUUUUCAUGAACUUUAAGUUGUGAGUGUGAAUUGCUCUUUAAUAUGUGUCAUCCUCUCUCGAGCUCUGGAAAGUGUUCUCAAUUGAAGUCGCACCUACUCUUGUGGUACGAUUAUCAAUCAAAUCCUUUACUUGGAUCGUUCUAUCCAAUCAUUUCGUAGAAACCCAAGGUGAAUUCCAUAAACCGCCGAGAAUCCUAAUAUUACUCUCGUGAAUUAGGAUUCUAAUUUGAAUAACUGAAUGGUCGGAUAGUUGGGUUCACCUCUCGGUCUUGAGGUGUAAUUUGUUGGCCAGACAACUCACACGAAUAAAACUCAGUUUAAUGAUUCAAAUCACAACACUCAAUAAAAUAGAAGUUAGAACAAGUAUUUAUUGAAUGUAAAAGGGCAUGGCCCCAAUCCUAGAAACAAAUGGAAUUACUCACUCAUGAUGUAAUAGAGAAUCCCAAAUUCUAAAUUAGAGAAUUGUAAAGUAAAGAAUGUAAAAUCAUUGAGGGAGAACCCCUAUUUGUCCUAAUUACAAAAUAUUGGGUUAAGCCCGACAAAAACAAAUCUAAUUCAUCCAAUCUCUACUCUGUUUUGCUUUAAUUCAUCCAAACUACACAAUAUAGCUAAAAUCACCCGCUCAAGCCAAACAAAGAGAAAUAAAGGCUAAAAACAAUCCUAAAGUCCUAAUUAUGUCCUAAAAUGUAAGUUAAAUGCAAUGUAAAUGUAGUAUAAUAUCACACUUAUCAAAUCUCCCCAAGCUUAUCUUUUGUUUGUCCUCAAGCAAGUAUUAUGUCUACCUUUCACAAUCAUGUAUGAAUGAUGAUAUAGAAACUAUGACCCAAAAUAAUAAGCAAUCUCAUGUUUAUUUUGAAACAAUCCAGGCAUCAAGAUAAGACAAUCAUAAACAAAUUUAAUUCAAGCUAAGUCCUUAAUUCAUAACAAUUGCAUGAAUUAGGAUCACUCUUCUCUCAUCACUCCCAUGUGUUUAAAGGUUAUAGUGUUUCGCUCAAAAAAUUUAAUGAAAGUAAAUUACCAUAGGCUUGAUUAUAGAGCAAAUCGACACUAACUAUAUUUGAAUGCAUAAAAAAUCAAGAGGUCUUUAAAUGGUUGCAAUGGGGCUUAGGUGAAUGAUUUAAGAUGAGACAAUCAAAGAAAUGAUAAUUCAAAAGACUUACAAAUAUUUCCCAAAAUACUUAAACAUUUAGACAUCUGAUUGAAGCAUUGAGAUUAUCUUGAUAGGCCUUACUUUAUCAUAUGAUCUUUUUUUAAUCAACUUGUUUCCUUACAAGACACUUUUUUUUCAGUCCCUUAUCUUUUAGUAUACUUUGUAGUUCUUCUUUUUUUCUUCUUUUUUUUCCAUUUUUUUGUUGAGAUUUUCUAAAAGAGAAGUGAUGAAAUUUAUUUAUUUAUUUUCUUCUUCACCUUUUUAUAGAUUCUUUCAUCAUAAAUGACAUUUUUACAUUUCUCAUUGCUUCAACCAAACAUCAUCAGUUACCUCAAACCCUCAUUUGAGUAGCUAUGAAAAAUCAUCUAAGUUUAGGCUCAAAAGUGGAUAACUAAUGAGUUUUUGAUGUUUAUAACAAGCGGUUGAAGGUCAAAAGAAAAAGUUCUAAUUACCUUUAUCAUUUUAAUGCAUACAGAUAGACUUCAAUCUUGAAACGGCCACAAAUCAAGUUCUAGAAUAUACAAUCAUAGAAAAUUAUGCACUCAUGAAAGAAAAAAGGUUUUAUGUAAUUGUCAAUUCAAAUUAUAACACUUAUUGUGUUUAGCCCAAGAUUCUCACAUUUGGUAUAUUCGACAAAAGUUAUGAAACAAAGACAUUUAUUUAACCAAAUUUAAUUCACAAUUGUCAAAUAUAAUGUCUUUCAUGUUAUUAUUCUUUCAGCAAAUUUUUUCUUCAAUGAUGGUCAUAGAUCAACAAUCAUCAUUCAUGCAUAUUUUUUUCAUUUAAAGCAGAUAGACAACACAUAGAAUAAAUCAGGAGAUAGAUGAUAUAUGAGACAUAUGAUAUGCAUGAUAAUAUUAAUAUUCAACCUAAAAAUUUUAAAAUCUAUAUGGUAUACAUGAAAUGAAUGAACUAUCUAAAUGCAAAACUCUCUCAAGCUUAGACUUUUACAUUGUCCCCAAUGUAAAAAUCUAAACAAUAAGAGAAAGAAAAAGAAAAAUCCCGGAUUAGGUAAGAAGUGUCAUUAACUCAUGUGUCAAUUAUAAGUAGUUGGCUUCAUUGGGUGUAGUGGAAGUACCUGCAAAAGAAGAGAAAAAUGUCUCAAAUAGCCAUAUGUCCUAGAUGGACUAGGAGCAAAUAUCUUGAGAAGUAACAUCAUUUUUUUUUGCCGACACUAUAUACAUCCUCCUACAAAGGCUCCAAACUCAGGGAGACACUAAAGCUGACACUAAAACACUAAAAUUAAUGAAUCUAAAAAUUUACCUCUAACAUGAGUUUCCUCCCACGAAGCGUUCAUUUAACGUCAUUAGCUUGACGGUUGAUCUUUGUAGCUCAUGUAGGAUUCAAGAUGGCUAUGUUUGUUUUUUCUCCAGUCGCCCAUCUUCUAGAUAAUGCUUCUCGAGAAGCAAAUAAUCGAGGUAGACUCUCGAGAACAUAAUCAGCAACGAUAGUUAAAUUCUGAAUGUCCUUUAAUGCAAGAUAAUCGACGACAGAAUCAAUAGUGGGUGCACCGAUUUCUUCAAGUUCGUCACUGGUGCAUUCGAACUUGAGGACAUCGAUUUCGGAGUCAGAAUUUCUAUUGGCAAGAAAAUUAAGAACGAAAUCUUGGAAAAUAAAAUCAUGAUCAAAAGAAGAGCUAUGAAAGUUAAGAAAAGGGAGUGAAAUCCAAAUAUUCUUCCAUCAAUGAGCGAGAACAUUGGUUUGAACAACAUUUUUUGCUUCAACGAAGGAAAGAAUACGGUGAAUGAGUUCAUGAGGUAAAUAGCUCAGUUUGUCUUCUCCCUUCUUCUUGAUUCUGCUUAUACCCCUGCUUGAGUUCUUCCAUAUUCUUCUAUUCAUCAUGUUUAGAUGCAUUUUAUUAUUGUGUAUAUCUCUUGUCGAUUUUCUUAUCGGUUUCUUUGGUAUAGUUUAAUUUAUAUAGGUCUUGGUUCCAAUUGAAAUUAAUAUGAAUGUCUAUGUAGAUAAUAAUUAUACGUUAAAGGUAAGUGUAAGUGUCAUGUGUAAUUAUGGUAAUGUAAUAAAUGAAAAUAAUUUUAUAUAUCUCUUAUCGAUAUUUUUAUUGGGGUUCGCUAAUAUAAUUUAAUUUAUAUAGGUCUUGGUUCAAACGGAAAUUAAUAUGAAUGUCUAUGUAGAGGACAAUUAUAUGUUAUAGGUCAAGUGUAAGUGUCAUAUCUAAUUAUGGUAAUAUAAUAAAUAAGAAUAAUUAUUGUUACGGGAAAUAAGAACAAUUAAUAAAAAUGUAUAAUCAAAAUUAAAAGAUAAUCUAACAAAUGUUGGUAUAGUGGCAUAAAGUUUUACUAGAUAUCCAAGAUGACUAAAAAUCAAAGUUUGAUUCUUGAGAAUGACAUUUAUUGAAAUUAUCAAUCAUACAAUCCAAGAGAAAUUAGUUUCGUACCCAUAUAAUGAAGAACAUGUACUAAAAAUUAAAAAAAUAUAUAAUCAAUGAAUAUAUUAAAUUAAACUUUUUAUCUUAUUGAUGAUGUUACAAUUGUUACUUCUUGAGAUCUUAUCUUCUCCCAUGGAUGAAUCAUUAUAUUUUGUUAUCACAUCAAAUAAUGUCAAAUUUAAUUUUGUCUUUUUUCUUGCAUCAGUCAAAGCAAAUAUAAAAUUAAAUAUUUAUAUAUAUACUAAAUAUACACCAUGUGAGUAUUGAUAUAACAGACCCAUAUAUGUGGUGGGUAGAGUAUGUAUGACAUUUAAUUAGGAAAAAUGAUUCAAAUGAAAAUACAAUUAAUCUAAAUUGUUUGAUCUUAUUUAAAUUGCUGAAAUUAAAAGAUGAAUGUAGAUAAUUUUUAUUUUUUAAUAAUUAUGUAUACUUACUUUUAAAUUUAAUCAUCCACAUAUAAAUGUAUAAUUUAAUUUUAUUGUAUUUGCAAUUUUUAUAUAAGAAUUAUUUCAAUAGACAUCUAAUUAUUAGUUUUUCUAUAUUUUUAUUUGUUAACCUUUUUAUUUAAAAAUAUUUUUAAAGAAAUAAUUUAAUAAAGUGCAUAUAUUGAGUAUUAAAUCAUUCUAAUAUUAGAUAACGUAUAAUAGCUUAUAGAAUAUAUAUUUUUAUUCCUAGUUUUUGUUUUUUAUUCAUUUUUAUUGUACCCAAAAAAAACCAUACUUAAAGAAUAACUAGAAAAGGUUUAAUAUAUAUCUAUAUUCUAGAUAAUAUUGAAUUUACCUUUGUAUUUAUCUCUACGAUCAAUCUAUUUACUGAGUUCUCUAAUAUAAUUUAUAUAUGUUUUUGUUUGAAUAAAAAUUUAAUUUAGAUAGGUCGUGAUUAGAAUGGAAAUUAAUAUGAAUGUGAGAGGACACAUAUAUGUUAUAUGUGAGGCAGAGGUGUCAUGUAUAAUUAUGAGAAUGAAGUAAAUGAGAAUAAAUAUUUUUAUAGUCAUCAUGGUUAAAUACUUUUUAUCUUCUUCCAAGAUGAAUCAUUAUGUUUAGUUGUCACUUCAGAUAAUGUCAAAUUUAAUUUUGGGUCUAUAUUUCUUUUCUUUUCUUUUUUCAAUCGGUCAAAGCAAAUAUAGUAUUAAUAUAUAUAAUGAGAGAUUUGUUUACAUUCAAAUUAAUUUAUACUAGUUAGACUUAAUCUUAAUUAUUCAUUUUCUUAGAUCCAAUCGAUCAAAUGGGUAAAACUUAAAAGUUUUUAAGAUUUUUCUUUUUCUCUCUCAUCACUUAUUGCACUUACCUAUUUGGUCUAUUGGAUCUAAGAAAAUGAAUGAGUGAAAUUAAGUGUAACUAGUAUAAAUAGAUCCAAGAGACUCAUAUAUACGCACAAGAGACGAUGUGAGUAUGUGUAGCAUUUAAUUAGGAAAAAUGAUUCAAAUGAAAAUACAAUUAAUCUGAAUUGUUUGAUCUUAUUUAAAUUGCUAAAAUUAAAAAAUAAAUUUCCAUAAUUUUUUUUUUAAUGAUGAAAUAUAUUUACUUUUAAAUUUAAUCGCCUACGUAUAACUACAUGACUUAAUUUUAUUGUACUUGCAAUUUUCAUAUAAGAAUUAUUUUAAUAGACAUCUAAUUAUUAGUUUUUCUAUAGUUUUAUUUGUUAAAUUUUUUAUUUAAAAAUAUUUUUAUAGAAAUAAUUUAAUAAAAUGCAUAUUUUGAGUAUUAAAUCAUUAAAAUAUUAGAUAAUGUAUAAUAGCUUAUACAACAUAUAUUUUUAUUCCUAGUUUUUUGUUUUUUAUUCUUUUCCAAUAUACCAAAAAAACCUUACUUAAAGAAAAACUGUAACUAGAAAAGGUUUAAUAUACAUACACAUCCUAGAUAAUAUAGAAUUUACCUUUGUGUUUAUCUCUAAUCAAUCUUUUCACCAGGUUUUUUUAUAUAAUUUAUAUAUGUAUGUGCUUGAAUAGAAAUUAAUGCGUGGUUGAAUGAUCAAAUUUAAAACAUAAAUUAUGUGUCUGGUAGAGUUAACUAACUCUUAAUCUUCAACAUUCGUAUAUGGUUGUAUGACCAUGAUUUAUUAUUUCUAUGAUUUUUAAAUGAAAUUGUUCUUAUCUAUUUCAAUUAAUAAUAUAACAUUAUUUUCAAGAAAUAAUUUAAGAAAAAAAUAUUGUUUCAGUAUUAAAUCAAUGUAACACCAGUAUGAAAUGUAUAAUAGCUUAUCAAGUACUAUACAUAAAAAAAAAUAGUAGCUAGAAAAUGUUUAAUAUAUCUUUUGUGAUUACUUAUUUAACCUAAAUAAUAUCAAAUUUGUCUCUUCUUUUCCUACUCUUUUUUUAGUUGCCUUGUAUUUUUUCUCAACUAUCAAUAUUUUUACACAACUACAUAUUUUAUAACAUUUCUUUAUCACCUUAACUUUAUAUAUGACACUUUUGUUUCUUCGCCAUGAUUCUUUACCCUGAGUCCAAAGUCUUUAGAGUCACCUAAUAUCCCCUUUGCUAUCUUCUUCAUUUUUAUGGUAAUCUCAUCCCACAUAUUAUUAGCAAGUCCUUGUGCAAACCAAAACUCUUCCACAAAAAGCUCCUUUGUUCCUCACUCUUCAAUUGUCACUAUAUUUUUUAUUCUUUGUCUUUUCUUUCCACAAUAAACCCUACUUUUUGCACACAAAAAUUAGUACACCAACUUUGGUAAUACACCAUAAAUAACUUUAUAACUUCAAAUUUUCCUUCUUCUAAGUAUAACAUUAAGAAGUUAUGCACCGCAUAGUAUAAACCAUGAAUUUGAUACUAUCAACAUCAACAGCCUAUGUGGAAACGUUUAAAAGGAAAAGAGCAUAACAUGCCUUCAUGGAUUUGCCAUAUGAAACAAUUCUGCAUGGAAUAAAAUCUUCAAGCAUAGAUAGUAAAGGGCAUAAGUCACGUUCUUCUCAUACUAGCUCAUGAAGAGCAAUAUUUGCUUGACCCACCUGAACAUAUUAUAAAGAAAUUCUUGCCAAAUUGGAAUAGAUAGUUCAACUUCAUUAGCCUGCGCACUUAAAAAUUGUCCUGUGUUUGUGUCGUAACAAGAAAAGGAAACCAGUUGGUUGUGUUACCAAGAAUAUCACUUUUGCAGACAUCCUGUGAAGUUGUAAAAAAAACAAAGUGAAGGGAAUUGAAACUGACAAAAAGAACAUAAUACAAACAACGUAUAGAAGAUCAGAGAACAAUCUAUAGUCACUUGUAUGAAUAUAACAAAGAAGUUGUGAAAGAAAUUUCUCUAUUGGAUCAGAGAUCACAUGUAAUUUUACGGAGGUGAAUGUAAAUGUUGUAGUUCAGUUCAUUCAUAGUAAAUACACUAUGCGCACAAAGAAAAAAACAUUAAAGUGGUUCUUUGAUGUUAAAUUUAGACAUUAACUUGAUCAUGGAAGCUAAUUUGAUGUUCAAAUUAUAUUAAAUGACUACUUAGGUUUCACCAAUAUUAAUGUAAUUCAGAGAAAGACAGAAAAGAGUGACUGUUGUCAUAGUAAAUGAGUUAUGCUCACUCUAUGGAUGUGAAAUUGAGACAAGGGAUUGUCUCUUCUUCACCUGCAACUUUUCCAAAAGUUUAAUCAAAUUGAGUGCAGAUAAGCUAAACAUAAAAGAUUUUCCAAUUCAAUAUGCAAGAUGGAACAAGCAAGUUCUGCACACAUAGCUGCACAUUUAUAGUAUUUUGUAGGACAGGAAUCAAAUAAUCUUCCAAAAUAGAUGUAUUUAGCGCAGAAAGUGGCUGAUAUAAGCUGGAACUGCAGGCAGAAAAAUGGAGCAGCUUUGAAGAGAUGGCUUAGGAUCUCUAGGAAUAGAUACAAGUAAUGUGAUAAGAUAGUUUUAAUUAUUUUUGUGUCUUGUAAUUGUUUGUUGGGUGGAUGAACUUUUAAAGGUAUCAGCCAAAACAAUAGGGCAAAGCCUAAUUGCAUCCACGCAUUUUACCUGUCAUGUUUGAUGUUUAUGGUAAUAUAUCACAUACUCACUUAAAAACAAUAUUUAGGUAUAUUUACCAGCACCAAACUGAUUGUUGAGAAUCAAUAUAAAUGAUUACAUAUUAAAUAAAGGUCAAUUACUCAUUCUCUUGAAUUUAACUUCACUUAUACUUUCACCCAAAAAAAACAUUACUUAUCCUCUUAAAAAGAAACCGAUUUAAUCAUCAUUCCAUAUGUAUUAAGAUAUUUACAGCAUAAGGAAGCCCAAAAGGCUCCACUAAUAGGCUAUCAACCACAAAAUAUCCUAUAAACAUUUACAAAAUGACUAUCGGUAACAAAAUAUAAUGCCAGAAUAAAGAACAAUAGUCCCACUCCUAUAUGCUUUGCUGCACGCUUGCAAAACUUGUCAGUAACACACCUUCACUGACUUUCCCUUGAAGAAAACAUGACUUCUUUUUGUUAAGAACCGGAAAAAACAUCUAUUAAUCCCAAAAAGGAUAAAACCUCAAAAAUUAGCUGCAUCUUUCUUCAACCAGAUUGUUUAGCAUUAUAUGAACCUGGAAUUGAAAGCAAAAUAAAGGAUUUGUAAACUGAUUUCAACAAGGGCAUAAUAGACUAUACCAUAACUUGCUCUCUGCAUGCUGUUUGGAAAACAAAAUUCUAGCAUAUGAUCAAUAUUUGACAAUCAAAAGGGCUAAACUACAAUAGCAAGUGCAAUAUAAUGCACUUUGACUUAGAAAAUAGUGAAUUUGGAACAACAAAACAGGAUUGCAAUGUGCCUUCCAUUUCUCAGCCCUGGGUUUCGAUUAUUGAAAGUUGAGCUGAAUUUCACACCUAAUUUAUGACACGCAACAUGCAUAACACAGAUAUCGUAAGCACAUAAAUGCUAAGUGCUAUCUAGAUUUUUAAACAUGUAUGUUGAGGCUUGGGCAUUUACGAUCACUGAUACAUGAAAGCUAAGUGCUAUGCAGAUUUUUAAACAUGUAUGUUGAGGCUUGAACAUUUACUAUCAGUGAUAAAAGAAUACCAUAAAAGUUAUACCUUGUCUUCGAUAGCGGGUAAAACCAGGAGAUCUGCCAAGUAAGUAUGCCAUGACAUUGGUAGGUAAAGGAAAGGAGGAAGAUACAUCCACAAUGAUUUUAAAAGUCUGAACUCUGGUGAAAGGAGAAAGCCGACCCAUGAAUAGAGCAGGGAACAAAGAGAGAACCUAGGAAACAAGAGACAGACAAGAACUAAGAUUCAAGAAAUUACAGGUUCCAAAUCAUUAGACAUAAAAGUAACUUUAGACAUAAAAGUAAUCUAAUCUUCUAAUGAGAAAGCAACUUUAGACAUAAAAGUAAUAGCAUAAAAAAGCUUCUAUCCAGAAAACUUAUAACAGGUAUAAAUUGUAAUCCAAUUCUACUAUCUUUAUCAGGCACUAAGCUUUUAACAACUAUUGAUUGACAAAGAAAUAUACAUACUUUGACGACGUCGGGUGAGAGAUAUACAAACUUUGCACUCCCCAUUGCUUCAAACAGUUCAAUAAACUUCAUAGACAAUUUAGUGCCCUCAGUAUUGUCCAAUGCAUUAAGUACCUCUGAACUAUCCACAUCAAUAACCAGCUUCUCUAAAAAGUGAAGCUUGGCCUGAAUGGAAAAAGCAUAAAGAUUCAAGGGAUCAUCAUAGCUAAAAUACCGAAGCUUCGGCGUGAAAAGCUCGAUCACACACUCAGAAUCAAACUCUUCAUCCACCCUUAAACAUGAUAUGCUCAACUCUGUAAGCUGAGGAGCAUGAAUUUUAAAUUUAUCAAAUUUUCCAUAAAAUUGACAACAGUCAAAUAACAGAAAACUCAAUUUAGGACAACCGAGAAAAGGGUCAAGAAUCUCUACGUCCCUAAUCUCAAACUUGCAAUCAACAAGAGACAACUUUUGCAGCGAAACAAAUUCAAAGGUUGAAGUUUCAGUGGAUAUGUUACUGAGAUUGAGCACAGUUAGGGUUCGAGAAGUGAAUAAUCGAGGUAGACUCUCGAGAACAUAAUCAGCAACGAUAGUUAAAUUCUGAAUGUCCUUUGAUGCAACAUAAUCGACGACGGAAUCAACGGUGGGUGCACCUGUUUCUUCAAGUUCGUCACCGGUGCAUUCGAACUUGAGAACAUCGAUUUUGGAGUCAGAAUUUCUAUUGGCAAGAAAAUUAAGAACGAAAUCUUGGAAAAGAAAAUCAUGAUCAAAAGAAGAGCUAUGCAAGUUAUCUCCUUGAGUUCUUCCAUAUUCUUCUAUGCAUCAUGUUUGGAUGCUUUUUUAUUUCUGUAUCUAUCUCUUGUCGAGUUUCUUAUCGGGUUCUCUGGUAUAAUUUAAUUUAUAUAGGCGUCGGUUCGAAUGAAAAUUAAUAUGAAUAUUUAUAGAGAUCGGAGAGGACACAUAUAUGUUAUAACUGGGUAUAGGUGUCAUAUCUAAUUAUGGGAAAGAAAUAAAUAAAAAUAAUUGUUGUUACGAGAAAUAAGAACAAUUAAUAAAAAUAUGAAAUCAAAAUCAAGUAUGUUAAUAAGAUGUUAAUCCAAUAGUGUAAAAAUUAGAUUCUUAAGAUGAUCAAGAAUUUGAUUCAUUAGAGUAAUAUUUCUUAAGAGCGUAAAUCAUAUAAAUCUAAAAUUAUUAAUUUCCUACUUACAAAAUAAUGAAUACAUACUAAAAUUUAUAAAAUAUAUAUAUCGAGAAUAUGUUAAAUUAAACUUUUUAUCUUAUUGAUGCCGUUCCAAUUGCUACUCCUUGAGUUCUUAUCUUUGUUUAGUUUUGCUUCAGAUAAUAUCAAAAUUGAUUUUGUGUCUAUUUUUCUUCUCUUUUCUAUCACUCAAAGCAAAUAUAAUAUUAAUAUAUAUAUAUAUAUUAAGAGAAAAUGAUGUAUACACAAAUAGUGUAAAAGUUCUUUACAUUAUCACUGUAUUAUCCAAUCUUUAUUUUCAAUCAUUGUUAACUUUUCAGAAAAAAUAAUCCAAAUAAACAAUAGAUGAUACAUUUACUAUGUAUAUAUCUUUAUACUGUCAGUGCAUAGAUUUAAUAUUCAUAUAUUAAAUAUGUACCAUGUGAGUGAUGAUAAAAGAGGCGUGUAUAUGUGGUAGGUAGAGUAUGUGUCUUAUCUAAUUAGGAAAAGUGAUUUAAAUGGAAACCGUUAAUAUUACCAUAAGUAAGAAGAAUUAAACUGAAUUGUUUAAUCUUAUUUAAAUUGUUAAAAUUAAAUUGUUCCAAUUGGAAACCGUUAAUAUUACCAUAAGUAAGAAGAAUUAAACUGAAUUGUUUAAUCUUAUUUAAAUUGUUAAAAUUAAAAGAUAAAUGUACAUUCUUUUUAAGGUGAAGUAUACUUACAUUUAAAUUUAAUCUUCCAUGUAAAAUUGUAUGACUUAAAUUUAGUUUAUUUGCAAUUUUUAUAUAAGAAUUAUUUUAAUAGACAUUUAAUUAUUAGUUUUUCUAUAUUUUUAUUUGUUAUAUUUUUUGUUUAAAAAUAUUUUUAAAUUAAUAAUUUAAUAAAUUGCACAUUUUGAGAAUUAAAUCAUUAUAAUAUUAGAUAUUGUAUAAUAACUUAUGGAGUAUCAUAAUUAAAAAAUAGAUUUAUAUUCCUAAUUUUUGUUUUUUAUUCAUUUCCAAUGUACCAAAAAGAACUAUACUUAAAAGAAAAGAAUGUAACUAGAAAAAGUUUAAUAUAUAUCAAUAUCCUAGAUAAUAUCAAAUUUAUGUUUAUGUCUAUCUCUAUCUCUAUCGUCAAUAUUUUCAUCAAAUUCUCUGAUAUAAUUUAUAUAUGUCUUUGUUUGAAUAAAAUUAUUGUAUGGGUUGAAUGAUUAAAACUAAAAAAUAAAUCAUGUUUUAUUAAAGUCAACUAACUAUAAAUCUUCAACUAUGUAUAUGAUUGUGUGACCUUAAUUUAUUAUUUAUAUGAUUUUUAAAUAAAAAUCAUUCUCAUCUAUUUCAAUUAAUAGUAUAAUAAUAUUUCCAAUAAAUAAUUUAAGAAAAAAUUAUUAUUUUAGUAUUAAACUAAUGUAAUACUAACAAAUGCAUAAUAGCUUAUCAAGUAAUAUACAUGAAGAAAAAAACUCUAGCUAGAAAAUGUUUAAUAUAUGUCUCAUGAUUAAUUACUUAUUUUAAAUAAACUCUAGUUUACCUCUUUAUCUAUCACUAUUAACAAUUUUGAACGGGUUCUCUUCAUAUAAUUUAUAUAGUAUUUGUUUGAAUAACAAUUAAUGUUUGAGUUAAAUGAUUAAAAUUAAAAGAUAAAACAUAUGUUCGAUAGAGUCAACUAACUCCUAAUUUUCAAUAUUCGUAUAUGGUUGCAUAUCCCUAAUUUAUUAUUUCUACAAUUUUUAAAUGACAAUUAUUCUCUUAUAUUUCAAUUAAUGAUAUAAAUUUGUUUUUCAGAAAUAAUUUAAGAAAAACAAAUAUUGCUUCAAUAUUACACCAAUGUAAUAAAAAGAAAUGUAUAAUAGCUUAUCAAAUACCAUACAUAAAGAAAAAACUCUAACUAGAAAAUGUUUAAUAUGUGUGUCGCGAUUUCGUACAUAUCAAAUAUAAUAUCAAAUUUACCUUUGUGUCUAUCUCUAUCGUCAAUCGUUUUAUGAGGUUCUCUAAUAUAAUUUAUAUAAGUCUUUGUUUGAAUAAAAAUUAAUAUAGUGGUUGAAUGAUUAAAAUUAAAAGAACAAUCAUGUGUUCCAUAUAGUCAACUAGCUAUUAAUCUUCAACAUUUGUAAGAUUGUAUGACUCUAAUUUUUCAUUUCUAUGAUUUUUAAAUAAAGAGUAUUCUCAUAUAUUUCAAUUAAUAAUAGAAAAAUAUUUUCAAGAAAAAAUUUAAGAAAAAAUUAUUGUUUCAGAAUUAAACAAAAAUAAUACUAACAAAUGCAUAAUAGCUUAUUAAGUACCAUACAUGAAGAAAAAACUCUAGCUAAAACAUAUAUUAAAUUUAAUAUAUGUCUCAUGAUUACUUAGUUAUUCCAAAUAAUAUCCAAUUUAUUUCUGUGUCUAUCUCUAUUCUCAAUCUUCAACGGGUUUCUGAUAUAAUUUAUAUACGUCUUUGUUUGAAUAAAAAUUAAUAUACGAGUUGAAUAAUUAAAAUUAAAAGAUAAAUUAUAUGUUUGACAGAGUCAACUAACUUUUAAUCUUCAACAUCCACAUAUGAUUGUAUGACCCAAAUUAAUUAUUUAUACGAUUGUUAAAUAAAAUUAUUCUCAUCUAUUUUAAUUAAUAAUAUAAAAUUAUUUUCAAGAAAAAAAUUAAGAAAAAAUUAUUAUUCCUAUAUUAAACCAAUGAAAUAUUAACAAUGUAUAAUAGUUUUGUCAAGUACCAUACAUAAAGAAAACUCUAGCUAGAAAAUGUUUCAUACAUUCUCCUGAUUACUUACUUAUUCUAAUUAAUAUUAAAUUACAUGUGCGUCUAUCUCUAUUAUCAAUUAUUUUAUCGAGUUCUCUCAUAUAAUUUAUAUAUUCUUUGUAUGAAUAGAAAUUAAUGUAUGAUUUGAAUUAUUAAAAUUAAAAUAUAAAUGAAGUUUUUGAUACAGUCAACUAACUCUUAAAUUGAACGUUCACAUAUGAUUGUAUGACCAUAAUUUAUUAUUUCUACAAUUUUUAAAUGAUAAUUAUUCUUAUUUAUUUAAAUUAAAUAUGCUUUUUUUCAAGAAAUAAUUUAAGAAAAAAAUAUUGCUUCAAUAUUAAAUCAUGUAAUACUAUACAUAAAGAAAAAACUCUAGCUAGAAAAUAUUUAAUAUAUGUCUCAUGAUUUCUUAUUUAUCAUAUAUAAUAUCAAUUUCACAAUUGUAUUUAUAUCUAUCGUCAAUAUUUUCAUCGGGUUCUCUGAUAUAAUUUAUAUAUGUCUUUGUUUGAAUAGAAAUUAAUGUAAUGGUUGAAUGAUUAAAAUUAAAAUUAAAAUAUCAUAUUCGAUAUAGUUAACUAACUAUUAAUCUUCAACAUCCUUAUAUAGUUGUAUGACCCUAAUUUAUUAUUUCUACGAUUUUUAAAUAAAAAUUAUUCACAUCUAUUUUAAUUAAUAAUAUAAAAUUAUUUUCAAGAAAUAAUUUAAGAAAAAACUAUUAUUUCUAUAUUAAACAAAUUUAUUAUUAACAAUGUAUAAUAGUUUUGUCAAGUACCAUACAUAAAGAAAAACUCUAGCUAGAAAAUGUUUUAUAUAUUCUCGAGAUUACUUACUUAUUCUAAAUCGGAUUCUCUCAUAUAAUUUAUAUAUGUCUUUGUAUGAAUAGAAAUUAAUGUAUGGAUUGAAUUAUUAAAAUUAAAAUAUAAAUGAAGUUUUCGAUACAGUCAACUAAUUCUUAAUGUUCAACAUUCACAUAUGAUUGUAUGAUCCUAAUUUAUUAUUUCUCCGAUUUUUAAAUGAAAAUUAUUCACAUCUAUUUCAAUUAAUAAUAUAAAAUUAUUUUAAGAAAAAAUUAUUAUUUCAACAUUAAACGAAUGUAAUAUUAACAAACUUAUAAUAACUUAUCAAGUAUCAUACAUAAAGAAAAACUCUAGCUAGAAAAUGACUAAUAUAUAUUUCCUAAUUACUUACUUAUCAUUAAUAAUAUCAAAUUUACCUUUGUCUCUAUCUCUAUUAUUAAUCAUUUCAUUGGGUUCCCUGAUAUAAUUUAUAUAUGUAUUUGUUUGAAUAGAAAGUAAUGUAUGAUUGAAUUAUUAAAAUUAAAAGAUAAAACAUAUGUUUGAUAGAGUCAACUAACUCUUAAUUUUCAAUAUUCAUAUGGUUGUAUGACCAUGAUUUAAUAUUUCUACGAUUUUUAAAUGAAAAUUAUUCUCAUUUAUUUCAAAUAAUGAUAUAAAAUUGUUUUCAAGAAAUAAUAUGAGAAAAAAUAUUGCCUCAAUAUUAAACCAAUGUAAAUACUAAGAAGUAUAUAAUAGCUUAUCAAGUACCUUACAUAAAGAAAAAUCUCUAGCUAGAAAAUGUUUAAUAUAUGUCUCUUGAAUAUUUAAUUAUCAUAUAUAAUAUUAAAUUCACCUUUAUGUUUAUUCCUAUCGUCAAUUUAUUCAUUGCGUUAUCUGAUAUAUUUUAUACAUGUCUUUGUUUGAAUAAAAUUAAUAUAGUGGUUGAAUGACUUAAAUUAAAAGAUAAAUUAUGUGUUCAAUAUAGUCAACUAACUCUUAAUUUUCAACAUUCAUAUAUGGUUGUAUGUCUUUAAUCUGUCAUUUCUACAAUUUUUAAAGAGAAAUUAUUCUCAUCUUUUUCAAUUAAUAAUAUAAAAAUAUUUUCAAAAAAAUAAUUUUAAUUUUUUUUAUUGUUUGAGUGUUAAACACAUGUAAUACUAACAAAUGCAUAAUAGCUUAUCAACAAUCUUACAUGAAGAAAAAUUUAUAGCUAGUCGUAUUAUUACUUUCUUAUCCUAAAAAUCAUCCAAUUUAUCUCUGUCUAUCUCUAUUAUCCAUCUUCAACGUGUUCUUUGACAUAGUUUAUAUAUGUAUUUGUUUGAAUAGGAAUUAAUGAAUGAGAUUAAUGAUUAAAAUUAAAAGAUAAAUCAUAUCUUUGACAGAGCAAUGUUAUUAAAAUUGGACCGGUCAUCAAACCGGUGAGGGUACUGGUUUAGUGGUUCAACCCGUGGUUCAGUAAUUAAACCGCAUGAGAUUAAACCGGUUAAACCGGACAUACAUGGUUAUAUAUAUGUGUGUAAACCAGUAACAAAAAUUAUCUAAUAUGUAGAUACUCAAAUUUAUAAUCCAUAUUUAUAGACAAAGUAAGAAUUCUCAUAAACAAACAACUUUAAUAAAUCCAAAGUCUAAAUUACAAAUACAAAUAGUAAUCCACAAGUACUUGUCUUACUUAACAAACUCGAAACAUAUGACGAAGUUCAUAACUCAGUCUACAAAACAUAUUAUAUAUUUAAAACUUUAACACCAAAGAGUCAAAGUUGUUUCUUAUAGAGGUUCCAUUUCUUCACCAUUUAAGUCCAAAGCUUGACUAAUGUUGUCUUCAACUAGGUUCACAUUCUCCACAGGGNNUGCAUCAUCAUCAUCUUCUAAAUUUAAUUGAUCUACAACAAUAUCAUUUUUUCAUACAUCAGUUUUCAUACAAGUUAACAAUAAAAUAAAUUAGUUAUUAGAACCAAAACUGAUAAUGCAAUAAAAAACAUUACAUGUAUGAAAAAAAUAAAAAAUAAAAUAGUUAUUAGUUGUGCAUCAUCAUCAUCUUCUAAUUCUAUGUGGUAUGUGCCUAUGUGGGGUUCUUUAAAAUUACAUGUAUGAACCGGCCGGUUCAAUCAAAUUUCGGCCGCUCACCAGUUUUGACACGGUUCACCGAUUUUUCACCGGUUUACACCAGUUUUGAUGCUUAACCGGCACAACACUUGUUUCGUACCGGUUAUGGGACUGGUUGACCGGUUCUCCAGUUGAACCGGCCGGUCCGAACCGGUUUUAAUAACAUUGUGAAAGAGUCAAUUAAUUCUUAAUUUUCAACAUUCCCAUAUGAUUGUAUGAGCCUAAUUUAUUAAUUCUACAAUUUUUAAAUGGAAAUUAUUCUCAUCUUAUUUUAAUUAAUAAUAUAAAAUUAUUUUUAGGAAAUAAUUUAAGAAAAUUUUUUAUUAUUUGUGUAUUAAACCAAUGUAAUAUUAACAAAUGUAUAAUAGUUUAUCAAGUGUCAUACAUAAAGAAAAACUCGAGCUAGAAAAUGUUUAAUAUAUGUCUCUUGAUUACUUACUUACCCUAAAUAAUAUCAAAUUUAUCUCUGUCCAUAUCUAUUAUCGAUCAUUUCUUCGGGUUCUCUAAUAUAAUUUAUAUACGUCUUUGUUUGAAUAGGAAUUAAAGUAUGAGUUGAAUGAUUAAAAUUAGAAGAUAAAUCGUGUGUUAAUAGAGUCAACUAACUCUUAAUCUUUAAUACACAUUAUGAUUGUAUGAACCUAAUUUAUUAUUUCUAUGAUUUAUAAAUGAAAAUUAUCUCAUCUAUUUAAACUAAUAAAAUAAAAUAAAAAUUGAUGGAAUAUUUAAGAAAAAAAAUAUUAUUUCAAUAUUAAACUACUGUAAUAUUAACAAAUGUAUAAUAGCUUAUCAAAUACCAUGUUGAAAGAAAAACUGUAGCUAGAAAAUGUUUAAUAUAUGUCUCGUGAUUACUUCCUUAUCAUAUAUAAUAUCAAAUUUAUCUUUGUGUCUAUUUCUAUUACCAACCGUUUCAAUUGGAUCCCUAAUAUAAUUUAUAUAUGUCAAUGUUUAAAUAGAAAUUAAUGUAGUGGUUGAAUGAUUAAAGUUAAAAGUUAAAUAAUGUGUUUAAUAGAAUCAUCUAUCUCUUAAUCUUUAACGUUCUUAUAUGGUUGUAUGACCCUACUUUAUCAUUUCUAUGAUUUGUAAAUAAAAAUUAUUCUCAUCUAUUUCAAUUAAUAAUAUAAAAAUAUUUUCAAGAAAUAAUUUAUGAAAAAUUUAUUGUUUCAGUACUAAACCAAUGUAAUACCAACAAAUGCAAAAUAGCUUAUCAAGUAUCAUACAUGAAUAAAAUACUCUAGCUAGAAAAUGUUUAAUAUAUGUCUCAUAAUUACAUACUUAUCCUAAAUAAUAUCCAACUUACCUUUGUGUUCAUCUCUAUUAUCAAUCUUUAACGGCUUCUAUGAUAUAAUUUUUAUAUGUCUUUGUUCGAAUAGAAAUUAAUGUAUGAGUUGAAUGAUUAAAAUUAAAAGAUAAAUCAUAUAUUCGACAUAGUUAAUUGACUUUUAAUCUUCACCAUUCACAUAUAAUUAUAUGACCCUGAUUUAUUAUUUAUACGAUUUUUAAAUGAAAAUUAUUCUCAUAUAUUUCAAUUAAUAAUAUAAAAUUAUUUUCAAUAAAUAAUUUAAGAAAAAAUAUUAUUUUAGUAUUAAACCAAUAUAAUAUUAACAAAUGUAUAAUAGCUUAUCAAGUAUCACACAUAAAGAAAAAGCUCUAGUUAGAAAAUAUUUAAUAUAUGUCACAUGAUUACUUACUUAUCCUAAAUAAUAUCAAAUUUAUCUUUGUGCCUAUCUCUAUUAUAAAUCAAUUCAUCAAAUUUUAUGAUAUAAUUUAUAUAUUUCUUUGUUUAAAUAGUUAUUAGGUUGAAUGAUUAAUAUUAAAAGAUAAAUCAUAUGUUCGAUAGAGUCAACUAACUCUUAAUCUUCAAUAUUCAUAUAUGGUUGUAUGAUUCUAAUUUAUUAUUUUUACAAUUUUUAAAUGAAUCUUUUUCUCAUGUAUUUGAAUUAAUGAUAUAAAAUUGUUUUCAAGAAAUAAGUUAAGAAAAAAAUAUUGCCUCAAUAUUAAACCAAUGUAAUACUAUGAAAUGUAUAAUAGCUUAACAAACACCAUACAUAAAGAAAAAUCUCUAGCUAUAAAAUGUUUAAUAUAUGUUUCAUGAUUACUUACUUAUCAUAUAUAAUAUCAACUUUAUCUAUGUGUCUAUUUCUAUUAUCAAUCGUUUCAACGGGUUCCCUUAUAUAAUUUAUAUAUGUGUUUGAUUGAAUAGAAAAUAAUGUAAUGGUUGAAUGAUUAAAAUUAAAAGAUAAAUCAUGUGUUCGAUAGAGUCAACUAAUUCUUAAUAUUUAGCUUUCGUAUAUGGUUGUAUGACCCAAAUUUUGUAUUUUCACAAAUUUUAAAUGGAAAUUGUUCUUAUCUAUUUCAAUUAGUAAUGCAAAAUUAUAUUUCAAGAAAUAAUUUUUGAAAAAAAUAUUAUUUAAGUACUAAACCAAUGUAAUACUAAGAAAUGUAUAAUAACUUAUUAUGUACCAAUAUUUAAGGAAAAAAACUAUAACUAGAAUUUUUUUAAAAACUAUUAACAACAUUCUAAUUUUGAUUUAAAUAAAUAGAAUUUCAUUUUUGGUAAAUAAGACAACAAGGGUAAGAAAAUUAAUAAAUUAUUUUUUAUUAAUUAUAUUAGAGAAUGAGAUAUACCAAACAGUUUAUUACCUCCCUUCUGUGCCUUACACACAAUUGAUUUUUAAAUAAAUAUUAUAAACAUGACUGGUGGAUCAAAUGAUAAUAGUGCAAGAAGUUUAUACCGGCAAGGCCCACUUUAUCUCAUUAUAUAUAAAUGCAUUAUCAAUUUGUUUCUUAUAGUCAUUUGAAGGAAAAUUUACACAUGUGGUGCACCUUGACCGAAAAAUUAUGGCUUUGGUGCAUCUUUUAGAAAAAUUACACAACUAGUGUAACUUUACAGAAAUCGGCAGUGGAAUUGCCGAUUUCUGUAUUUGUUUUCUCUCUCCUCCCCCAAAAUCGGCACUGGGGAGGGAGUUUUAUUAUAAUAUUUUUUUUUUCAAACUCCCCCCUAAAUCGUCAAUGGGGGGAGUUUUAUACUUUUCAUUAUUUUUUAAUGCACACAUAAUAUUCACAUAAUAUUUUAUGUUUUCAUUAUUGUUUUAUGUUAUUAGGAUUAGGGUUGACAAAAUUUAUUAUGUUGUGUGUUGUUAGGAUUUGUGUUUAAAAAAUUGAACCCUAAAACUAUUAAUAUAACUCCCACAAGUUAAAAAAAAUCAAAAACUCUUCGGUUGCCGAUUUAGGGGAUAGAAAAAAAAUAAAAAAAAAAUAAAAAGUAUAAAACUCCCCCAUUGACGAUUUAGGGGGAGUUUGAAAAAAAAAAUUGUAAUAAAACUCCCUCCCCAUUGCCAAUUUUGGGGGAGGAGAGAGAAAAAAAAUACAGAAAUCGAUAAUUCCAUUGCCGAUUUAUGUAAAGUUACACUAGUUCUGUAAUUUUUCUAAAAGGUGCACCAAAACCGUAAUUUUUCGGUCAAGGUGCACAACAUGUGUAAAUUUUCCGUCAUUUGAAUCUAUGUUUGUUAUAUAAAAAAAAUGAAUUAUAGAUUAUUUUUAAUACUAAAAUUAUAUAUUUUUUUUUCAAAAUUACCUCUUGUCCUGUAAAAGGGUGACAAACAUGUUAAUGCCUAUAAAACAUACAAUUAACUCAUUAAGGCAACAAUUCUCCAUGGUCAAAACUAAAAUUAUACUUUCUUUAUUUUUUGGAAAAUGUUUUCGCUCAUAAAACUAAGAUUACUCACAUAUACCAUUUAGAUCCAUUGGGUAGGAGACUAAUCCAUCUAUUUUUUUGAACUUCUUAAUUUUAUACAACGACAACUAAUUAUUAUAAUAUUUAUUUUACUGUUAUUUUUAUAUUUGAACAAUUUUAUAAAGUUGAUUGUAACACCGCGAAUUUUACGAGUUUGAAUUAUAAGAUUUUACUAAUAUUUUCGUUAAUUAUAUAUUCGAAAAUGAAUUUCUCGGAAUUUUCGGUAAAGAAUUAGACGAAACUCUAGUUGAGUUUUACUCGUGAAACUUUAUUUCCGAUUUUGUGGUAAAUUUUGGUAAUUUUUGGAGACAGUCGGUUCUGGACCACUGUCGGGGCCGAAUCCGCCCGUACGGCUCAAAACGUGUCUUUUUGAGUUCCGUAACUCGGAAUCAAAUUCCGAUCGUGCCGUUGGAUUCGUAAUUUAAUUUUGAAUCAAUAUAGACCCUUAAUAUACUCAUACCUAUUUUUUAAAUAUUUUUCACUCGGAAUGCCGAAAUCCGAAAUUCUAAUCGGAUAUUAGGAUUGGGCGAUUUAAAAUACCCAAUCGAGUAUUGGCCGAUAAUACUUGGGCAUGGGUAUCACACGUGUUCGCGAGGUGAUCAUUUCGUAUUGGGAUGAGAGAUUUGACUUCCAUAAAGCAAAUCUCCCAUCACUUUCACCAUAUCUCAUGAGCUCAUCAUUAGCCACCCUAGGAGAUUUGGUCAUCAUUGCCUAGUUGAAAUCUGAUUUCUCUCCCCUUAAACCCUCACACUUCACACUUCACUCACUCACUUUUGCAUUUUCAAAGAGAAGGUAAAUCUCUCUUCACUUUUCUCUCAUUUUCUCAUGUCUUCUUCCAUCUUCAAUCAUUGAUCUCUCAACAUCCAACCAAUGGAUGUUGAUGAGAUUUAAGUAUGUUGUUCAUGAGUAUGUCAAGAACAUAUUCAACCGUUGAAACUUUAUAAAACGCUUUCUAACUCAUUUUCUCUUCAAAACCGAAAAUGAUGUGGUUCUUGAACUCAUGAAAAUAGUUUGUUGAAAACAUGAACAAUUCAUGAAGUUGUUAUAAUAUAUUACUAUAUAUAUAUAUAUUGUUAUUUUAGCCAAAGGGGAUGAUGAUAAAAUCAAAGGAACCUUUAGGAAAUGUUUUGUAAAAAUGAGAAUGUAUGUAUUUCUAUUUGUUUUUAGCCUUAAACCAUGGCUUGGAACAAGUUGGAAAAAUAGAAAUCUUUGUUAAAAAUGAUGUUGAGGUUUAUGAGUACAUGAAGGUCUCAUGAAACUCUUAAAUGAUACUUUGAAUAACUUACUUUAAAGUGGUAAGAUUAUCAAAGAAUGUUUUAAAUCGGAAUAUGGAGUUUUAAGUAUUUUGGUAACGAUUUUAGAAAUAUCGGAAACUAACGAAUUUUUAUUGUGGUAGUUACGAAGAUUUCGGUGUUCGAACCUUGAAACCAAACCAACCGUAGUUGACAAGUAAAAGCACGCUUCAUUAAGGUGAGAGAGAACACAUCGUGACAUAGUGGUGUCCGAAUAUGACACCCGGAUCUCCUAAACCAUCUCAAAGGUUUUGGAGUUAACUUGGGUUUAAGAAACCCAAGAUUUUCAUGUUUGAAUGCUUUUGAAUAUAUAUGAUUGUUGAUGAAAUGUGUUGAAUAUUGUAUAUGAAUGUUGUUGUGAAAUUUUCUGAGUGCAGGUGGUUGAAAAACCACUCAUUUUUAAAUGUGUUUCAGUUGUCAAAAAGGGCAAAAAUUGGCAUUAUGUCCAGUUUCUGUUGCCUGGGCGAACAAGGCGUCGUCGGGGCGAGCAAAAGUCCGCUCGGGCGAGCAAAAACUCGAUUCAGUGAGAAAAAAAAAAUCCCAGGAUUUUCGCCGGGGCGAGCAAAAACUUGAUUGAGCGGAAAAAAAAAUUCCAUAACUUAAGGAGUUUCUAGAACUUUCUCGCUUGGGCGAUAAUACCUUCGCCUGGGCGAGGAAAGCUCCAGUUGAUUUAGGAUAUAAAGAGGAAUUGUCGCUUGGGCGAGGGACGGUGUGGGAAGAUUGGAAUAAAAUGAUAUUGAGAACAAUGUGAUGAACCCGGGUAGGGUGUGUUGUGAUAUAAAGGUUGUGGAAUGAGAUCAUGGCUUAGAUGCGAAGCAUGACUUUGCAAAGGUAUGAAAGCAUUGUUUGUGUUUAUGCCUUGUUGGGCAAGUAUCCGACUUGAGGUCGUGAACUAGGGGUACCCUAGUAAGGAUACAUGAUAUCACUGAACAACGAUCGACCGACCGUAAGAGGCUUGGUCAUGUGACCGUCCAGGAGUACUCGGUGAUGGGUUGUUAUGAUUGAGAUGUUACCUGGAGCAAGUACGGUUGAUGUACUAUCAGGUCCCACGAGAAGCAUUCCUUGUCGGGAGAUGGCUUAAGGAUGGGCCGAUCAUGUGUUUGAUUAAUACAUUUGCAUUUGAUUCUGAUUAAGAAUGCAUUGCAUUGUGACCAUGAAGUAGUGGAGAGGAAAUGACGGGACGACUUAGAGCACCGUGAAGUAAGCAGGGACGGCACUGAUUGGACGGUGAUUCGCCAACAUUGUCUUGAGGGAGAGUCUGGGUGAGACGAGUCCCUUGUAUUCCUGGGGAGGUACCCUAUUAGAUCGGACAGUUCUCACAGGCCAAACUAGGCAACGGACAAUUCUCACAGGCCAAACUAGGCAAUCUCUGACAACCACUGGAUUGCAUUCGAGAUCAAUGAGAGGGAUGCCCAGAAAGCGUUUGUACGACCUAGGUCCAGGUAGGACUGUUCCUGAGGGAACCGAUCGAUCUAUUUUAAUUCCUUGCGAGGAUAUGUUAUUUCGGGUGGUACAAAACGACUUGGUAUGAGACCUGUACUCUCGAUUAUUUCCGAUUAGGAUGUUGGAUGGAUAUUGGUGUAAGGUGGAUGAUCAUGACAUAUCAUGCAUACAUUAUCAUUGUGGAAGUAAAUUCCCACAUGUGAGUUACAAGUAUGGUGUAUUCCUAUGUUUAUGUAUGUGAUGUGAUUAUGAGUAUAAUGUUGAUUAUAUUAUUUGAUAUAUUGGUUUAUGUUGAUAAACGGUGAGUUAUGAUGUCGGUUAUAGAAAUAUAUGUGUAUAUUAUUAUUUGGGGUUAUGGGUUAUGAGCCUCACUUAUGAGUUAUUUAAUUAUAGUCAUUAUAUCUUGUCGAUGAAUUAUAUAUUGUCGAUGAAUUAUAUAUUGAUAAAUGGUGAAUUAUGAUAUGGAUGGGAAUAAGUGUUGUUUACAUUACAUAGGUUGAUUAGAUUAUUGUUUACGAGAACAACUGAUGAGUUAUAAUGUAAAUGUUAUAUAUAUAUAUGAACUGAUUUUCAUAUCUGAGUGUAAUAUUCUGAGUAAGUCCACGCCGUCAAUGAAUUUACGUUCAUUAGAUGUCUUACUCUCUCUAUUUCUCUUCUUUUCUAUUGCUUGCUUUUCGGACGUGUGCUCGUCAGGUAGACAGCUCUGAUCGGAUUUGGAGCUACCCGUCUGUGAUGUUCCAGGAGGGGGUAUGAGGAAUUGAGGAAGAGGCAGNGAGGGGGCAUGAGGAAUUGAGGAAAGGCAGUACCCUAGUCUUGGAGCGAGCCACUAGGAGUUGCUUAUCAUUUUGGGACUUUUGAAAACAAGAUGGCUUCAGUUUGUUCAUGUCUUUGUUUAGUGUUUGUUGGCGAUGAUUAAUAUUUUCGCCCUUUGUUUUUGGAUUUUGUAUAUGUUAGUGGCGAUGUAGUUUCCGCCUUUGUUGAUUUAGUUUGUAUGAACUAAAGAUGACUUAACCGUUUAUAUGCAUUAUGUUAUUCAGGAAAUUGUGAAUCAUGUUAAGUUAUCAUUCGAUAACGAUAAGUUGAUUUUCCGCAUUUAAGUUACUUAAAGUGAUGUCCCGGAAAAUGAAGGUUUUAAAAAGGAAACAAUUUUAUACAAUCUCUUUAUUAAAAAAAAAAUUUACCCAUUUUUCCGCAAUGUUUUUUAGAAGUAUUUUUUUCGGGGCGUUACAUUGAUCACAAGAAUAAAAAGUAUCAGAAUAAAAUAUUAAAAUAUCACAUCAUACAUAUUCUAUAUAUACCAACAAGGCCAUGAUUUAAUGGGGUGAGAUCACACUAAAUCACCAUAAAGACCAAAAGAUCAAGAUUUCAAUUUUUGAAAGCGAUAAUUAUUAGAAUGAGCAUUCAUAUUCCCCAAAAUAAAUUAAUUCUUUAUCCAUAGAGUGAGAGGAAACAUUCCUAGAAAAAAAUAAAUACAUAUCCUAUAUAUAAGAUUUAUUGUCAAUUACUCCAUACAUGUGAUUUAUUGUCAAUUACUCCAUAGAUUAGGUUUGCACCUCUUCUUAUUGGGUUGGUUCUUGGAUUCUUUGCAGCAGUAUCAUUUACCCCUUUCUGUUCCAUUCCAUUCCCCACCAUUUCAUCCAUCCAAACCUAACAAUAAGACCUUCAAAAGCUUUAUCCUUUUACUUGGUCUCUCAGUGAAAGCCAAAGUUUUAGAUAACACAAAUGACUAGAGGAAUAUCUCAAGUCAGAGUUUCUCACUGCUACCAAACAGCCCUGAGUUGAGAAAACAAUAACUUUCAUUAAAAUCAUAUUACAAACAUUAGCUUAACAUAAUCCAUAGGAAUAAUGCACAUUCAAACAGCCCUGAGGUAAUUGCAAUUUGCAGUUGCAUGAGGACGAAACAGCAGAAAUUCAUAAGAGGGGGCAUACAGUUACAUAAUCACUACAAAUAAUACAGUGCAGGUGAAAGCUUGGAAACUGUUCGUUACCACCUCCGGUAGGUCAACUGACAGAUAGAAUAAGAUUUCAGCAAUGACCUCCAGGUGCACAUUGAAUGGUAAUGAUAAUUUAAUAAAUAAACAAAAAAUGAAAAGACUAAGAAAAAGCUGAAAUUAGCAACAUGGUCAGAGAGCGGGAGAGGGCACAUGCUGGAAAUCUCUGCACAAUCUCACACAUGGGAAGGAAUCAAUUCGGUUGCAGGUUAGGCAACACUGGGCAGAUGUAGAGGCAGAAUGCAGCUACAGCUACUGCAAAUCUAAAUUCUGAGUGCUCCAGUGGCAGGGUCAUGGCCUGAAUUGGUGUCCUUGUGCUUUAGAGAAAUGUUUGCAAACUGAGAUUCAAGGUCUCUGCUGUUGGUGCGCCUAUGACUAGCUGAUGGUUGUUGCGGCUUAAGUGUUUGCUGCUGCUGAAACAAUGCGCGCAAUCUUCCAAUCUCUCUUUCCAGUACUUCCUGUUCCACUGCAUUUCACAUUGCACAAUUUUUAGUGUACAAGACAAGCUCCUUUCAUGUCUGAUGAUACUAAUCAUAUGCCUUAAAAGAAUUGAAGGGACUGACUGUCAUUCGUUUUUUAGAAAUCAUAUAGUAACUAGUAACUUCAAUCAGUAUCCUAGAUGACUAGAUUCUUUUGAAUAUGACAAAUCAAACCACCCCUUCCUUAAUCUCAUGCUAGUAAUUUUUCUUGCAAUCAUGCUCAGGUAAAUAGAAGGUAGAACUGAUUAACUAUAUACUUCCAUGCCACUUAUAUGCUACAAAUAAAAAACAUCAUGUAUUUCCUUUCUAUUAAUCUAUAAAAUGAAAUGAAUCAUCAUUUCACAAGGAGUUCCCCAACAGGGCAGCAGGGGUAUGAGAGGAUUAAAUGCAAAAUAGAGAGAUUGACAUUUCCAAAUUUAAAGAGAAGAGACAUCUGGGUUAUUAGAGCUUAGGUGCAAUGGUAAGGUUAUUGUUUGGUGACCAAGAAGUCACAGGUUCAAAUCCUGGAAAUAGCCUCUCCACUUAUGGGGUAAGGUUGCAUACAUAUUCCCUCCCUAGCCCCCACUAGGUGGGAACCUCAUGCACUGAGCAGCCCUUUAGAGAUAUAAGUUACACGAAAACCUCAAUUGGUAAUGCUCUGAUAAUAGCAGCUUACAAUAUUUGAUAAGCUGCUCCUGUGCUAAACUUUCUAAGCGUUGCUUGAGUGCUUUAUUCUCCAUACUCAGGAUAAGAUUUUGCUGGUUAAGAAAUUCUAGUUCAGCUGACACUUCAGACCCUUCUGCCUAUGUAUUGACAUAUAGAGGAAAAGAAUCAGAACUUACAACUAUCCCAUAAAAAUUAUAUAUGCAUUCUCAAAACAAAUGUCAUUCUGCAAUCAUGCAGAAUGUUGACUUACCGAAAGUCCAAAACUUACCUGCAAAGCUUGGACAUUUCUUUCCAGCUCAGCUAUGUAUUGAAGUUUACGGACCCGUGAACGUUGGGCAAAUUGCCUGCAUUAAAAGUGUUUCAGAAGUAUUUUCUCUUGCCAUAUAGGAAUUUUUUGGUUGCAAUUCAAAUUUAUGUUUUGGCAAAAAAGGACUUUUGGCCCCUUAAUUGUUUUGACAUUUUGGUCCCUUAACUCUAUUCCAUUACCACGUUAGUCCCUCCGUUAAAACUUUUGGUAACUUGUAAGUGAAACAACGUCAUUUUGUAUGUGAAACGGACAGUGUUACCAAAAUAUUUAACAGAGGGCCUAACACGCUAAUGGAAACAAAGUUAAGGGACCAAAAUGACAAAAACAACUAAGGGAUCAAAAUGAGAAAAACAACUAAGGGACCAAAAGUGUGUUUUUGUCUUUAUUUUUUCAACUCAAAUAGCAAAAAAAGAAAUUACAUGAAGAAAAGCAUGGCGUAUUUGCUUCCCCAUCCCUCCCCACAAUAUCCCAAUUUUGUUUGCAUGAGAAAAUAAGUAAACCAAAUUUAGUAAUGUGCACUCCAUUUUAUGUGACAAAUAACUGUUAUAACUUAUAUUUCCCCCUUCUAAGUACAUCAUUAAGAAAUUAUGCACCACAUGCAUAAUAACCUUUAAUUUGAUACUAUAAACAUAGGCAGCCUAUUUCGAAAAGUUUAGAAGGAAUGAUAGAGCAUAACAUGGUCUGAUGGAUUUGCUAUAGGAACCAGUUCUGAAUGGAAGAGAAAAUAGAUGGUACAGAAGCAGAAGGUCAAACCCUUAAACAGAACUUGCAGCCUAUAAAGCACGGAUACGGAUACGUGUGUCAAAUACGAUACAUAUCUGAUACGUCGACACACAUUUUUCUAAAAUAUAGGAUACAAUAUGUUUAGGGAUAUGUAUAUAAAAUAGUAAAAAAUACAUAAAAUAUGACUAAAAUUAUAAGUGUAAAUCAAAAUAUCCAAAAGAGAAAAUAUAAUGGAAAUUGCAAAUAUUGCCCUCCAAAAUUCCAAGUACCAAAACUAGAAAAUAUAGUAGAAUAAUUCAUAAAAUUACUUAAAUAAGUUGGUUUUUGCUUGAUUAUUGGGAUGUUGCUUAGCUUUGAUAAAGCAUAUCAUAUUUUAUCCUAUUUUUUUGUUGAAAACAUAUCAAAAAUGUAUCUUCAUCUUUAUUUUUUUUACUUUUUUAUUUUAAUUUUUGGAUACUCUACGGAUAUAUAUCCUUCACGAAUCCGAGUGUGUCCGUGUCGGAUACGUGUCCGACACUGAUACGUGAGGGUGUUCAACGAAUCCGUGCUUCAGAGCUUGCAGCCUCUAGAUCAUAUACUAGUCGUAAAAUCAUGCAAAUUAUUGUAAGUACAAUAAAAUCAGAAAACAGAGAAAAUAACUACAUACUGUUUAGCACGUUUUGUAUCUGUCUCAGAAGCAGAUGACUUCGCAUGUGAACCAUCCUUUCGUUCAGAAGAUGAUUUUGUAUCCUGUAUGCCAGGUUCUAGUGAGUCGUACUUUUCAUUUGCAGUUGAUGGAAGCCCAUCUGCUUCAUGUGGUGCAUAUGGUGAUCCUGAACUCUUCAAAACAACAUUUUCUUUGCUAGAGGGAGAAACACCUGGAUGAGUCAUGGCAUUUGAAAAAGAGUCCCAUGAUCUAUUUCUCUGUUUUGUUGCAUUCAUUUCUGCAUACGUGGGUAUAUGAUGACCGUCUUUGCCAUGACCAAAUUCUUGAGAUGACCAAGAUGGAACAGAUAGCAAAUUCUGACCAGCAUAAUUGAUAUUAGUCGCAUUAACUGUAUCUAAGUAUGCAAAAGAAGAAUCACUUGACGAACGCCGAUGACCACCCCUUCGCACAGGUGUCUCUGGCUCAUUAAGGAGAUCAUCAAGCCAUGAGGGUUGCUCCUCCAUAACAUGGCUCUCAGAUGAAGUACGUUGGUGGUGUGUAUUUCCCUCUCUACGAUUCUGAAAGGCUUUUGAACCAACUGCAGAAUCAGCAUAUGGUUGCGAAACACUCGGAAAUGGACUUUUAGGAGGAAGAAGAGGAUGUUUUCCAUUGUACAUGAAAUUUCUGACACCUGAUGAGCCCUUUGAAUUUGCCAUAGAAGCAGAAUAAAUACCUGUCCAGUAAGAAGCAACGAAUUACAAAAGAAUGUGGUAAAGUAUGUGAAAAGAUAAAGAAGUUAAUACAAUAGACAAAUAUGGACAGAUAUUCCAACAAAAAAACAAACAAGGAGCAUCUUAUCAAACAUGUUUGAACCACCUAAAGCUAGACUCUAGAAAAUAGUUGCUACCUCAACUUUAUCUCCAAUGCAUUCAUCCCUAAUUCUAUUUUGUCUGGUGUGUCUACUUAUCCAACACAACAUUGUCAACAACCAUAAACAAGUAAAAAUAGAUACUUCAUUGAGAUAUACACCCAAUGUUUAAAAUAGCGGUUGUGGUUACUGUGAUUGCGGCCAUUGCGAUGCAGAUUGCAGCCAUUGAAAUGUGAAUUAUUUUGUAAUUAAAAAAUAUUUUUGAGUUGGAUGUGGACCAAAUGCGAUCUGAUGCGGUUGCAUUGCAGCCCAAUGUGACCACAUCAUUGUGACUCGGGGUCACACCACAAUUGCAGUUUGAUGCGGUUGUUGCGGUCACCACAAUAUUGCGGCCGCAUCACGUGACACGGUCUGCAAUUUAAAUCAUUGUUAAUAUGCCUAAGAACUAAAUAUUCCAUAGCUCUACAAAGCACAUAUUUGGUUGGAUAAUAUCCCACCUAAUGCUAGCAGGUUUAUAAAUCUAUACUUUUUAACUUGGCUAAAAUGCAACUCUAAAUUUUUUGAAGCCACCUCAUGAACAAUCUAACUUUCACUUAACACAGAUAUUAUACCAUAUAAUUGACAAAUGUUGUCCGCUCUAUCUUCCCGCACAAUAAAGGAGCAUCACAUGCUAUAUACAUUUUCAUUAUUAGCAAGCACACCCGGUAUCAAAUACUACCCAGCACAUUAGCAUUCAUAAUCACAUCUCCCAUCAUGAUAACCACCAAUUUUCAAAGUUUAACCUCAGCUACCAUGCUGAAUAAAUUGGCAUACAUAAAACUCAAACUCAAAUCCAAAAAAUUGUAUCUUCCAAACCUUGCAAGGCAAAAGUUCAAUCCCAAUGUAACAGAAAACUCAUCAACAAUGAUUUAAGAACGAAAAAAAACAGAUUUCUGGAGCCACUAACUGGAAAAACUAUCCAAUCUCCAAACAAAAUUUUACAGAAGAAACUUUCCACCCACAAAAAUUUAAAUAAAAGAUGGGACUAAUAGAAAAAAAUUAAACGUAUCUAGCUAAAAAUUAUGUUUUAUUUUGAAGAGUCGAGAAAGUAAUCAAAUAUAGAAAGUUUACGUUGCUGCAUUUCCUACAGAAUCUACCCAAAGCAUGCAUAAUUGCAUAAGCAUGCAUUCAGAAAUUAAGAAAAAAAAUAAAAUUCCACGAAAAAGGGAAAUUACUGUUAAUGGAAACAAAAAAGCUGCAAUGUGCAAGACUGUGGCAUCAAUCGGCCAAUAAUUUCAAGCUGACUGCAAGAAUUAGGAACAAAACGGAGAUAAAUUCGUAUUAGAGAAGCAAGCGAAUUUAAUUUUGAAAGAAAAACCAAAAAGAGAAAAGGGAAAAAAUCUAACCUUUGGAGAUUGAAGAUUCGAGAUCCCUAAAUGCAAUGGGUAAGAGGAGCUUGAAAUCGAAGCAAAGUUUUCUCUUUCCAACUUCUAGGGUUCGUUUCUUCAACCACCUUUGAUUCUCUCUCUCUCUCUCUCUCUCUCUCUCUCUGUAUAUCUCUCUGUCUUGUCGUUGAAGCUGGGGUGGGGCUUAAUUGCAAACUCAUCAAAUUAUACUUUUGCCUUUUCACAUUUUAACCCCCAAAAAUGUCACUUAUUCUAAAAUUGUUACUCGUAAUUUUCUGUUUAAAAAUAAUAAUACGCAUAUUAAAAUCAAAACAAGCUUUUUUUAUAUAAACCAAGAUUACUCAAAUGGUUAAUUUAUAAGUCAUAACUUAUUGUAUGAAUGUGCAUACUCAGUAUUCUUCAAUCUAGAUUAAAAAAAUACUCAAUCAACCUUCACCGGACAAACCUCACUUUUGUGGAAUGUUAUGUUUCAAUUAUGCAUACCACGUAGGCCACAACAAACUCACAAUUAAUUAAAGGUGAGAAAAAUAAGUGUCCCAAUAAAAAAACACUUUUUAUAAUGUUAUGUUUUUUUAUUAUCAAUCUGAUGAAUGUAUUUAAUCAUAGCUUAUUGUACGAAAACAGGUUUACUUUGAUUCCAAAAUUUUAAAUACACGGAUUAAAAAUCAGUGCAUGGCAAAAAGCUGCUUCCUUUUUAAUGAUUUUUUAAACCUAUUAAGAUUGCGAUGAUAAAAGGGUAAAAUGUAUCUUUAUAUAAUAAAUUAAAUAUUUAAUAUUCUGAAUUUAGUUCUUAUUUCUUAAUUCAUUAUCUUACACCUAACUUUUAUGAUUAAUGCUUUGUUUGGUUUAUGAGAGAAAAUAGGAUAAAGGAAUAUAAAAAGAAAUAGUAUAAAUAUAGAGAAAGAAAUAAGAAAAUAAAUUAAUCAUAAGAGUUGUUUGGUAUGAUAAAAACAUGAGAGAAUUAGAAGAAAGAGAACUAUAUUUAUCAAAUAGACAAAUUUACCCUUUAUAAUAAUGAAUAUAUGAUUAAGAUAAGGAUGCUAUGGUAAAUUAAAAAAAAAUCUUUCCAAUCUAACUUUUCUUCUCGUCCCACCGCUUUUAAUUUCUUUUUCUUCUCAUUCUCUUCUUCCAUGUGAGAGAAAAAGGUUCUUUCUUCUUAAACUGUCUUCGUAUUCUAUUUCUGCUACACCCUAAGAAUCUCUUCUUUUAACAGUACACAAUAUAUAAUAAAAUUAAUAUUUUUAUAUAAAAUAAAUGAGUAUAAAAUAUCUACUCAUACUGUUGAUGUUGAUUUAGGUUGUUGUCAUGUUCGCACGCCUAUUUUGUCUAUCGAAGACAUUGAUGCUCUGACAGUCAUAGUUACUAUGGAGGAAGUGACUAAAGUGGUUAUGAAUAUGAAAAUUUUCAAAGCUUCUAGUCCUGAUGGUUUCCAACCCUAAGAAGUAUUGGCAAAUUGUGGGGGUUAAAGUCUGGUCCUUGGUGCAUAAUGCUUUUACACUUGGUUUCUCUGAUAGUCGUCUCGUGGAGACUCUUGUUGUGCUUAUUUCGAAGAUUGAUAAUCCUAUUUCCUUGAAGGAGAUGAGACCUAUUAGUCUAUGUAAUGUCAUCUACAAGGUGAUAACGAAGGUGUUGGUGAAUAAACUAAGGUCGUAUCUGGAUGAUCUAGUUGGUCCGUUACAAAGUAGUUUUAUUUGUAGGAGAUGUACUUCUGAUAACAUCAUUCUUACUCAGGAAGUCAUGCAUUUUCUGCACAGAACCAAGUCGAAGAAGGGAGCUAUGGCGUUUAAGGUGGACCUUGAAAAGGCUUAUGACAAAGUCAAUUGGGAUUUCUUACAACUUACUUUGACUGAGUUUGGUUUUCCUCAGAUUUGUGUGGAUCUAAUUAUGUGGUGUGUGAGGUCCAGCAACAUGUCUAUUUUGUGGAAUGGUUCUAGAUUGGAGAAAUUUGUGCCCACUAGAGGUUUUCGUCAGGGUGACCCUAUGUCUCCGUACCUUUUCGUUCUGUGCAUGGAGAAGUUAGCCCUAUUUAUUCAGCAAAAGGUAGAUUCUGGCUGAUGGUUGCCCAUUAAACUGUCAAGGGGUGGGCCACCCCUAUCACAUCUUUUGUUCGUUGAUGAUGUUCUUCUUUUUUGUAAAGCUUCGAAGGCUCAAGUGAGGUGUAUUAAUAAUACCUUGGACGUCUUUUGUAAAGCUUCUAGUCUCAAGGUGAAUGUGGACAAGUCUAAGUUUAUGUGUUCUAGGAAUGUGCUUGUGAGUAAACGUAAUAGCUUUAUGAGUAUCUGCUCUAUGCGAGCUAUAUGUAAACUUGAUAGAUAUUUGGGUAUUCCUCUUGUGCAUGGAAGGUGCCAAGGUCUAUGUUCAACUCAAUUCUUGAGAAAAUUCAGAGGUGUAUGUCCACUUGAAAGUCUAAUCUCCUGAAUAAAUCAGGUAGGCUUUGUCUUGCCAAAUCUGUUCUUAAUUCGAUCCCUACUUAUACUAUGCAGACUAUGUGGAUUCCUUAGACCGUGUGUAAUGACAUUGCCUGAAUGACUCAUAACUUCAUCUGGGGUGGGGAUGUUCGAAGGCGCAACCUUAACCUGGUGAAGUGGGAUAUUAUUACUAAGCCCAAACAUCAUGGUGGCCUUGGUCUUCGUGAUUCUCGCUCGGUGAAUACUUCUCUCCUUGGUAAACUUUGCUAGAGCUUAUUAUCUGAUCAGAAUAAACUUUGGUGUAAUGUUUUGAGGAGUAAGUAUGUGGGUGACCUCUCGGUUUUGUUUGUUAUUCAAAAGCCUUGUGUUUCCUAUACUUGAAAAAUCAUUUUGAAGGCUAAUGCAUUGCUCAAAGAAGGCUUUGCCUAUCAUGUUGGCAGUGGUGACCAGUCUUUCUGGUAUGAUAAUUGGUGUGAGUUUGGUAAAAUUUGUAACAUGGUGGACUAUGUUCAUAUAUCUGAUACUCACCUUCGUGUUAGUGAUCUGUGUAGAGAUGAUUCUUGGGCUUUCAACAGUUUAUCAACUCUUCUUCCGCAAGAGGUUUGCCAAUUGAUAUCAGAUUGGGUUGUCCCCAGUUUCUCUUCGACUUAGGUUGGUUGGUUUUGGCAUCACCAUGCUUCUAGUAGCUUCACGGCUAAUUCUGGUUACAAUUGGCUUAAAUCUAGUGACAAUGAUGAUCUUCAUAGCUCAGAAUGGAGGUGGGUGUGGAGGUUAUUGGUUCCAGAAAAAGUGAGAUUCAUGUGUUGGCUUGCGAUUCAUAGCUCGCUCCCUACCAAUGAUCUUCGUUUUCAGAGACAUAUAUCUCCGACUUCGGUUUGUGCUCGAUGUAAUGGGUUUGUGGAAGACCUUUUCCAUACUAUUAGAGAUUGUCCUAACUCGGUCCUUCUUUGGCAUCGUCUUGGAUUUGUCCAUCCUAAUUUCUGGAGUAAUCAACCCUUCAGCAGCUGAUUGAGGUAUAAUUCUACACUCCCUAAUGGUAGUCUUUUCUUAGCAGGCAUCUGGUGGACUUGGAGGUGGAGGAAUAAUACCAUUUUGGGUACUCAGGCUUAGGAUAUCACCUAUGUGGCUGCUCGUGUCCAUCAGGACUAUAGAGAUUGGGCUUAUUCUAAUUUAGAUUAUGGUUAUGGGGAUAUCUCUAUCUCUCCGGUUCAAUGGUUUCAUCCUGCAGCUGGGCAAGUGAAGCUUAAUGUGGAUGACAGUUGUUCUAUGCAUUCCAAUAUCAUGGGUGGCGGUGGUGCUAUCCGGAAUCAUGAAGGAAAAUGGCUUCUUGGGUUUUCAUCUUGUGUUGGAGUUGGUUCUGCUGUUAGCUGAGUUCUUUGCGAUGGAACAAAGAUUGCUUUUGAGUUGGGAUGGGGGAUUUCGAUCUGUUGUGCUUGAGUGUGAUUGCUUGGAGGCUGUGCAAAUUAUUACGAAAAGUCUUGUGGUUAGAUACUAAAGGAUUUCCGAAGUGGUGAGUCGAAUACGUAAGCUAUUUGCUCGUUGCUGGGUGGUUCAGAUUAGCUUUAUUCAUAGAGAGACUAACUCAUUGGCGAACUUUAUGGCAAGGAAGUGUGCUCUUUCGGGCUCCAGUCUCAAGAUUUAGGUGACUGCUUCUGCAGGUGCGUCAGAUUUCUUAGUUUUGGAUGUCUUAGCUUAGUUUUUAUUUUUAUUUCCGUUGUACCAAAAAUAAUAUCUACCCAUAUUAGGAAAUAAAUUAUCUUAUUUCAUCACUAAAAUUAUGACAUGUCCUAUCUAAUAUUUUUCUGGAAAAAAACAUUUCUAAAAGCUAAAAAAAUAAUACACAUCAUAAUUUUAGUAAUUGGAUGACAUAACUUAUCUUAUAAUAUAAAGAUAUACCUUAUUCUCAAAAUAAAUAUUCUACACUAACAUAUAAGGAGUAAAUUAUGGAAUGACAUAUAAGAAAUAAAUUGUGCUAUGUACUUCUUGAGUGGAAGUAAUUUCUCUCGUUUUGUGCAUUAAAUGAUAUUUCUUCUUUAAUUUAUAAGUCAGCAUAAUCCAAAACAAAUUAGUUUCUUACCCAAAAGGGUGAGGUGAUACUUUUGAUAGUACAAAAAGAAUCACAAAUAAAAUACAAAUUUAUUUUGGUUUUGAGUAGCCCUUAGAUGUACAAUAUUUGUUUAAUUUCAUGCUCCUCAAAACCAAAAAAGUUUCUUCAAUAACUCAAUCAAUUCCAAAUUUACAACUUAAUAAAUUAAAGGUCAAAAGCUAAGGUAUGAUCAACAUGGGCAACCCAUAAUGUAAACGGAUAUUAUUGGUUAAAAAAAUUACCAAUCUUUAAAAAGCAAUUAAUGAAUUAACAAUGUUCAUCAUGCAAACAACAUGCAUAUAUAAAAUAACCAAGCCAAUAUACAUUUAUUUGACACCACAUAGUUGCUAGAUGAGGACAAAAAAAACCAGGUAAUAGUGUCAUCUACAAAAUACUUCUCCAUGUUAAAAGCAAUAUUGGCAGUUUGGGAAAUCCUAGAACCAGCUAAUAACAUUAUACAAAUUGAGAUCUAUUCUUCAUAAGCCAUUUAUUCCUUUUCAUUCUUCACAUCACUGAAAGAUGAGACUUACAUAGCCAAUAGCUUCAACACAAGUAGCUGAUAGCAAAACAUGGUUAAGAUCCCAGCAACUUUUUCCAUUUUGCAUAUGACCAAAUAAUCAGGAAAAGGAAUAUGCAACCUGCAGAUAUGCUCCCAACAAAGGGCCAGAAUAAAUUUUUUGUUUCAUAUAAUUCACAUGGAAUGUUCAUACCGAAAGCACCAGCAAUCAAAGUUUCAACAGCAAUGGCGAAUGAUGCAAUGGUCAGUGUCAACUGCAGCUGAAUAAGUUCGUUUCUAUGGUUAUCAAGUUGGAUGUUGACAUAGUCUUCUGUAUCAUCAAUAUACUCUCUAACCUGAAAAUCAAUAGCCAAUAAGAAGUGAGAACUACACCACUUCUAUAAAAUGAUAAUAAAAAUGAAACAACAAUCCCAGUAAGUCUCUUGUAUCAAAGUACAAAAGCACAAGUAACUGCAUCUUGGAAUCAAAUUUAGCCAACAUUUUAAAAUGAUAUAUAAAAUGGAAAUAUACAUCAGUCAAUCCAACAUCAAGGUCCAUCAAACAUUACUACUUUCCCUUCUAAUUAACCCAUCCCAUACUUAUUUCUUUUAUCAGAAAAGUGAAACUUAUUAAUGAAAUUGAAAUUUUCCCCAUCACAUACUUUGGGGGACUGAGUAGCAGUGAUGCAUCAAAAUGCCUGUCAUACCAGGUAUCUGAUACAUAUCAUAUCGGGAGCUUAGGAGCGGUUGGCCCUGGGGAGGUGCAGUAAGUGACUAAGUGCGACCGCCAUGCUCACGUUAAUAAGAGGUUCAUUUUAAAUAAAAAUAUAUCUAAUUAAACACCUUUUUUCUGAUUUAUUUUAUUAGUAUGUUUAUUUUUAUAAAUCAUAUAAUGAUUUUAUUUCAUUCUAUAAUUUUACUUUUUAAGUCAUUUGGCGAACAUGAUAACAGAGAAAAAAUAGUUAAAAUUUUAGAGCUCUUUGAAAUUUAAAAUUUGAUAAAUAGUUCUGUUGGCAAAGUUGCUGAACAUAAAGUGGAGUACCCACUAGCUACGCAACUUUCCAUAUCCCCAUACAAAACUUUGCCUGUGAUUUUUUUAAUAAAUUUAGGGCCCAUAUUUUAUCCACGCUAGGCCUCAACUAUGUCAGGACCGGCCUUGCAGGAGCUUUGAUACUUUCUAAAAAUCCAUCGCCACAAAACUAGCAUUACCACUAAUCCCUAAGCAUUAUCUCUAGAAUUAUGGUAACAAAACUUGCUACCCCUAUUCGUGCUGGAUUAAAUACAUUACUGGAAGCUUGAGAAUACCCAGGGCAAGCUCACAGUAGCAGUAGCAUCAAAUUGAAACUAGCAACAACAACCUAUUCUCAAAACAAGAGAAAAAUAAAAAGGAAGGGAGAAAGAAUCACAAUUCACAUGUCACAACAAACUUUGUCCAGACUGAGUCAUGUUAUGGAAAUCAAAUGUAUAUAUGACUUUAUCAUCUAAAAGUACUAGAGCACUUGGAUGGGAUGAUAAAAUCAAAAUCGAGUAUGACAAGUUCAACCUUCAAAGUUAGACACAGACAUGACUUCAGCAGAAUUUGGUCAUAAAAACACUUACAGACAGUAUCUUGUUACGAGUUCCAUCCAACUGCAUAAAAUAUGCUUCAAGCAACAUCUCCAGUUCCUCCACAUCAUUAUCAUCAUUGCUAGUCACAAGACUUCCACUUCUGGUAGAACCUAAUCGGCGAAGGUUAGAAAGGUUAUUUGAGACUGUGGCUCCAGAAUGGGCCUCAAAUUGCUGAUUCUGCAACCACUUCCUGGUCAAAUAUAACUGUGCCAUAUCUUCAUUGUCAUCUAACAGAUGUUCAAUUUCAUCCCGGACCUGUAACAGUGGGUCAUGCAUUUCCUAAGAAUGAUAUAACUUAUUUAUAAAACAGAGAAAUGACCUAUAGCCCUCUACUAUAGGAUAGCCUAUUACCACAAAAAAGGAAGCACAGUACAGUGGACAGAUAGAGAAAACUCAAAAAUAUCCUCAGUGACUUGAGCAACCUUGGGAAACGUGAAGACUACAAAAAUGGAUGGUGACUAUAGUAAAACUAAACUAAAAGAAACAAAGGGAAUAUAAUAAUGGGAGGAACAGCAGGAAGAAGAAUAUUGUACUUAUGCAGCAUACCUUUUGCACACGUGCCAGCAAACGUGUAAGGUUGCUCUUCAAACUUCGCACAUGUUCAAGAUUCUUGGUGCUAACGUUCCUAGCCAAUUCAUCUAGUACAGGGUAAGCACCUCUCUCAAGGUCUGCCACACUUGAAUCCAGAAAAGUACAGACAACUUCUAAAGCAAUCUCCAAAACUCGAAACUCAAAUGGAAGCUCAGCUUGCAAACCUUCAGCGGAUUCUGGUGCAGGUAACCAUUGUCUACCAAUAGAAACCUGCAUAUCAUUUUCUUGUUCAUCUGCAGGUCCAUGAAGCUUAGGUUGAUUUUUAUAUGGAAGUUGUUGCCUGAGUUGUUCAACGAAUGGAAGAACCUCCUGGCGAAGAGGAUCAAGCAAUAGCACUUCUUCAGCUGUGACUAUAGCCUUUAUAAACUCCAAAUUAACUACCAUUGCUCUCUCUCUGGCUGCAAUGAAAAUUAUGUGAUUCCAGUCCUUAUAUAAUCAUGAGAACUUCCACAUGAGGAGGAAAAGUGAAAAGUAUAAGGAGAGUAGAACCACUACAGUGCCUAUAAUUGUGAAUAAAUAUUUGAACACCAGAAGAGAAUUAGUAAACAUAGAGAUGCUGCCAAAACAAACAUAAUUUUCUUCCACAUAAGUCCAAAUGCAACUUUUUCAUGUGGCUCAGUGCACGAGGUUCUCACUUAAUGGGGUUUGGAUAAGGUAAAUAUCCACAGCCUUACCCCACAAGUGGAGAGGCUAUUUCCAGAAGUCCAAACACAACAUUAAUUUGCUACUUUGGCAAACAUAGACAUGUAAAAUGCACACAGGAAGUAUUUGAAAGAGCAUAUAGAGUUUAUUUGAGUUCUAAGAAUAUCUUAUGAUCCUCUAUAAGCUCUUUUUUCCUUACAGAGGAGGGAUGUAUGAAGAUCAAUUAUGAAUAACUUUAUCGGAAAAGCUUAGGAAAACAUGCUCUUUGUAGUUUAUUCAAAAAGAAAAAAACUUAUUGAAUAAGAAAUUCAUUAAGUUAUUUAUCCAAACACACCAUAAAAGUCUACAAACUAGUCUACCUUUUACCAUGCAUUCAUGCAACCCCCAUAUUCAUCCAAUUCCCUUCAGCACAAAAGUCACAUACCCCGAAAGCGAUUAGUUCCUUACCUAUAAGGUAAAAGAUACUCUUGGUAAUACAAAAAAAACACUCAAACAAUGCACAACACGAAUUCCUAAUACUGAAACCUCAUCUCUCAAUCCAAGUUACACAGAAUCCAUAAAGACAUAAGGGUAGGAAACACAACACAAUUUUUACCACCAACCCAAAAUUGGAAGCUGAAACAUAAUUCAACUAGUUUCCAGUAAAAUCAGAACUACAACAAAAAUUCCCACAAACCCUAAAACUCAUAAACUUCAAAAGAAGAAUUUCAAAAACCAAAAUCUCAAAGUUCAAACAUAGCUAAACAUCAUAGCACUACAAUCAACCACUCAUAGAAACCCUAAAACUCAAAUAACAAAGCCAAAAGGUUAAAAAAUCAAAAUUCAAUAAACUACCGAGGAUAUUAGAGGAGUGAGAGAAGACAGGGCCCAAAAUCCUCAAAUCCCUAGCAGGAAUCGCAGCAUGACGGAUGAUCAUAUUCUUGUCCCACUCCACCAGCUCCGAUCUUCCCGUCCGAUCAACCCGCAUCCACAACCUCGCUCCGCCGGUCUUCUUCUUCGCCUUCGUCACCGCACCGCCGCCACCGUUUUCGAAUGAGGAACCGGAAAUCGCGGGAGGCGGCGUUGCCAGCGGAGACUGCGACGGUGGCUUCUUGGUGCGGCGGCGUGGGGAUGAACGGCGAAAGGAAAAAGGACCCUUACCCAUUAUUAAAAAUAAUUAAUUAAUAAUAAUAAUAAUUAAUAUUUGAAUAUUGGGUAGUGAUAAUGGGAAUGGGAGAGAGAGGGUUCUUCUUGUUCUUCCAUAUAAUACAAAUCUCUCUCUCUCUCUCUCUCUGCGCCUUUUGUUUAGAGAAGUUAAUAUAAGAAGAAGAGUAUAAAUUAAUAUGAUAAUGAUUGAUAGAUUAAAAUAAAGUUAAUUUUAAAACAAACAGAUUUAAAUUUCACUACUUUCUGUUGUUGCUGUUAUCCUUUUCCUUCAAAAGUCAAUGUGGCAUUGACUUUUUAUUUAAUUUAUGGUAACUUUGUUAGCAUCAACCAUUUCUCUAAUGGACAACUGAAAAUUACUUUCAUUCGAGAUAAAAUAUCAAAAUUAGUCUUUUUGAGAAUUUUUAUUAAUAAAAAAAUAUGUGCAGUAACAAUGUAUGAAUUUUACACACUGAAUACAUCAUUCAUAUCUAAUUAUCUUUGACUUUUUUGUUAAAUAAAGUAAUCCAAAUGAAAUAUGGAUGAUAAAAGGGGACAAAUUAUCUACAAUUCAUCCAAAUCCUUCUAAACUAGAUCCAUCCAAAAUCAUUAUUUAAAGCUAAUGUAUAUAAUAUAAUGAAUAGUGGUGAUAAUUGAUCAUUCAAAUUCAUAUAUUAUAUCCGAUUGAUAUAUCCAUGCAUGAAAACCUAAUCUGUCUAAAAACAAUCAUUCAAAAUGACAUUAUUUGUUUUUAAUUUUAAACAAAUUCAUCCAUGAUUCUUUCUCUCACUUUUAAUCUUUUAUUAAAUUGAUAUCAAUUAUAAGAUAUGUGUAUGUAGUUAAUAUGAAAAGUUUAUCAUUAAGGAUAUAAUAUAUAUAUAAGUGUGAGAGAAAAAAUAUGCAUUGAUAGCGUAUGGAAUUUAUACAAUAUUAGUAGAUCAUCCACAAUUUAUAUUUAUCAUAAUUGAUUUUUCAAAAAGGUAAUCCAAAUGAAUGGUAGAUAAUGUAGUGAUUAUGUGUAAAUCUUUAUAAUAAUAAUGGAUAUAUUUACACAUAGAACCUUAAGUGUCACAUGCUUUAGAAUAUUCCAAUUUUUUUUAAUCUUUUUCUAAAAGUUCAAAAAAUCACUUUUUUAUAAAAUUAUUCUUUAAAAGUUUUUUUAAGUUUGAUUUUAAAAAAUGAUUUGUUGAGAUAAUAGUUUUUAAAAUAAUGAUUUUCUUCAAUAAUGUUUAGUUUCAAUAAAAAAAUCAAUUAGAUUGGAUAUUCAUCCAUCUAAAUUCAUGAAAAUGGAGUUAUGGAUGAAUUAGAUAUAAUUUAAAUGAAUUUAUAUGAAUUGACGAAUGACUUUCCAUCCAUCCAUUAGCAUCCAACUCAAAAUCUAUUCAUUUGCCAUUAUUAAUAAAUGAUGAGGUAAGUAUAUGUAAAUGUUUAAAGUGUAUAAAUAUUAUAUACGAAUCAUCAACAAUGUAAACACUGCAUAGAAAAUUUAGUAAUAGAAUUUGUUGAUCACUUAUAACUUAUAAGAUCUACAUUUUUUUGCUGGACGUUUUUCUUUAUAAAUUGAUUGGAUAUAAUUCAAUUGUGUCAAGCGGUUUUUAUUAUGAAUGUUUCUUAAGAAUUAUUAUUUUUAAGCAUAAAUUAAAGGUUGUAUGAUCCAUGAUGUUUAACAUUUAUGAACUCAACCUUAGUCUUUUGAGAGGGAAUAUAACACCACUAGUUGAAUUGCAAGGUUAACGUAACUCCAUGUCAUAGUAUAAUAACAACAAAAAAAACUAUUCUCAUCCUUAAAAAAAUUGUGUCUAAUAAUUUGACUUCCAAAAUUGAAAAAAUCAAAGUAUUUUUGGAAAAUCUAAUAUAUCUAUUAAAUUAGUCUUUGUGAUAAUUUUUUGGGAUACUUUAGUCCUUACAAUAUACUAUUUUAACAACAAUUAUACAUUCCUACUUACAAUUGUAAAUGUCAUACUAGUAAUGCAAAUGAUGAUAAUAUAAACGAGCGUUGAUUCAAGUGAUACAUGCUUGAUUUUCUUUAAGCAAAGUCUCAGGUUCGAGUCUUGUGGAUAGAAAAAAUGUCCGCUGGGAGAGAUAGCCCCACGUACUUGUGGAUGUUCUUGGUUCGGACAAGAUUACCUCUAGCACGAGGAUACCUGUGAGAAACAAAAAAAAAAUAGAUAUCAGAUAAAUAGAAAGGUAAGAGACAAAGUGAACUAAUUGAUAAACUUUACUAGAUUAUCAUCUAUAAAAAAAAUAUUUUCCGUCGAAUUAGCUCUGCUUAGCUUUCAAUUUGCCUCUGACUAUCAAAUGAAAUGUGAAUAACCCGCCUCCCCUCUUUGAAAUAAGGGGCGCUUCUGGUUCUGUCGGUGCUUAAAACAAUUUUGUCUUCUCCAUAUUACUUAUUAUUAUAUCUCUAGAGUCAAUAAUUUUAUAUGAGGAACUACUGAACUCAAUCACUUGCUGUCGUUACCCUUCAGUUUUCUAUUGAGGUCUAAGAAGUACUCAAAUUGGAUUAGUGAUCGAUUUCUAGGUUUCGUCGUAAACCUAAUUGGUUACUUCCAAUUACGUAAAUCAAUAGUUCAAACCGCACUCAAAGGUAAGACAUUUCCCAUUUUUAUAGGAACUUCUGUACCAGAAAUAAUGGUAUCUCUAAUGAUAGCCCCUCUGAGGUGUAAAAUAUAUUUUUUUUCACCAUCCGAUGAGAAAUAUUAUUUUUGUUAAGUUUGAUUAAAUGAAUAUACCAAUAGCAUAAGGAUAAAGUUAUUAAAAAGGUGAAGGCAUUGUUUCUUUGCAAAACAUAGCAUGGUAUGCAACACUCUUCAUGAUAAAAAUGAAUAAAAUGUCACUCUCGUCUUUGGUUUUAGGGUUCUUCCAUGAUAUUCCUUCUCCACUUAUUAUUACUGAUUUGGUUGAAAACAAAAUAAAGUAAACGACCACAGUGGGAGUCGAACCCACGACCUUCUGAUCCGAAGUCAGACGCGCUAAUCCACUGCGCUAUGCGGUCUUUUAUAUUCUUCAUCUGCCAAUGUACUAUAUAAUGUAUACCUAGUUCCUUAGGGUGAUUUUUUGGUACUACCUAGUACCAUGUACCAGGGUACCAGUAAAUUAACUAAUAUGUUUCGGGAUGCGUGACUGUCCCUCCCAACAAGUGUCACUCUUAUAAAUUGAAUUUUGACCUUUUGAUUAUCGUAAAUAUCUAUGGGUUGUACACAAUUAGACCCAUUCUUUGUUAGUCAAGACUUAUUUUUUUCAUUUUUUGUUGUUAUGGUUUAAUUCCGGAUUUGAACUGCAUAACUCUUCUAUGUUUCGGUUUUCAGUUUAAAGACAAAUUGCUCUCCUAUAUAAGAGUUUUAAAAUCAACAUUAUUAAUUGUUUGGAUUAAUAUAAAAAGUAUAUAGGCUUAUCACUUUAAAUAGUUCCUUCAACCAUCAACCUACUAAGGUUUAGUUAUAAAAAAUGUUAUGCAAGCAUGGAGUAUAAUAUUUGCAGUAGUAACAUGAUUUAAUGGUUUUAGUUGUUAUGGUUUAAUUCUAAAUUGGAAUGCCGGCUCUGGAAUUUAUAUUCCAAAUCAAAGACAAAAUUAUUUCCUUUAUAGGAGUAAAAUCAACAUUAUUUAGAACAACAUAAGAAGUAUAUUGGCAUAUCACUAUUGCUUCAAUCAUGAACUGUUCUCUAUUUAAUUAAGUUAUAUAAAUAUGCUUUGCAAGCAGAUUAAAAUAUCCAUAGUAGCAACAUGGUAUAAAGUUAUAUAACUACACCAUUCGCAAUAGCAACAUGGAUAAAAGGAUUUGGAUGUAAUUUGGGUUCAAAUCUUGAGAGUGUACCUUUUUUUUUUUUUGACAAAAUAUUCAUUCCUCCAUUUUGUUUGGGAGUUACUAGGAAAAGAGAGGAAGAGGGAUCAAAUGGUUAGGAAGGAAGAGGAAAAAUAAAUUAAUGAUAAUGUUAGAAUAUUUUUCAUUUUUCCUUAAAAAAAAAUGUAAUUAACAAUGAGAAAUAGAUAAUAAUAUAUAAUUAUAUAAUAUUACUAAAAAUAUUUAGGUAUUUUUGACAUUUUAUCUCCAAAAAAUCAUAAAUUGAGGAAACUUUAAAAAUAGACACAUGAAGAGUUUUGGAGAGUUUGAGAAACUCUUCAAAACAUUUCUCUCUCUUUCAUCCAACUCCCAAAUAAGGGGAGGCUUUUCAAAGUCAUCCAUUCUCUUCUUUUUUCUUCAAAAACCUCACUCCCAAACAAAGCCUCUAAGAGAAAAAGGAUUAUCAUUUAUAAGUUUUAUAUAAUGUUACUGCAUUAUCCAUCAUUUAUAUUUAAUCAUUUUAACUAUUUAUAAAAGUAAUAAAAAUGAAUUAUGGAUGGUGAUGCAUAGACUGUGUAUAAUUUUUUAUACUACGGAAGUCUACAUCUCUACAUCAUUUGGCUAAACAUAAGAAGUAUGUAUAUAAGAUAUAGGCUUAUCACUAUAUAUGGUUGAGUUAUAAAAAUAUGGUUUGCAAGGGAAGAGUAUAAUAUUGUUGUAGUAACAAGGUUCAAGUCCCAUUGUCGAUUUUUUUUUCUUUUCAAUUUUAAGAGAAAUUGCUUUCCUUUAGUAAAAUGAAAACAAUUUGGACCAACAUAAGAAGUGUAUAGGCUUAUUAUCACCAUAAAUAUUUGAUUCAGCAAUGAACCUUUUCUGUUUUGAUUUUAAAGUUUUGCUUUGCAAGGAAAUAUUAUAACAUCUGUAAUAGCAAUGUGGUUUAAUGGUCUCAUUUGUUAUGGUUAAUAUUGUUUUAUGAGAAUAAUGUAUCUCUUUAUAUCAGGAUAUAACUUAUUUUCUAUAACCAGUAAGAAUGUGACAUGUGUGCUAUUUUGUUUAUUUUAAAAAAGAUUUUUAUAGAAAAUGAUGAAACAUGACACAUGUCAUAGUUUCACUGGCAGGAGGAGAUAAUUUAUCUUCUUAUACUCCAUUCCCUUGUUUUAUUCUUAGGUUGUAGUAAAUUCUUGUUUAAGGCUUCUUUGGGAACUACAGAAGGGAGAACAGAAAAUUGGUUUUUUAUUAAAAGUAAUUUGAUUUUUAAUAACCGAAAAUCUGGUAAAAGAUUAAGAUGUGGAUUAAUUGGAAUUGGUGUAUCCAACAGAGAGUGAGAGAAGAUAUUUGAUUCCUACAAGAAACAUUAGGCCUCAAUGGCUUACAAUGGUAAAUUGGUAAUAGAAGCUACCAACCAAUGAAGGAUAAUGAAAUAGCUAGUUGAGACUAUGAGGACAUUGUUAUCUUUCUCAAAUGCUAAAAUGUUGGUCUAAUAGUUUAAGGUCCUAAAUUCUAAAUAAAUUAAAAUGUCAAAAAUUCAAUUUCUAUGAGCAAUAAUUAUUGAGAGGAACAACCAUACAUUUCAGAAAGGAUUAGUUCUUUGCCAAUAAAGUGAUAAAAUACCUCUCUUUAUACAAAAAAAAAAAAUGCUUUCAAGAUAGAAAUAUAGCUAGUUCAUUAUAAGUUAAAAAGCCAUUAAGAAAGGAUUUGGUACCUAAGUAAAGAGAUACUAGUAUGUUUUAUCUACAAAUAAUUUGAGACAUCUUCCAAAUGAUUGAUUGAGAUAGGUGUAUAGAUAAAAAAAUAUAAAGUGGGAGAUAUAAAUAAUUUGAUAAAGUUUUCAAUUUUAAGAACUAGAAAUUACACUACGUAGAAAAUGAGUAAGGAUCUUUUUCAUUAAUGAAGAGAUAAGUACAUAUUUUUCGUUUGUUUUUAAUGAUAAAAGUGUGAUUUCAUUGUAAUCAAAAGGAUAUAUAUGUAAUUUGAAGUUGUAUUUCUCUUUACUUUUUGAAGCUAUUCCAAAAUGGUGUCCCUAAUCCUGUCUCAUACCAUUUAUAUUUAAACACAUGGAUUUAAUAUUUUAAUUUUAUAAAAUAAAAUUAAAAUAAAGUGUUAUUUUUAUUUAUUGGCAAAGAGUAAUUGGAUUGGGACACAGAGACAGAGAAUGGAACUCCAAGGGAAUGAUGAUCCACUUCCCUUCCCUCUCCAUUGUAGAAAAUUUAUGUGCCAUUUCCAAGAUUAUAACACUUAUUCAAAUUCAACACCAGAAAACAAAUAAGAUGCUGGAAACCACACAAGAUUUACUUAAAUUGUCUCAGACAAGCACAUCAAAGAAACAAUCAUGAAACCAAAACCAUAAUUAAAUCUACAAGAAGGAAUUAAAUCAGCAAGUAAUGAUUCAUUCUUAAGAAAUAGUAAACAAAACAAAAAAAGGCCAAAGUGUCCAAAUAGCCAAUAUCAUAAGCAAAACUUAAACACAAGAGACAUAACAAAACAACAUAAUAAGAUAAGUAACAUAAGGUCACAACAACAUGUGACUACUUUUAACCAGUGAGUUCUUCCUCCUUGUGUGUCUCAAUGACAACAUCUGACUGAGGAUAAGCAACACAUGUAAGAACAAACCCUUCAUCUACUUGAUCAUCAUCAAGGAAGCUACCAUCAGUUUGGUCCACCUUUCCUUCCGUAACCUUACCAGCACAUGAAGAACAAGAACCAGCCCUACAAGAGUAGGGUAGGUCAAGGCCUUCUUCUUCUGCCUGGUCAAGGAUGUAUACAUCAUCAGGGCAUUCAAAUUCUUUAGGUCCGUCUGGGGUGAUGACCUUAACCUUGUAAGUAGCCAUGGCUAUAACAAGACUACGUCCACCUUUCACACCAAAAAGAGGCUCACCCAUGUUUGGGAAUGCCCUAAGGCUUGUGGCCAUUGGCUGGCUCCUAAGGAAGGAGGUGCUGCUAACCAUGGUUCCAGAGAGGGUUGGUGUAGUGGCCAUUGGUGUUGUUGCAAGAGUGGUUGGUGGAGGUAAAGAGUGGAUAGAACAACACUUGCUUGUGUUGUUUGAUGAUAAAGGGUGAGCUUGUGGAAAUGCUGUGAUUUAUUACAAUUUACAAGUUGUGUUGCAUGGAUACCCUAUCUGCCACGUGGCAGCAUGUUACACCUUGCUUUGUUAUCUCUUUAUCAUCAUGGUUACUUGGUCACUGUGGUUGGCACAAGCAUCUCCUCACAAGUUUCCAAACCCAAUAAAUUUUGAACCAUAAAAAAAUUUGAUUCACUCUCUUUUUUAUAUGGUUUGUAUAUAUAUAUGAAGGAGCUAAUAGAAAUUCCAAAAGAAGAAUAUAUCAAAUAAAUAUCAGUCCAAUUCCUUAGGAAGAAAGACCAAUAAAAAAAUCAUACAUGAAAUGAUUAAGUAAAAUUUAGAGAUCAAAGAUUCAUUAAUAAAUAUGAUUUAUGAUAGAAGAUUAUAAUGUUGUUUACUCUAUAUAACCAAUCUUGCUAAGAUAAAUAUUUGAUUGUUGUUAUUGGAUACAACGUAUUUAUCCAUUAAUGUUGUUUUCAAAAUUCCACUUCGGUCACUCGCUUGCAAUUAAGAGCAUAUAUAUUAGUAUUUCAAUUGAACUUGCAACUCAUAAUUGUCACUGCAACAGAUAAACAUUUUAAGUUGCCCAUAAGCUCAAAUCAGAAAAUGGUAAAGAAAAACUGCUAGAUUCUUCCAGCUAGUCAUUUGACAGUGUCACCAUCAUCUGCUUCAAGUGGCAUUGAAGUUAAGAUAACUUUAUUUUACUGGUUAAAAAGAUGACUUAUUAGAAACCUUGGGCAUUUUUUUAAACAACACCAUUAUUUAUCUGAUGUUUUCACUUACAAUUUUCAUAUCAAACUGAAACAUAUUAGCAAUUGUGAAAGAAGGUAGUUUACAAGGCAUAUUCUAAGAGAAAGUGAAAGAUGCCUUGCACUGAAUAUUUAUCCUUUCCCACACAAAAGGUCCACCAAAAUCAAGAGCAAGAACAAAACAGAUAAAAAAUAGUACAUAUCACAAGCAGAGCAGCAUGAACUGUAACUAAUGAAAACUAUUUUGUACCAAUUAAGUUGACAACCAUGUAAGUGAAAUUAAGUUGAUAUGAAAACUUAUUUGCUAAAACUGCAACAUAUGUGAAGGAGCAGUUUUACAUCAUGAGAUUAACACUAGUCAGUGUUCUAACUUCUUAGGUUCCAUCUAAAAUGACUGUCACUUCAAUGAUGAGAUAUUGAAAUAUUUAGAGGCAAAAGAAAAACUAACAAAGUCAAUGCAAGCAAUAAUUAAAAUGUAAACAUAAAAGGGUGUCAAGGAAGCACAUAAGGAUAUUCAAAUCUUAAUACAAAAUUCAUUUCUGAGACUUAAUCCCCUAUUAGUAGAAUGAAUAGCUAAAACCAUGUAGGGGAAUUUGACAAUAGUACUUCAAUGGGCACCUAUUUAUAAAGAGAUGAAACAGUGACCACAAGAUUCAGACAUUUUAACUAUCUAAAUUAUAAGGACAAACAAUUACAGCCUGGGGAAAAAAAUCUCAGGGCUACCCCAAUAUAGAAAAAUAAUACACCCUCAUUCUCCAAACCCUGUGAUUCAACUUGUAAAGAUUGUUAGGUUCCCCCACACACAUGGAAGUGCUCAGGUCUCACUCAUUAAACCGCCUUAGUCGCAUUUGAUGUUUCGGUAGAUCCUCCUCACAAACAAUCUUGAACCAAGAAAACCAACAGCUCCUGCACAUUUGAAGAAAAAGUUUAACUCGAGUUUAGGAAAUAAGAACAAAAGCAUUGAAGCAGGACCAUAGGAAGACGUGGGAUUUAUUCGAAACAUGAUUAAGGUAUAUACCACAUCUGCAAGAUAAAAACGGGAGCACAUCUGUUGUCCCACAGUUUGUGCCACUUCAUAUGCUAUGGGCUUGUGAUAAUUAAUUUUUAACUUAAAUAUAUUUUUUCUGACCAAUCACAAGCCCAUGGCACAUGGAGUGGCACAAACUGUGGGACAGCAGAUGUGUACCCGAUAAAAACCUACAAUCAAACUAAAGACUUACCACAUAGAAUUCCUAGUCCAAGAGAAAACAUUAAUGUGUAUCCAAAAUAGAAGCUAGUUUGGAAGAAGCCUGACAUCUUCGUCUUAACGUAGUAGUAGUAUAUUGAGUACAAAUACACAUAAACAGUUGUUGAGGCAGCUGAGAAGAAAGAAGUCCAUUGCCAGUGGUAGUUUUCAGCAUUUAACAAAAAGUAUGUCCCCACGAUUGUCACACAAACAGUAACGAUCAUAAGAAUCAGAAAAACCAAUAGCAUGAAGCCAUACACAUAGUACACCUGCUUGUCAGAAAAGAAGAAAAAUAUAUAUAUAAGCCAUUGCAGAUGUUCACUCAGCUUCCACUGACAUAUAAAUCUAUUUACUUCAAAGAUAUUAUAAAGAAAUAUUUUCUUAAUACUGCUGUGCUCUGAGCACAAGUAACCUUUCUAACCAAACCAAUAAGUACAAAGAGAAACCUUAUUACCAAAACAAGUCAGACAGUUGUAAUUCACCUUGUAAUUCCAGAAGGAAGUGAAUACGAAAUACAUUUCAAUGAAUAUGCUGCCAAAGGGUAGCAGUCCUCCCAUCAGAGAAACCACAGAGGGUGUGAGGUACCACUUCUUCUCAGGAAUGGGACGAGGAAUGGUCUUUACACGACAGGGAUUGUUUGGAGCGCCACUCCAGUUUCUGCCAACAACUGUUCCAAGAAGUGCUAGAGGGAAAGAGAUGAAAGCCCAAAUGACAAAAACAACUACCAUUGUGCCAAAUGGGAUAGCUGCUAGAGACCCGUAGAAUAUAGCAAUUGUGUUUAAGAAAAAUCCAAUUCCAAAGCACAGGAAUGGGAACAGAGAAGCAGUAAGGAUCAUGGAUUUAAUCCAGCUUUUACCUAACAAAGAGUUAAAAUGUUUAAUAACUUUCGAAGACAAAAAAAGAGAAGGCUGAGACAAAGCCAGCCAAACAAACUUCAGCAACUUCAAUGAAAUUCUUACCCCCAUUGCGGGAGUACAUUCCCCCACUCACAUAACCAGAAAUGAAUGAUGUAAGAGCAUAACAGACAAUGAAGGUUGUGACAAUUGCUCCUCUCCUGAGAUACAAAUGGAUAUUGGAAACAAAUUACAUGACAAUUAACGAAAACAGAACAAUGAAUAAGUGGCUGAGAUAUGCAACACAUAAAUGGGUAUUGGAAAAUUUUACAUGACAACGAAUGAAAACUAGAACAGUGAAUCAGUAGCUGAGAUAUGCAAGCAGCAAAAGCUAUGCACAUAUUACAUCAAGAAAAACUUGCAUACAACCUCUCACUACCAUAAAUAUCAAUAUCCAGAUUAAUGUUACAGUCAGUUUAAGGUUAUAAACAUACCCGAUAUACAGCAUACCAAUAAUAGCCAACAAGAUGACAAGAAGAACCAGCAAUGCUAGCUGAGCACCAGUACCAACAACAGCUGAAAGAACAACUAAAUAGCGAGGAGGCCGAAAAACAUCACCAUGCACAAGUUUCCAACCAGAUUCUUCACUAACAUCUCUCUCCUGUAAGCAUGUAAGUAUUGACCAAAAUUUGACAAUUAGAACUGAAACAAUUCUCUAGAAGAAAGAAUCCAUAUUCCAUAAAUAAAUAAGAAAGGAUAAAAGUCAAGAAGCCAUCACCAGACUUUCCAAAUCAUCAUCCUCCCGAGCAUAUUUUGCAUAGUCAUUUCUCAGAGUUCGCAUUAAUAUCAUUGACACCAAUCCAGUAAGGAAGAUGACCAUCAUGAAAGAGUUAAAAAUGGAGAACCAAUGGAUCUGGAAAAGGCCAUAGAAGCAAAUUACUCAGGGUGUCAGCGACGGAUCUAAGGUAGGAUCCACUUGGAUGAACACAUAAAAGUUAACAUAUCAUAAACACCAUUUAAAUCUUGAAAACAGCUGUCAGCAUUUAUUUUAACCUGAUGCUCAAAGAAAGGAUAGUCAAGGUAGACAUCAAAGCGGUGUCUGAAAGUGACAUUAGUAGGAAUCCAUUUGACAGAAUAUGUCAAGUCCAAAUGUUUUCCUGCUUCCAAAGGCUUUGGAAUAUCCUGAGUGAGAUUAACAUGAAUGAUCUGCAAUAAAAAAAGAUGUAGAAAUGAAACCUCUUGGAUCUAAAAAACCCUCAUAUAGACAGCAAUAAAUUUGAAUAACUUCUGACCUGAUCUUUAUUGUAUUUAACAAUAAUGUUCUUGUGUGUGUAAAGGACAUGCUUGCCACUAUCACUAUUCUUAUCAGGAUGUAGCUCACCAACAUAUCCUUAAACAUGAAUAAAAGAAUCUUUGUCAAUGAUCAAAAAAUGAAAUGCAAAAUCAUAUCAAAUAAAGAAAGAAAGAGGCAGUUCUAGACAUACCCCACAAAGGAAGAUCAUCUGAACUCGUGUUUAGCGCAUCACAACCAAAAGAAAUAACCAAGCAAAUAACAAACGAAAGUUAGUUUGUUCAGAAAAAGGAAGGAAAGGAUAACCAUGACAUGUUAAUUAUUAAAUAAAAACAAUUGACAGAAAUCUGCAGAAAAUUUGCUCAGUCACCAUAUUACAAUAAACUGAAUCAGGACGAGAUAAGAUUUUGAUUAUCUAACAUUCAAUUAUUGGAAAAUGCUUAAGAAAUUACAACAAGCAUAAUUUUUAAUUUCAUGUUUCUUUCAGUUCUACAGAUUAUAGGUGUAUAACAUAGUAAACUAGCAGACAUUAAGGUAUUCAAGAAUACUUCAAAAACAACUUCACAUAAAGACUUCAUUCGCAACGUCAUAUUCUUUUAGCUUCAGUGACUAUUGACUAUAAAUAUCACAAAAUACUCAGCCCGAUGGAUCCUCUGGUCAUAGUAAUUAUAGGUUCAGAAUGCAUCUCCUUUCAAGAAGUACAAUGCCUAAACAUAUGAUAAAAGUCAUCAUGCAUACAUCAACAAUCACACACAUAAUGAAAAUAACAAUGAAACUAGAUAAUUAUUUCCCAAUUGACAUAAAUAACCCGAACAUGUAAUGUAAAUGUCUAUUUUUAAUCAAGCUGAUCAGUCUUGGUUGCAAAGGAACGUAGGGGGAGAAUGUCCAUAAUUUCAAUUAGCCGUUGACUACCUGAAGCCAAGCAAGACAUGCUAUAAACAAAAAACAAAAAUCUGCAACCUUUUAACAUUUAUUGCAAGUGCAAUCAUUCUAUGAGUUCUCAAAAUAAUAAGUAAAAGAAACAAUGAAAAACAUACCCACGAAGAAUUCAAACCAAUAAUUAUUCUCUAUUGCAUCCUUGAACUGUUUCACCUUUGCCUCAUCGAGAGCUACCUGGCAAAAGACAGUUUUAUCCACAUUUCCUGAAAUUAAGAGUAUCCAUUAAACACAUGUUGGAUACUGAAAUUUUUUGUAUGAAGUUAAUAAUACAACAGAAGUCUUCAUACUUUGGAACUUGAUCUCAACUUGACUAUCAAUGAGUUCAUUGCCACCAAGCACCUCACCAAGACCACCCCAUUUGUGUGCAGCCUCAACACUACUAGAUGGAUGACAAAAAGGGAGGCUGUAAUAGUUGUAAGUUUCUUGUGGGUUGUUAUACGGACCAACUUUGUUCACCCAAAGGGUAACUGGGUCAUCUUGUUGAUACUGCAAUAAAAAUACAUCCUUUUAAGAUAGAACCAUGCACCACCUGAAAGAUGCAUGACAUAGUGGAUUUGCAAAGCAUAACUUGAAGCUCAACAUUUUAAGGACCCUUCUAUUUCAGCUUUUAAAAAAAUGCUUUUUUUAUUUAAUAAAUCACAUCUCACACUUUCUUUUGCUUAGACUUUUGCUAAAAAUGCAAAAUCUACACACAAAAAAUGAAAUGCACUUUUAUAAGGAAAACAAAUUGACACAUUUACGUAAAAAGCUUAAUUGAGCGCUUAUUGAAUGAACAUCCUUGGAAUAAACUAAAAAGAGCUUAUUUUCAUAAACUUCUCUAAUAAGCAUAUGGAAAGAAGCACUAGAAAGGUCGAAAGAUAUUCUCAUGGGCUUAAUGAAACUAAACUGGUUUCCAUGCGCUCUUCCAAAUGCCCCUAUCUAGCUUUUCUAAAAUAACCCCUAAUUUACUUUUAAAAGAGAAACCACUAACAAAUUUUAAUUUUCUUAUAAUUGAAUCUAAAUAUGAAACAGCUUUUGAUUUACAUAAAAGCUAUAUAGCAAAAUCCCUCUUUCUAAUCCUAAACAAACAUGCCCUUUCAACAAAUAUAUAAUUAAAUAAAACAAUUGGUAUCCUAGGUCAAAAGAACCUAAAUUGAAUUUCAUAAACAAACAAAAAAACUAAGCAUUGAACCACCUACAUUGUACACCAACGUGAGCACAACAAAACCAUAUAACAUAGAAACCCAGUUGAGAUCUAACACUAAAAACCCAAACUUUUUCAUUCAUAGACAAACCCAUCACUCAUAAUUCAAAAAAAAAUAUGAUAGAUCGAAAUCCCAAUUGAGAAAAUAAAACGCAGAUCGAAAGAAGGGUUUGGAAAAUAAGGAACAUUAAAUUACCUUAUGAUCUGAUUCAGAAGCAGAGACCAAAGUUAAGAAGAGGAAGAAGAAGAGAAAAAGAGAUCUGGAUUCGAAUGACAUGGCAGUGAAGGGUAGAGUGAGAUCGAUCUCAGAUUGAAACCGAAGUGUGGGUAAGAGGGGAAUAGAAAGAGAACACAAUAGAGAGAGACUAAUAAAAAUAGUGUUAUUAUUAAAUUAUUAUAUUCUUAUUCUAUUAUUAUCCUUAUUAUUAUUCACUUUGCUGGUAUUGAAAGUCAGAAUGAAAAAGGUGUACAAUUCAUUUCACCAUACAAAAGCAAUUCUAAUAAAAGAUCAUCAUGUCCAAAAAAAAAUUAUUUUUAUAUCUUUAGUUAAUCAAAUUUUAACAAAUAAUAUAAAAAUGUUAUUAUAAUAUUUUUAUAAUUGAGUUGGACAUUGAACGAGAUAGAUAAAUUUUUUUCACGCUAGACAUAUGAUUUUCAUUUCACACAAAUUUCCUUCUUGAGUUCUUGUCUAGGGCUAUCUAUUUAACUAUGUCCAUUUUCUCCAUACUUUAUGGGCAUUCUUCAGAUUUUUGAACCUCAUACACUUUUGUAAGGCUAAAUAUUAUUAUGGUUCUGUUUAUACUUUAUAGUUAAUUUUUAUUUUAGUCAUUGUGUUUUUAAAGUUUUUACUUUUUAGUUCAUGUAUUUUGUUAGCUUUGAUUUUAGAUUUCAUUAUUAACAUGGAUAAAAUAUGAUAAUAUGGACGAAUUCUUAAAUACAAAAAAAAAAUAAAGUUUACGAUGAUAACUAAAAUAAAAGUCCACUAAAAAUACAAGGACUAAAAGCUUUAAAAAAUAAAUCAAAAUCAAAAUAAAUAUAAAGUAGUCACCACUCACCACAAAUCACACUUAAGUCAUUUGUUAUUCUUUUUACCUCUUCUUUUCACCAUUUUGUUUUGUAUGUAAAAAUUAUUGAACAUGUUUGAUACAAAUUAUAUUUUUAGUUUUAGUUUAUAAACUAUCAUAUAAUAAACCUUAUUACGCAUCCUCAUAACCUCAGCCCAGAAAAUAGACUUGAAUAAUUUAAAAAAUUGCCCGCUUUUGGUUCUUAUCUUAGACAAUAUAUUUAAAAAAUUCACAAGUUUUAUAUUUUUAGUUCUUAAAUAAAACUUGCCCAGUUGGUUCCUAUCUUAGACACUAGGCUUGCAGAGAAUCUCAACAAACUUAACAUAAAUUCUUAAGCGAUAAAUUAAAUUUUUGGUUUACUUUUUUCUUAGGACUUGUUUGGAAGUGAAUUUUGGAAGGGAAAGAGGAAGCUUAAGAGUCAUGAAAUGCACUUGUGAGAUGACUCUCAAGCCUUCAAUUUUUCUUCAUUCUCCUCCAAAAUUCAACUCUUAAACAAGUCAUGGCUUGAGUUUUGCCGGCAUAAAAUUCAGAUGUGACAGUAUUAUAAUUUAUAAGUUCUAGCUCUUCCUUGAAUUGCACAUUUUAGUUGAUAUUGUUAUUUUACAAGAGUUAUAAUAGUCACAAUACUAUAACUUAUAAGUGCAAGGUCUUUGUUUUCACUUUUCACCACUCUGAAUAUCAUGUGGUUGGUCUUUAAAACAAAGGGACAUGAAUUUGAGAACAUAAUUCCACAUCAUUUGAUUGGGACAUAGUUUGGCAUAUCUUACAUAAUUUGCCCUUAGGUCUCUUUAAUUAAUAAAACUCUUACACAACAGCAAACUACUUUACACACUUCUAUAUACAAAUUUGUGUUACCUAUAUACGUACUUACCAAUAAUAUCAUAUGUUAUCAAUCAAAUAUUCAUACCAUGGUCCAUGGACACUAACUGAUAUAGUGGCAGCCACAAUCAAAAUUUCAGCACCACUCACUACCAUUUCAGUGAGAACAGCAGCCCCAACUUUCCUCAGAGCCAUUUCUGCAAUUUUCUUUCCGAUGGCCCCACUUCCUCCGAGUACGACUCCACGCAAAGCUGAAUAGACAGCAUUAAACACCCUCUCAAACACAGCAUCACCGGCUUGUAAGCUCUUUCCUAACAUCCUGGCAAUAACAAUCUUCCUUGAUUGAAGUUUUUCUGUAUCCAUGACUUCAUCGCCAAUUGCAGACACAUUGCAAAUCACUUCAACGAUAUUGUUAGUAUCAGCAUCUUUAAAGCGGUCUAGCAGUUCAAUGAGUUGUUCAGCGCACUUGGACACUACAAUUUCCUUAUCCACUGGGCUAGCUACUGCAUUAUUUUCACUCAGGAGAAUCUGGCGGCAUAUAAGAAUGCUGCAAUUCCAAAAACCAGAUAAAAUUGUUAGAUAUACAUUCAUGCACACAUUUUAAAUUACCUUGAAAGAAGUACCAUUUCCCAAACAAUUAUUCACAUAAGACGUGAUAACCCCUGGACAGUGGACACAAAUAUCACAGCACUCUUACCUGGUACAAAUCACAAUAAUCUUCUGAAUUUGAGCCUGGAUAGACCUCAACCUGGAGAAGUUAAGAAAUAGAGUUUCUGGCAGAUCUUCUUUGGUCAAACCAGAUAUACCAGUUACUAAUUUUAGCAAACUAAGCCUCACAACUAGAUCAACUUGUUCUCCUUUGCAUUCUGGCUGCUGAUUACCUGAGCAAAUAAUAUAACAUACAUGCGUUGUUAAAACAAGUAUCUGCCUCAAAACCUGUAACGAUGCAAGUAUAAGAAUCACAAAUUCAAUGUUUCGUAAAAUUUGAACCUGAAGCAUUUCCACCAUCAGUGGAAGAGGCCAUUUCACUGCCAGUUGUUUUAAGGAGAAUAUUUCCUCCAGUUCUGAGAGUGGUUGAAGGGAGCCAAUCUUGGGAUGAACUAUCAUUGUUGGCCAAAGCUGGGGAGAAACUAAUGUGUUCUUCCCAUUCCUGAUCUUUGUGAUUCAUAACAGAUGAAAGGCAUCUCAGUGUUGAGGACAGUGACACAUUGGCAUUUGAUGGAGAUCCAUAUCGGUUAGCAAAGGCAUUCCUAAGGUAAUCCAGACCAGCAGGCCCCUUUACUAAAGGCUCCAUUAAUCUUAUGUGUGCCUUGCUUAUCUCUUUCUUAAGAGUCUGCCGGAAGAAUUUAUUGUGUCACAAAAUAUAAAACCAAGUAAAUAAAUAUUUACAAGAAAACUUCCUAAAUGACCAAUUAAGCAAAUAGAACAACCAAUAAAGUAAAGGUAUUGAAACAAACCUGAAUCUGUUCUAAGACAAAUUGCAAACCUUUGACCAAGGUCAUAACACAUGAAUUGUUUGACUCAUCUCCAGAUUGACACAUUUCACUCAACUGUGAAAAUAAUUUCUGGUGUGUUGCCUUCAUAGUCUCCUCAGUGGCUGGAGCAGAGAGCUUCUGCAAAGUGACUAGAGAAAACUCUAGAAUUUUUCCGAGGUAAUCGACAUCCAGAUUACCCGAUAUGAGCACCUUUAGAAAUGAAUAAGAAAGAUAAAUAUCAGAAUCAGAAAAGGAUACAUAAGAGUUGAUAUGUAAAUGCUGCAUUUGCAUAUAUUAGUCAUCACAUACAAGAGAAUAUAACUGGCUGCUACCUGAGAAAGAAUUUUUAGAUCAAUUGCAGCAAAAAUAUCUUCUUUCCAGCUUUGUGGAGCCACAUCACAAAUUUCAUCCCUAACCUCUCCCAUGAGCUGAACAAUCAAAUCAUAGUUGGGCUGGUUCUGCCUAACUGAUUCUAAGAUAACAUCCCAAAAAGCCUUUUCCAUUGUUUGUUUUAUUUUCUGCUGAAGGUAAAAGGUAAAUGAAUAAGAAUUAAAAAAAUUAUAGAUCAUAGGCCCUUAUCAGCUUAAUAAAAUAGACAGCCAUGUCAUGUAGGAAUAAUAACAAAGGCACAAAGCAUGAGCAGGUCAAUGUCAAAGGCCAGAGUAUACAUAUUUUCAUACAAAAUCAGCCAUCAAUGAUAACUUUUUAUAGAGAUGUACUGACUACUGACCUCAACGCCAUCCUGAAUGUGAUCAGAGACACCAAAGCCAUCAGAGAAACUAUGUUGAUGCUCAUGGAGAAAUUCAUUAACUAGAACUUCAUUUUCUGUCACUAACUUUUCAGAGGAAGAAGCCAUCAGACUGUCUGAACUGGUUCUAGGUCCAGAGGAGCUGGACCCUGCAGAGAACUGAGUAUUGGUCUCCUUAAAUAGUGAGCGAACUACAGUGCUUGUACUUUGACUACUAUCAUCUGAAAUGUUUCUUUCACUUGAGCUGGCAAGAGUAGAGAGAGGAGAUACGUUUGUUGGGUUUACCAAUAUAGACACACUUGUAGAUGGGCUUCCACUUUGCUUCACUCUAUAGUACUUAGAUCGUGUUUCAGAUAGUGCACAUUCCAUAUGCUCAAUCCCAGCAUCUCCACUGAGCUGCUGCACCUUUUCUCUCAAAAGUCUUUGAUCUUUAAUAACCUACAAUGAAAGGCAAAAACAAUAUAUUUGUCCAGACGUUAGAUUCUUGACUGAUCUUCUUACAUCUACAUCAUGAAAAGAAGGACAAGGCUAAAGCUUACUUUAUUGUAGCAAUAAUAAAGAAGUUAAAGCAUAUAUCCAAAUUGAAAUGCAUGAACAUCCAAAUAACUGUAAAUUUGCAUCAUGACACAUUUGUUGGAGAAGGGAAAAGUAGUGGUAAUGGUUACUCAUUGCAAGAGGCAGAUUCUGUACACAUCUGAAAAUUUCAAUAAGCCGUAGACACUUUCUAAAGCCAUUAAUGUUCAAGCUUCUAUGAUAUUGCAAAACAGUUAAUCAAUAAUGGGUAACAUUUAAAGUCAGAACUCACAGCUAUUGACAUGUACAAUUACCUUACGUCGAAUAGCUUUCAAAUCAUCACUGAGUUGACCACUAUCUCCUUCUGCAGUUAACUUGCAUGUUCGAAUCAUAGAAGCCUCCAGCUGGCAAGCUGCUCUAACCAGAUCCUCCUCCAGUGAUUGAGCAUCUUUCACCUUCCAGACCACAAAACAGUUCAAGUACGUGUACCAUGCUUUAUCAAAAGCAACAAGCUGAGACCUGAAGGUAACACUCUUUAUUACUGCUGAGCCAGACUCUUGAUCAGAACACUGUAUCUGUCCUAUAGGCCCAUCUAAUAUAACCUUUAUCAUCAACUCAAAUAUCUGGACGAAAUCUUGUGCAGACCUAGCAAGAGCAAUCUCGUGUUCUCCCUUUCUGCUGAAAACUGCAUCUGGAUGACCCAAUAUCAUAUAAGCACAAAAAACAACUCUCAGUGGAUACCUUGAUAACCAAGACCCCCUGACUGAAACUACUUUUUUUGUCUCCCAGGACCUUACAGAACUAGCAGGAGAAGGCCUUUUCUUUUGGGAAGCAACCCGUUUAAGAAGGUGAUCAAUGUUAUCCAAGCUAGACAAGUGACUAGCAGGAGCAACUUCUCUAGACACUUUAAGGCGACUCUCAAUCCGGUCAAGUAAAGCUUUCAAAGUUUGAUGCGUAGAAGCUGAUUCAACCAGAAGAGCAAGCUGCUCAAAAGGCAUUGACUUGACAGAUUUCUCAUUGAUCCCCAGUGUAUCAUAUGCCUUUGCCAACUCAAAGGUGGUUCUCUUCUGCCUUAGAAACUCCCUCCAGUAUCUACAAAACACAAUUAGGUUAGGAAAAGAACUAAGUAACAUCUAGUAAAGUUGAAGGAAAAACGAAAUAAAAUAAUACAACAAAGCAAGAUAACAUCCAUAGCAUAUGAUACAACCAGAAAGCAAUUCAAGACAGGAUGUAUACACUGUAAUUCAGUUUCUAGAGUUAUAAAUUCUGUGAACAGAAAAAACAUUUUUUCUUCAAAUACUAAUUUACAAAAUACUAUUUAGCUUAGACCCUUCUCCAUCAUGACUACAACUGAGUAAGCAGUAGAAGCUAGCAAAACUUCUAAAAUAUUGCAAAAGAAAUAUCCUAAUUUAUAAAUGCAAAUAACCUUGCCAGUUUUAUGGAAAGAAGUUCUGCUGGCUUCCUUGGCAAACUAUCCCAGUUAUCUUGUGCAUGACCAUGCAGCCUUCCCUUCUGCCUGGGACAUUGAGCUCUUUGUAUUUGUGCCUAAUUAAUAUGAAAUUGCAAGGCAUUAGUGAUGUAACAAAAAUCUACCAAGCACCCUUGGAAACUUUUAGGAUGGUGAAAAAACAUACAAAUAACUUCAAUAAACACCAUACCCUCUGUAAUCGAUCUUCAAUUGUGUCCUUUAUUUUCAUUCUCUCAAUUUCACCCGCAUAAGAUACAGAAUUUGCCAAAGCACGUGCCCUCUUCUUCCCAGCCUCCAGAAACUCAAGUCGUUUUCUUUCAGCAGCAGCUCGUUUUUGGUGAAUUGCAGCACGCACACACUCCUUAUAUUUGCUUUCUCGAGCCAUCCUUUGCUUCAAUGAUUGAGAUGACCUUUCUCUAAGGAAGGCACUUCUUUGUCUUCGAGCUUUGAGGAUAAGCGUCCUAUUAGCUUCAGCCUGCUGAACACGUGAUUCCAUCUUCGUCUCAAGCUUCACACGUUCAUUCUUGUAACGCAUCUCUAAUCCAGUUUUUGCUGCUUUCCGCGAUUCAUCCAACCUUGCUAAGCGCAUAUGGGACUUCUCCAAAAUGAGUAACCUGUCAGGUAGACAUUAAAUUAGCACAAUGGAACAGGUUAAGCAUCAUUCACAUAAACUAUUUAUAUCCGUUUCUGGCAAGAAGAGCUCUUUCAUAAAUGGAGUAUAUUUUAAUUACUUUCACUAUAAAAAUUCCAGAAAGAAGUGUGUAAGACAGUGUGUCUCAUUCAAAAACAUAAAAUGCUAACAAAAAAGAAUUCAUUAGGAGUAAUACGAGAGGUAUAUCAGUCAGACUAUCAAAGAGAAGGAUCGUUAUUUUUAAAUUCAAGAUAGUUAAGUUUAUACAUUAAACUAAUGCCACUGAGUACUAACUACAUGCUGGUCAUAUUUGGAGUAAUUAAUUUUCCCAAAUCGAAAUAGUUGGGAAAGACAAGAACAUACUGACAAUGACUCAAUGAGUAAUGCAAUUCCAGUGAGGACACCAAAAAUAAAACAAAGUAAAUGCCAGUAUGCCACAUAUAAUGUCGUAAUGUUCUUGCAGUUUAAAAAUACUGGUAAAGCCACUAGGAGUCUAGGAUUAAGCAAGUGGUGAGGAGUUUGAGUAGUUUGCACAAGAUUGUAGGCUCAAACCUCAGUGCCAUCAUUGUAACAAAAAACUUAAACAUAGGCAAUACAUAUAGCAUGGAACUCGCUAUAGUAUCAAAAUAGGAAAAUUUCCUAAUUUGGCAUUACUACUUCAAAACUUUACGCCAAAAACAAGCAACGUCCCCAGAAUCCAAAAUGCUGCUUUUAGUAGCAGUUAAAAUCUGACCAAGAAAGUUAAAUUGAUAAACAAAAGGAUCUACAGAAUAGGCUGGACCGCUGGAGCAACAUAAAAGCAGCCGUUGCGUUUUGGAAACAACAUAAAGCAACAUGUUCAUACUUGUUAAAAAAAUACAUGAUAGUAAGUCACAACAAAACAACCAAGCAGGCAAGUAUUCACCUCUUCUGUUCAGCAGCUCGCAUCUUAGCUUCAAUUGGAUGGCCAUGAUCUUCCUCCUGAGAUGAACACCUCGGGGGGCUUCUUAGAAAGGCGCGUGCCUUGCUUGACAGCUUCUCAUAGUAUUUCUGCAUUCGGAAAUGGCAUAUCUACAUAAAUAUUCUUCUACACAAACACAGUUUUUUAAAGUUUUUGGUUUCUGGAAAAUUGAGAAUGUACUUGCUCAGUAGUUCACACCAGUAAGGACUAAGAUGAAUCGAAUUUGAAUAAUUUGAACAUGUUUAGAUUAGCUUAUUUUGAGUCCAAAUUAAUUUGUAAUAAAAUAUUGAGAAAAAAAUUGAUUAACAAAAUGACAAAGUGAUAAAAUUUACACAUACUUUAAAUCAAUAAGUAAAUUAUGAACGAGGAACAUUUUCAAAGACAACUACUCAAAUUUCAUUGGAAAAAACGAAUAAUUUAACCAAUCAAGCAGUUUCUAGAGAAAUGGUGAGAGAGAAGAAGAAGAAGAAGAAGAAGAAGAAACCUCUCUGCGAAGAUCAGCUUCCCUGAGCUUAGUUUCGAUCUCCUCAACAGUAACAAGGGACUUGCAAUCUACAUUAACAAGCCGUUGCCGGAGCCUCGUUGGUGGCAUCGCCGGGGGCAGCUCGGGAUCAGCAUUUCCGGCCGGGAACUCCAUCGCAAUGCCGCCUCCGGCGGAUCUACACGCCGGUAACUCCGCUCCAGUUGGCAUAGUGAGAAAAAAUAGGACGGCGUAUGAAGGCGUAAAAUAAUUGCAAAUCUGAAAAAGUGAAGACAACAGAGAAUGAUCGCUUCUUUUUCUGCUAUUUUUCCCUCUCAAUUAAACUGUUUUAAACUUGAGUAUGGUUCAAUUCUAGAGAGAGGUUAACAUGUUGUUUCAUUUUUUUUUAUUGUAAGGUUGUUUUAAUUUUCAGCAUCAAAGAAUGAUAUUUUUUUAUGGUGUGAUUGGUCUCUACCAAAUUGUUACUUUUUAUUCUAGUCAUUCAAAAAAUAUGAAUUUAUUGACAUUGGAGUAGUCAUGACAUGUAAUUACUUUGAGUAGGACGUAAGGAUGGCAACAGGCACUAGCGGACGCGUAAUAUUUACGGGUACCCGUGUGGGUAACGGGUAUUUGGUAUUUGUGGUAUCCAAUGAGUUUUUAAUUUUAAUUAUAAAUUUAUAUAAUUUAUAAUAAUCGAUAUGUAAAAAUAAUUGUUACGUGAGUAGUAUGAUAUUUAUAUGAUAAAUUUAUGAUCAUAGUCAAAUAUGUAUAAUUUAUUGUAAAAUAAUAAUAAAGUAUAUGAUAUAUAGUCUUAAAAUAAUAAUAAACAUAUAUAAAAAUUUAACUACAAAUUAAAUACAUAAAUUUGCGGGUACCCGCGGAACGGGUAUCACAAAACUCACUCCCGCUCAUAAGCUAUUAUUGCAGGUACCCACGGGUCGGGUUUUUUUGUCAUCCCUAGCUGGAUUGUUUCUUAUAUUCAUCAUUUCACCCUAUAUUUCAAUCAAAUAAUAUUAUCUUACAUAUUCGUCUAUAUCAUUAAAAAAGUAAUCACAAGUCAUUGGUCUAAUGGUGUAAGGCUCCAUAAGAUCCUCAAGGUUAAGGGUUCGAUUUCUCUGAGCGACAUUUAUUGGGAGAGACAUCCAUGAACCCAAAAGAGAUUAAUUCCUUAUCCAAAAAGGUGAGUGAAUACAUUUGGUAAUACCAAAAAAAGUUAUGGUUUAUUUAUUAGUAAUUCAUCUAUGCAUGACAUAUUUUACUUUCUUGUGGGUAGAAAGUUUUAGUAGAAUAAAAUAUGGAUACACUAUUUUAAUGUCCAUUAAAAAGAAUUAUUUUAGUCAUAUCGAAUUCAAUUUAUUAUAUCGAAUUCAAGUUGUAGAUCAUUUAUUGUAUUCACCCUAAUAGGGGUGACAAUAUGGGUCAGCCCGGCCUGGCCCGCCUUUGGCCCGUCAGAAUAUGGGUUGGUCUGGCCCAUCCCUUAUUGUUAAAAGGGCUUAAAAUGUCAGUCCGCCCCAUAUUUGGCAGAGCUGGCAGGCCGGUGGGCUGGCCCGUUUUUGUUUUUGUUUUUCAAAACACACAUUAAAGCUUUGAGACAAAAAUAAAUAAUUCAAACAAUUCAUAAAUGUCUUUUAAAACAAAAAAUCACAAACAAAAGACACAAUCUCAUAAUAACAUAUUGCAUUAGUACAAAACUUGUAAAUUCUAAACAAUAAACUACCAUAAUUUUAAACUUUUAGACUUCCAGUUCACAAUAGAGCUUAUAACUCCUAAAUUUUAAAAAUGUAUAAAAAUCAUAACUAUUAUAUUAUAAAUCAAUCACAAUAAAAUAUAUAUGUUACUCAAUUUAAUUUGAAUUCGACUACAUUAAAAAUAUAAAUUGAAACUCAGUCGAAUUCAAUUAAUUUUCCAAAAGGAAUCAAAAUCAGUAGUUCUAUUUGAGUUUCCAAUUUUCCAUUUCAAUUAAUUAAAUGUUUAAAUUUGAUUCAAACACCCCUAAUUGUCAGUGAAACUUCACCUCUAUCUCAUAACAAGUACAAUAAUUGGAUAAUAGUGAAGAUAAUAGAUAACUACAUAAUGUGAUAUUAAAUGUUCAUUUUACAAAGAGAGAAGAGAAUUAUAUGCUUAAGCAUCCAAACAUAAGUUAAAAUUAUAAAAGUUUAAUCUUAAUUGCAAUGAGCAACAUGAUAUACAAAUGAACUUUAAUCUUAAUGUUGGCUCGUCGGGCCAGCCCGAACCCGACCCUCCAUGGCCCGUCUAAAAAACGGGCUUCCAAAAUGGGUUGAAUACGGGCUUUUGGGCUAAAACCCUCAGCCCGACCUGCUAAAAACACAUAUCCAAACGGGCUGGCCCUUCGGGCCAAGCCCAUUUUGCCAUCCCUACACCAUAGUGAUGGAUUCAGGACCCAGGGCACAUGGUGCAAAUUCCAUUGACGACAAUGUUAUUAAAUUCGGCUCAAAUUGACUGAUCUAACCUAGACCAUAUAUCUAACUAGUUUGAGUCGCUCUUUUGAUUGGUCAUGAACCAUAAUUUAUAUGAAUCAAAGACUCGGCUAUUUUACAUAUAAAAUCAGUGACACAAUUGGUCGAGUCAAUCAAAUCAAUAAUUUAUUUUUAAGAAAAGUUGAAAAUGACAACCUCCUAAAAGGAAAAAAGAAUGUUGACACAUAAAAAGAAUGUUGCAUUAUUUAAACCAAAUCAUAUCUCAUUCCAUAUCUCGCACCAAUGAUAUUGAAGUUAAAACAGAAAGAAAAAACAAUAAAUAUUUAAAAAAAUUAAUUGACAUGAUAUAUUUUCAAUUAAUAUGAGACAAAAUUUGAUACAUAGUUUAGAACAACAUACCAUUCUUCCUUACUCAGACCUAUUGUACCACUAGGAUGGUCUAUGUUUAUGGUAAUGCCAGUAGAUUCACAUGUGCCUAGAUCAAUUCUUUUCUAUGCCACCAAACUAUGUGUGACUGACACUGUUGGAACAUGGUUUGUUGAAAAUAAUGAGUGAGAAUUUUUAGGUGUGAAAUAUAAAAAACAUCCAAGUCCCACAUAGGAGAGUUUUGAAAAAACAACUCUCAAGUCCCACAUUGAAGAGUUUUGAAAAAAAAAACUUCUCCCUUCAUAUUUUCUUGCCCCAAGUUGAAUGCGCUUUCAUUCAACUUUUUCUUUCUCCCUCAUAUUUUCUGCCGAUGCAUUUCCGGCAAACUUCUCCCUCUUUCUUUUCGUGGCACUAAGAAAUGGCACAGGUAGUCAUAUUGUGGGAAUUUCGAGAACUGACACUGGUAGUCAAUAUUGUAAGAAAAAAUUGGCACAAUUAGCCAUAUUUUGGGAGUUUCGAGAACUGACACUGGUAGUCAGUAUUGUGGGAAGAGAAUUGGCACGGGUAGCCAUAUUGUGGGAAAUUUCGAGAAUUGGCACUGGUAGCCAUAUUGUGGAGGGUGUAUUCGAGAUUGGUUCUUACAGUGCAGUAAGAAUUCGAUAACAGAGAUCUGGGCUAUUUUAUCCUGGGGACGACGUGGUUGAUAGUCUGCUUGCACAUUUUGGACAGUGUCACGAAACGUCUUAAAAAGAGCAACCUGGUCGUGCCUCAGUCAGUAAGUAUUAUUUCGUGCCAUUUAUAAUUGCUACAAGCUACGAUUACAACAAUUUUAAGACGUUAUACUACAAUGACAUUCGUAGAUAAUAUUACUGGACCAAACAGUUAUGACCUGAACAAGCUAUUUCGGUUUGACGGAUGAGACUGAAAAAGAUGAAAGGGAUAAACUGACUAUUGAAAUAGCUAUCUGGAAUGAAAGUAAUUACUUAUGUAAGAAGUUCAUUCUGAAUGGGUUGUCUGAUGAUCUGUAUGAUUACUACAGCUCAUACAAGUGUGCCAAAUUAAUUAGGUAUGCACUUGAGAAAUAAAGAAAUAUGAUACCGAGGAAAUUAAGAUAAAAUAUAUAUAUGAUGUUAUCACUACCUCAAGUAUCAAAUGACUGAUAAUAAAUCAGUAGAGUCUCAGUCUUAUGAGAUACAUAAAAUUGCUCAUGAAAUUAUUUUUGAUGUGUAUGGCCUUAGAGAGUUAAACUCAGAGAGCCUAUGAAUAUAUAUUCAUUGGGUAUGAUAUAAACAGUAUUGUGUAUAGGCAUUACGACCUUAACCCAAAUGAUCAUUGAUUCUAACGAUGUUGAUUUUAAUGAGAAGAAAUUCCUUUUUAAAUUGAGGAAUAGUGGGGGCACAUCAACUAGUCACAUACUUAUGAUUAGAAAUAAUGAUAGAAAAUGAAAGGUUUGAAAUAUAACCUAGAAGAAGUAAGAGAACAAUAAUUGUUAGAGAGUAUAGACGUGAUUAUAUGGUAUAUAUAUUGGAGGAUAAUCCAUCAAUCUCCAAUAAGUUUUUUUUGGAUGUUGAUUUGUGAUGAGAAGCCAUAAAUGACGAGAUAGACUAUCUAGAGUCUAACAAGAAACAAACUAUAUUAUCUCAAUUCACUAUGAAAGUUGAGAUGAUAGCAUUAACAACAGGUAAUGAAGAAACAAGUUAGCUGAGAAGUUUGCUUGUAGAGAUUUCUCUAUGGGAAAAACAUACAUCAGUUGUGUUGAUCCAUUGUGAUAGUACCGCGGCUAUUGCAAAAAAAAAUUGAGAACCGCUUUCAUAACAGUAAGAAGCGACAAAUACGUCGUAAGCACAACACCAUUAGAGAAUUACUCUCUACAUAAGUUGUUAGAGGAGUAGAUCAUGUACGCAUUGAGAAUAACUUAGCAGAUCAUUUGACGAAAAGACUAGUUAGAUAGAAAGUUCAUAAUACUUCUAAGAGUAUGGGACUAUUGCCAUUAGAACGAGGAUCACUCAUGAUGGUAACCCGACCUAACUGACUGGAGAUCCCAAGAAAUGGGUUCAAUGGUAAAUAACAAGUUGUGAAGUGAUAUGAGAAUGAACAUGCUAUAAAAUUAUGAGCAGCAUGAUUCCUGUAGCAUAUGAAGGGUGAGUUAAAACUCUUAAUGAGAUACUCCAAUUGGAGUGGAGUACCUAGGCUAUAGGAGUACUCUUGAUAGACUCACCUAUGUGAAUGUGGAAGUGGAUACCGCUUCAUAUGAAAUUUUGGGGCAUAAAUUUUUAGAGCGUUCACUAUAUUGAGAUAAACGUGCAUGACCUUUAACGCACGGGCUUUACGUAAUACACCUUUGAUUGGGUGUGGUUUGACGUUGGAGAUAGAGUUCAAGACUACGAGUCACUCUAGUAAAAUCUGGAUCUUACUCACUAUGCAAAGGUUCAAGUCGCAUGACACCUUUGUUUAUGCACAAUCUUAUUGAGACCACAAAUAUUCUCGAAAAUCAUUUUUUAAUUUCAAGUGGGGAUUGUUGGAACAUGGUUUGUUGAAAACCAUGAGUGAGAACUUUUGGGUGUGAAUCAUAAAAAACACUCAAGUCCCACAUAAGAGAGUUUUGAAAAAAAAAUAAAAAAUAACUCUAAAGUCCCACAUUGGAACUAAAGUCCCACGUUGGAAAAACUAGGAACAUGGAAAAAAUCUCUAAGUUAUAAAUAGAAGCAUUCUCCCUUCAUAUUUUCUUGCCCAAAGUUGAAUGUGCUUUCAUUCAAUUUUUUCUUUCUCCCUAAUAUUUUUCGCCGAUUACAGUGCAGUAAGAAUUCGAUAACAGAGAUCUGCUGUUUUAUUCUGCUGGGGACGGCGUAGUUGAUAGUCUACUUGCACAAAGAGAGUGAUCUGGUCGUCACUCAGCCACUACUCUUAAUAAGUGACAUACUUAUGUCUAUUCUGGACAUGAUAGGGAUUUUACUUGUUUUUUAUGUUAUUAGGGUCUCUCUUUUGUUGUUUCCUUUCGUGUAUGAGGAUGCUCAUGGGAUCAUUAUCCUAGAAUGAUGUGCUUUAAUUAUCUAUUGACCAACAAUAAAUUAUUAUUGUUAUUUAUGAUCAAAUAAUAUAAAUACGUUGUUACAUAAUUCCAUUCAAUAAUUUUUUAAUAAACUUUCCUUUACAUAUUCACAUAGAAAUCAGCAAUGGAGUACAUAUUAUGCCCAAGAGCCAUAGGCCUAUCUGGAAUGGGUGGAACCUCAAUAUCCCCUUCUAACAUCUUCAAAGCAUCCAACAUUGUUGGUCUUGAAUCAACAACCACAUGAGAAGAAAGAAUUCCAACUAGCAAAAAUCUCUCUAAUAUGUUUCUAUUAGCAUUUCCAUCUUCCAAGAUAGAAGCAUCAAAAGCUUCUUCUAACUUUCCAGAUUUCAUCAAUGACCAAACCCAAUCUGUGAUCAAGAAAGCAGGUGUUCCAGAUGAAGAAAUUUCAAGAGCUUUUCUUCCACACACUAUCUCCAAAAUAACCACACCAAAGCUAUAAACAUCACACUUUUCACUAAGUUGACCAUAAAGUGCAUAUUCUGGUGCUAGAUAUCCAUGAGUUCCAGCAAGUCUAGUAUUUAGCUGAGACCUACUUUCACUGCAUUGUUUGGCUAGUCCAAAAUCUGCAACUUUUGCUCUCAUACCUUCAUCAAGCAGUAUAUUGGUAGCUUUUAUGUCUCUAUGAUAAAUAGCAGGUUUAACUCCAAAGUGCAAAUAAACCAACCCAUUUGCAACAUCCAAGAUUAUGUUUUUUCUUUGAGGCCAAGUCAGUGAUAAUUUCUUUGCUUUUGUAUUGUCCUUUGGUGGAAAAAGAUGGUCUUCAAGGCUUCCAUUAGGCAUAUAAUCAUAAACAAGAUAAGUUCUUGUUUUGUACUCUGGAUUAUCAUUCUCAUCAACCACACAACACCCUCUUAGGGGCACAAGAUUCCUGUGCUUCAAGUUGCUAAUGAUCUCCACCUCGCGGUAGAACUCAGCAUGUCCUUGAGAAUCAGAUUCUUCAAUCCUUUUAACUGCAACAACUGUGCCAUCAGAUAUAAUGCCCUUAUAAACUACCCCAAACCCACCUCUACCAAUAAAGUUUUGUGGUGAAAAUUUGUUUGUGGCCUUGUCAAGGUCCUCAAGCUUGAACCAAAUUGACCCUGAAUUUGGUUUUGGUUUCAACCUCCUUGGUUCCUCUGAAUCAGCAUAGAAUCCAAAGUUUUCAGUACAUUUUUUCCUCCUAACCCACCUUGUGUACCAAAAAUACAAACCUAACAAAAUGAUUACUAGGAAUGCAACUAAUGUUCCAGUUAAUUCAAAUAUAAGGGCAUGAUGGCCCUUUCUUUUGGUACCCUCUUCUGAAUUAAGUGGCAACUCUAAACUACAAGUCAUAACACCUUUGCUUUCAGGCCCAAACUCAUUCACAACUCCAGCAGAAUAAAGUAUUAUGAAGUAAAAACAAUCUUUGGAAUGUGAAGCAUUACCAUCAAUGGCAUUCAAUGUCUGCAGCACCUUGAGCCCUUCAUUCACACAUGCAUCACAAUUAGAAGAAACACUAAGGUCUGGUUUACAUGCAGUGUCAAAUGGUGGUGUAGGACCAAGCUUGCUUAGCCAAUCUUGCUCGGUUUGAAUAUGAGCACAAAUGUUUGGAGUGAUAACAAACUGAAGUGGAUCAAAGCAAGUGGACACAAGAUUAUUGGGAAGUGAGAGGGAAUUAAGCUUGGACUGGAACUCUUGAAGGCAUGAGGUGGAGCUAGAAAGGUUAGGGAGUUGAAAAAGAGAGUUCUUCUUAAGAUUUUGUGAAAGUGCUAUGCCAAAGAGGGAUAAAAGAGUUUGGCAACAAAAACUAUUCUGUGUUUGGUUUUGUGAUGCUAAGGGUUGGAAGUUGUGGCAACUAGAGGAGUUCCAAGGCACUGUUAGCACAUAAUUCAUGUCCACUGGACAUAUAUUGUUGGUUGGAGAGGUUGUUGCUGAGGUUGGAAUUGGAACUAGGACAAAGAUCAGAAGCAUAAACAUAGUCACAGACUUCAUGUUUUGGCUGUUUAUGCUGUUUUGGAGCUUGAUAUAAUGCUCUAUUUAUACUUAGAAACAUUUUUAUUUGGAUGACCAAGUUGGUCGUAGCUGUAUACAAGGGGGCAAGGAUCUUCUAUCCCAAAAAUAUCCUAUCCUCAUGUCCCUAACCAAUAAUAUUUUUUAAAAUAAUAUAAAAUAUUAAUUUCUGUUUUUUAUAAAAAAAAUCUCAAUUAAAUAACACAUUUUAAUUGGUUUGGUACAUCAUUGGGGACACGAAUGAGCACACGAGAUCUGCCUCCUAUGCAAGGGAUUAAACAACCAAGUCUUUAAUCCCUUCUAUGUAAUGAUAUACAUAGUACAUCUUAAAUCCAUAUAAAAGGUGAGGAAUGUGUUAGACAAUAGAUAGCCGAUAUAAAACUUUGUCGAAUCUGUAAGAUAUGGAGUUGAAUACAAUAAAUAAUAAUUUAUUAUUUAAAACCAAUAAAAAUAUGUUAUAUAAAUUUUAAAAAAUUAAAUAUUUAUUAUUUUUUCUUUAUUAUCAUUGAACAUAUUUUGAAAUAAGAAAUCAUUGUUGGAAUCAAGGGGCAUGGAAAUAUAUAUUUUUCCUUUCUCAACCGUGCCAAUUAAGGCCUGGUCAAGUCACAGUCUUCAAAGUUUGAGUCAUUGUGAGUAAUAUAAAAAUGAUUUCAACCAAAACGGAAGAAGUAAUUUUCCAUUGAUUUUUAAAACCAACGAUGACUGAGUGGAAUACUGAUGUCUGAUUCUGUAGUGUUAGUUGCCCUGCAACACACGCAGUUGACUUUGUCUCAAGUGACAGCUAAUGAACAAAAGAGAAGACUUUAUCAAAAGUCUUCGACUACAGUCUCUAUGAAAAUUGUAGAACGGGGGAGCAUAGACUAAAAAAUACUAUUAUUUUGUUGGGUUUAUUCAAGUGUGAAGUCCCACAUUGGAUAUGUAGGGAGGAGUGAAAGGGUUUAUAAUAAGGAAAGACUCAUGGAACUAAUGCCUUAAGGUUUUGGUUCAAGACGUGGUGUCUCACUUGUGACUCUUCACUCUUCCCAUACCCAUGUAACAAUGGAACUCCCCGGUGGUCGGAGGCUCCCCGGUCGCAGUCUAGGUCCAACAUAUUUUAUGAUUUAACAGUUUAAAAAUGAGAUACCGGAAUGUAAGUACAGAAUAAAUUUAUAAGUUUUUAAAUUAUUUAAUUUGUAAGUUUUUAAAUUAUUUAAUUUAAAAAUAAAUAAAAACCUACACUUUUAAAAAAAAAAUGGUCUACAGAGGAUUGUGCACUGAAUAUCAAAUCAUGGACUAUCCAACGACAUCAAUAAUGGAUCAUGCCACAUCAAACUACAAUAGAUGAUUUCUACAUUUAAUGCCCAAAAAAUAAUCAAGAAGUUGAAGUAGAAGGUGACCAGUGGUGAUGAGAAAGAAAAGCAAUUAACAAUGGUCUUCUAUCCAAAACUAUCUUCUUGCGAAUUUAUAAAUAUAAAAGUAAUUAAAACUAGCUAGGUAAGAAAUUUAUUGAAUUAAAGUUAUUUGGUAAAAUUAGUGAUGAACUAAUUAGCAUUAGUUAAUGGGAUAAUUGGAUAUUAUAGUAAAUUUCUUAGGGUAUUCGAAUGUUGUCAACACUUUGUUUAUCCUAUUGUACAGCUUCACAAUCUGAAUAGAUUUGACAUGAAAAUCAUGGUUCUUAAGCUCCUGUAAUGCAUCAAAAUCAUAUUUGUCAUUGUCAUUCGAGUAAAAAUUCAAAGGCUUCUUAAUAAACAAAUUAAUGAAAGAGUAUAACUAAGUUAGAAACUACGCGAUCAAAAUGAUUAGGAUAAAGAUACAAGUUUAGAGUUCUGAAAUGAAAUUAGAGUUAGAUGAGAUUUUGUUUGGUGACAUUAAUAAUAUGGGAUUUCAAACUUCAGCUUUUGGAUUAGCUUCUUUAUAUUAAAGUGGUGUAUUUAAUUAACUAAUUAAAAAAUGCAUUAUUUUUAAGAAAUUAGGUUGACCUCCCUUUAUGUUUUUCACUAAAUUAUAUUUGUCACGCUUUUUUUUUUUUAAAUUUAGGAAUAGCUUUUAGUAUAAUGUUCCCUUCGUUGACCUUAGACCAAAACUUAGCUAUUUUUCUUAUAAUGUUUGGUCUAAAUUCACAGUUUUACCUAAGAUUAAUGUGUAAGUAGGUGAGAUCAAAGUAACCACAAUCAUAAACAAUAUUUUCGAUCUUACAUAUUAUUUUAUAAUUUAUUACAAUUUUUCAUGAGAUAAGAAUAAUAUCUAUUUGUUCUAAAAAAUUCUAAACAUUAUUCUUAUUCGAGUCUCAUAACCUACCUCAUUCUUAACCAAACAUAUAUAUUUUCAUUAUAUCUCCUCGUUCUUAUUUAAGAACAAAAUUCAUAAAAUAAAAAUGACACAAUGAAGAAUAUAGUAGAAAUAUUUUUAUUAUACUAAAAACAACCUUAAACCUUACAAACAACAAUUGGGUUGCUCUUAACUCACGUUUACACCAAAAAAAUAUCCAAUAAUUAAUUUGGAUGGUUAAUAUAAUCAAUUAUCCAGAAUGAGAAAAAAUACAUAAAAAGAUUAAAUAUAAAAUAAACAAAGGAAUACAUUAAAAGCAAACUCAUAUUACAUUACACGACUAUAAAUCCAAAUUCCAAUUACAGAAUAAUUAAAGGAAACUUAUAUAAACGAUAUUAUAGCACCCCAAUAUUCAGCAUAAAAGGGUACUUAUACAUACAUAUAUAUAUGAAGUGAAAUUAAAUAGCGGAGGGAAUGAGAUUUAAUUUGUAGUAUCCUUAAACUUGGACAAGAAAAGCUUUAGAAAUUCUGAAUCCACAUUGAGAGCUGUUUCUAUCACAACCGGUGAUAAAACACCCCAAAUGGAUGCCCUUCCACCCAACUCUUCAAUCAUAGGCCUGCAAAGAAAUAUACAAUUUUUCUAUUAGUAUUUUUAUUAUGUUAUACUUUCAAAUACAAAUAAUUUAUAAUAUAAUUAUAUCUCAUGUAGCACUACUUAGUUUUUAUAUGGAUCGACAUUAUAUUGUUAAAAGUCACAAAAACUUACUUUGUAGUUCUUACAAUAGAGUAACUCUCCAACCCUGCUUUCCCAGCAAUUUGAGCAACCACAUAGAAUUGUGGUACCACAAUUAAUUGACCAGCCUCAACUUCAGUAUUCAAUAUAUUCUCUCCAUUCAAGCCCACAAUUUCAAUCUUGCCACUACCUCUAGCAAUGUACAUCAAUUGGGCCACAACAUUAGAUGGAUAUGCUGGUGCCUUAAUAGCAUUAGCUUCAAGUGUAACUCUAAUCACACUUAACCCAACUUCCCCAAGAAAAGGGAAAGUAGCCUCAGUUAAGGUUGUGAUUAAUGUACCAUUUUUCACAACAUUAUGUAUAUUUGGCCCAUCAACAUUAAAAACUAACUCUUUGGUGUGCUCUAUUUGAGGCUUUGGCAUGGACUUAUCUUUUGUUAGCUUCACCAUCAUAGGCUCAGUUUGGCUUUUUGUGAGCUUAUGUACCUCUUCUUGGGUCAAAUUAUAGGCCUUGCUUGUUAGUUCAUUAGAGAUGCCUCUUAUAAGUCCUUGAAGUCCUGUUGGAAAGAAAUAACUGAUUUCACCAGGAAUAAGAGCCUUUGUAGUUUCACCAAGAAAAAUGAUUAUAAUAUCUGUGUCUCCAUUGUUGAACCACCAUGAGAAACUUGCAAGAGGUACUGGUAUAAUAUCUCCCUUCUCAAGCUUCACAACUACCUCUUUUCCACUAUUCAGGGUUACUAGUCCAGCUACACCACCAUUGCCUACAUCAUGUGCCAUACAAUUAAGGAAAUUUGAGUCUAUGUAUAUAUAUAUAAAACAAGGGUAUAAGAAAGUUAUUAUCCUAUUAAUUCAGAUUACAUUAUGAAAUAAGUAUAUAUAUAGAAUACAAAAAACAAUCAAUAUUUUCUUUUGUUGGGGGAGUAUUAACAUUUUUUUUUUUGCAUCUUUAAGCUUCAAACCUAUACCAAUAAAGAAUAAGGUGUUGGUCUAAUAGUCUAAGGUCCUGCUAUAUCUUAGAUGAUCAAAAUGUUAAAGGUUCAAUUUUUAGUAGAGAGACUUGCUGGAAUGGACAGUCACGUGCUCCGAAAUGAUUAGUUCCUUAUUCAAAAGGGUGAGAGGAGACCUUUGAUUAGUUCCUUAUUCUGAGUUGAGUUUUGAAUGAGAAGAAAAAGAAAUAUAAGACUUGAGAGUCAUGAAAUAAAUUGGUGAAAUAACUAUGAAGACUUAAAUUUCCAUUCGUUUUCUCUCAAAACUCAACUUGCAAAUAGAGUUAUUUAUGAGUUGAAUUUUGGAGGAUAAAGAACAAAUGAGAAGACUAUAUAGUCAUGAAAUAUAUUUAUAAAAUGACUCUAAAAUUUUCAUUUUCCUUCUAAUGCUCUACUCACAAUUAAAGAUAGGCAUAGGGCACUAACCUUGAAGAACAAUACCCAAUUUGGAAGCAUCUGCAUAAUGAGGAAGAGCGAAGCCCUGAGGAUGCAGCACAAGCCUACCAGCACACAAGUUGUUCUUAGCUAACAGUGGCAUUUGAGAACUUGUCCAAUUGUAGUAUCCUCCACCUUCUCCUUCCAAUAGUGUUUCUGCUGUCUUUGGUGUUAAGUCCAAUGCCAUUGUUUUCUUUUCACAUUAAGUCAUUUCAAAUAAUUUAGCUAGGAACAAGAUCAAUCACUUGUGUUAUUAGAUUAUCAUCAACGAGUUUUUUAAAUAUUUUAAAUGUGUAUUGUUUUCCAUGUUUACUUGUUAACAAAAGGAUGUAAAAUUAACUCUUCUGUUUUUUAUGUUGAACCUUCUUCAUUAUGUUUUUCACUUUUUUGGUUUCCCACAAAUAUCAUCGCAUUAGAGACAAUCAUGUCCGAACCGAAAAUAUCCACAAGUAUAUGGACUAACUCUCCAGCGGAUAUUUUUUUCAUCCACAAACCUCAAACUUGAACCUAAAACCUUCACUUGAACCACACUAGUUGGUUUAUGUUUUUUUUCUUUUCACUUUGAUGCUAUUUAUUAAUAAUUCAUUAAACUAUUAUAAUAGCAUCAGCAUCUCAUGCAAAUGAGAUUCAUCUUCUGUCAACAAAAAAAACAUUUUAUUAUAAUUUUAUUUUAUAAAACUAAUAUAUUAAUAUUUAUGUGUGUCGAUUUAAGUGGGUAUGACAAGAAAUGAGACACAAAUUAGGGAUAAAGAUAUAUAUUGGAUCUCAUGAUGAUAUUUAUUUUUUUCCUUUGUGACUUGUCUACGUCUGCAUUCAUGUGCGUGUUUUUUUUUAUGGGCAUGUAAAUUUGUGCAUGAAAGCAUUACGCAGACAACCUAGUACCUUGACUUUUACAUAGUACUGAUUCUUAGAAAUGUGAAAUUUUGUUAGGUUUCGUACACAUGAAAAGGCCAAUUGUGUUGUUCACAAUUCUAUUAGCAUGCAUAAGCAAAAAAAAUUAAAAUGUAGAAAUUAUAGGUGCCAAUAAAUUUUUAAAACUAAAAAACACAACAACAAAAAAAGAUCAACUGAAAAUGAGAUCAUAAAACUGAAAAUUAAAAGUGAUUUUAAGAAGUACCUUUGACGACCCCUUUUUCCUUUAUGAGUAUCGGAUAUAGAAAGAGGAAGCAAAAAAUUGAUAAAAGAAGAUAGGGGAAAAUAUGUGCAUGAAGCUUAAAAGACUAGAAAGCAACGCACACAGAGACAUAGGGGCGAGAGGGGUAUUUAUAUUAUUUUAAAUGACAUAUACGGUCCUUACAUUUUAUUUGACUAUGUUAUUAGUAGUCAUUACAAAGUAGAACUCUAUUGAUUUUGUUUUUUUAACAUGGGAGAGAAAUCAAAUCUAAAACUCAUAUUACUGACCUAAACAAGACUUUGAAGUUUGAACAAUUAUUUUCAGUGACCAAAAUAGUUUAAGAGUGUUUAACAUCAUUAGUUUAUGUUUAACUAUCAUUAACUUUUGAGUGUAAUAUCUAUGUAUUGUUAGUAUAAAUAUUUAUACAUAGAUUCUUCACCAUUUAUUAAUAUUAUAUUUCUUAAAGUGCCAAUGAAUAUUAAACAUGAAUAAUACAUUGAUAAUGUUAAAAAUUAUAUAUAAAAUUACAUACAUUUUUUCUAAAUCUAAAUAAUACAAAUGAACGAGGGUAAUAUAUUUUUUUUUUACGAGUAUCAAAACAUAUUAAAGCCUUAUUAUUAUAUCCAAUAUUGUUUAUACAUUUAAAUGAGUUGGCUUCACGAGACUCAUCACUUGAUGAAGACAUUAUCUCACCGCUUAUAAUUUUUAGCAAGAUUCUCACACUAACAAGGAAUUCAGAUUCAUGUAAUUUGAGAUACAAGAGGAAUAUGUAUUAACGGAAUAAGCUAUUGAUUUUCUUUUUUCCUUUCGUAAACCAGUUUUAUUGGUUUAAUUCUAUCUAGUUGAAGAUAAAGGUCCUUAUCACAUCUUUCUAAGGCACAGUGUACUAUUUAAGGUUUAAGGUUUGGUGUAACAAUCCAAAUUUUACUAACAAUUUCUAAUUAAAUGGCAUUUUCAUUAGUAAUUUUUGUCUGCAUUUUCUAUUUGAUGAUCGAUUAACAGCAAUAUAAUUAAUCGAUUAACUGUUAGUUGUUUUUAGUUUGUUAAUUAUAAUAUUGUUUUCGUUAAUCGAUUAACAAUAUAAUUAAUUGAUUAACUGGUUUGUUGUUAGUUAGGCAACGUAGUAUAUAAAUGGUCCCUUAGUUACCGUAAUUCAAUUCAAUAAGAAAUAUUCAAUAAAUAAUUGAAAAUAAACACAUACUAACAAACAUAAUGAGUGAGUAAGCAUGAGACAGGUCCAAGCGGGUUGUGUUUAUCUCAUACUCAAUCAUAAAUAUUGACUAAAUCUAAAUUUUAAACCUGAACUCAACUCUAGAUUUGAUGAGACUCAAUCCUAUUUGGGUCCAACCAUGAUCAGACUAAGCCGAAUGAGCAAGUAGGGUCGAGUCCGACUCACUCACAAGUAAGAGUAUCAUCUCCUCUCAUAAGUAAAUAACUAAUCUUUUUCGAAUGUGUGAUUAUCUCUUCUAACAAGUAUCGCUCAAAAAUUCUUAUUUAUACAGAAUUUUGGCUUUGUGAGCCCGCUUAGCUCAAAGGUUAAUAUAGUAAUACACUAAUACCACUAGAUCAAACUAAAAAACGUUUGAGUCUUCCGGAUCCUUUCUCUGUGCCACUCUAUUUUUAGGAGAAAGCAAAUUUUAUUUCCUUCCUACCUCGAUUACUUUAGGUGAAAAUAAUUUUGUUGUAUCGGUAUCAUCCUCCCUUGAAACUCAUAAAAUUAUUGGUAUUUCCCCUUACUUUUUGUUGAAGAGAUAAAAAAUUUACAUUAGAAAACAUCUAUCAAUAUUUUUUUAGACCUAGCUAUCAUACGAAUUAUAUACAAAUAUUGAUCAUCAACUUAAUUUUAUUGUCAUGCCGAUAUUUAAUUUUGUAUUUAACGUUAUACUUAUAGAUAUUAUCAUCAUGUCCUAUAUUUUUUGACAUUAUUCUUAUCAGAUAUUCCUAUGGGAUGCUGUCAUUGAUGUAAUAGUAAGAGGUAACAAAACCGUUUAGAACAAAGUGGCUCCAUCAUAUGAUGUGCAUGUACUGUUCGUUUAUGAAUAAUAAAACGAGUUAAGUAAAAGUUUAUAUACAAAUACUACAUUAUUUAUUAUUUAUUUAUAUUACUUUUUGAAAAAUCAAUGAAUUAAAUAUGAAUGAUGAAUGAUACGAUGAAAAUAUAUCAAACUCAUAUAUUGUUUGUAUAUAUAUCCUUUUCUCUAAUAAGACGGUGGCUAUUCAUUAUUCAUGCAGAAAAUGAGAGCCAAUUAAUAUAGGCUAGAUCUUUGCAUUAAAAGAUGUGGUUGGAUGAAUCAUAUGGACAUAUACAUAGCGUGAUAUUCGAUUCUAAUGUCAUUUUCAAUAAAAAAAGAAAAUAAUAUUGGAUGUAGAAAGAUUUUUAUAAACUGUGAAAAAGAAAUUCACUUGCUCAAAAAAAGGAGUGGUGUUUGAAAGCGAUGGAUUGUUGUGUUAAGGUAGUGGACAAACACGAUGUCGUCGUCUACUUUUUGGGUACACAUUACUAAACUGAUCGUUUUAAAAAGAGAGCACUAUGUUUGGAAAGUCCUAAUAUACUGUGAUAAAGUAUAUUUAUAGCUAUGUAACAAAGUCAAAUAUGUAUGCUGUAUGCAACAUACACAAAUACACAUGGAUGCAUAAAUGGUUAAUUUUAUUUUUCAUUUUUUAGAGCAUAAAGAAAUCCAUACUACAAUUACAAUAAGCUGUGGAGUUUGUAAAUCAGCACGGGGAACAGAGGAGUGUCAUGAAUAGUAGGUGAUCACAUGCAUUUCAGAAGGGUGAAAGCAACAACUUCAGUGCUUAGAAUGAAUUACGGAGUGUGUUUGCUUUUUCUAUAGGAUUGUCCUUGUUUGCUUCUCAAGACAUAAUUUUGGCAAGCACUUGUAAUUUAUGGUUCACUUUAAGCAUUCCCCUUUCAUUGCUUGAAAUAGAUAUGAAGAAUGUUGCAAGAACCUAUUUUCUAUUCUAUUAUUACAAUAUAUAUAAGCUGAGGCAGGAAAUGUGGAGAUGCCAUGCCAACUUUUUGGAAUGUUGAUCAGCUGUCUCAAGUUGGUAUCUAUAACUUUAUCUCGCUCAAUGAAAUAAUGUCACAUCAUUUAAAAGUGUGCGCUGAUCUCAACUUGGGUCUAUGUGAGUUGAACUUUUAAAUGAUGUAACACUACCUUAUUGGGCGAGAUGCCGGGACAUGGUUAGGGAUAUCAACAUGGGAGCUUUCUUCAAUUGCCACAUCAGUCAUAUUUGAUGAUCCAGAGCUCCUCAUGCAAUACCUUUUCUGUUCAGCAAUCUUGCAAUUUUCCCAUUAACUCAUUAAAUUUUCAUUCACCUUGAAGAAUUAUAAUUUUCCCACCACCUCAUUUAGCGCCAUGUGUGUUGAAAGAGAGCAUUCCAGACAGAGAAGAAAUUGUAGAACAGAAAAACCCAAAAGUUGGAAAUCUUUGAGAAGCUCAAGGAUGUCGAGCACUUCAGAAUAAAGCUAUUGACAUGAAAACCCCAUACACAUUACAAGGGUGAAUUGAAGGCCAAAUGAAGGGGGAAUUACUUUGGUCAUGUUUUUAUGAGUUUGCAGAAUAUUCAGUUAAUGGCUACUUUAACAGGAUCUUUUUCAUGCUUGGUACAUUCACUACAUUAUCAAUUUACCUUUGGCUGGUUAGAGCAAUGUCCAAGAUGCAUGUUUUAGAAGUAAAAUGAAUUGAUUGUUUAGCAUUGGUGGCAGAUGCAAUCAUGAACCUGCUAAGUUAGAUUGCAAGGCGCGCCUUAAAAAUAACAGUGAUUGAUAUGUGAAUAUCUAGAAUGUUUUUCUUGCUGCAUUGAUUUCAAUGUCUAUUUACACUUUAUCAUGCUAGAGCUGUUGAUGUAUAUGCAUCCACAUUCUUCAAACCAUGGUUUGUCCAAUGAAAAACAUGCUGCUUUUAAUAGAAUUUCCAGACAAUGUAAUACAGGCUUGAUAACACUAACAGCAAACCUGCUUAAGGCCAAUCAAAAAUCACAUGCAAAUUUGCAUCUACUUCAAGAAAUUAAAUUUGAGUGGCUAUGCUAACAGUGUAAAGAUUAUACACAGUCACUAUAUCAUUCACCAUUCAUUUAUAUUACUUUUAAUUAAAAGUUAAUGAUGAAUGAAAAUGAAGGGUGAAUGAUACAAGUGAUAAUGUAAAAUGUCUUAUCCCGUUAGUGCAUACAUCUUUUACUUAGGAAUGACAACAGAGCGGAUGAGGUCCGAUUUGUACAUAUCCAAACCCGAAAUUAAAAACCCGAACCCAAACUCAACGGGAUUAAAAAUAAAGAUAUUAUCCUCGAACUCGAUAAAAAACCCAAAAAUAAUAAAUGUACUAAGGAAAGUAUGAUAUUAUUUUUAUUUCAUUUUUAUCUAGCAUUUCUUUUUUCCCAUGUAUUAUUUUAUUUUUACAUUCGAAGAGUCAAUAAUAUGUAAAGAAAAAUUAGAAAUUAAAAACAAUGGGUAUAUGAUAGACUUUCGAUUUUAAAUUGAAUUACAUUAUUUCGGGAUGGGUUCGGGGUAGGGUUUUUGCUCUACCAAACCCGAACCCGAAAAUUAAACUCAGGUAAAACCUGAACUCAAUCAAAUCGAAUUUUCCCUGUUAAACUCGGGUUGGGUUCAAGCAGAUAUCCCCUUGUUCAGUUUUCGUAAUCCCUACUUUUACUACACCAUCAACAUAGCUCCUUAACAUUUUAUCACAUUAAAUAUUUGGCAACUUUGACAUCUCAUAUAAACUGAUAUAUACAGAACAAGGAUUAGAUAACAAAUAUUAAAAUUAAAUUCCUAACUUGAACAUUAUAACUUACUUACUAAGAGAAUCUCAAGUUCCAUUGAUCCUGUCUAUAACAGAGAUAAUACCUUGAGUGCCAAGUUUGCCAUCUCCAUUAGCCACCAUACUUGAAAAAAGCUGCUUACACAAUGCAGCACCAGGCAACACAAAAACCUCCCCAUCCUCCACAACAUCCACUCCCAUUCCCAAAUCCUUCACCUGAUACUCUGCGAAACCACCGGGUCGAAAAUCCCUCUUUAUCAUCCUCUCCCCAAACAACUCCAAAGCCUUAGAACCAGCAGCACCAUCUCUAAUUGCACCCAUGAACUGCUCCAAAUCCAACCCUGCUUUCUUAGCAAACACCAACCCUUCACUCAACCCAACCAAAUUCGAUCCAAUCACGAUCUGAUUCGCAAUCUUACUAGUCUGCCCACACCCCGCAGAACCCACAUAGUUAACUUUACCUAAAACCCUAAACAACGGUUCUAGCCAUUUUACAACAACAGGUUCCCCUGCCGCAAAAAUGGCCAGGUUCCCGUCUUUGACGCCAAUAUCGCCACCAGAGACAGGAGCAUCGACAGACCAGCAGCCUUUGGACCUCGCCAGGGAGAAUAUCUCCCUGGCCAGGUCCGGAUGGCUGCUGGUGUUGUCAAUUAUGACGGAAUUGGGGUUAAGGCCCGAAACGAUGCCGUUCGGGCCUGUGUAGACGGAGCGGACGUCGGAGGGGUGGGAGAGCAUAGUGAAAACGACGUCGGAUGAUUGGGCGAGUUGGGAUGGGGAGUUGGAGAAGUGAGCGCCUUGGGAUUGGAGAGAGAGGGAGUUAGGGUGGGAUGGGUUGCGAGCGUAGAUGGUGAGAGAGUAGCCGGCGGAGAUGAGGCGGGAGGCCAUGGCGAAGCCCAUGACGCCGAUGCCGAUCCACCCGAUUCGGGUUUCAGAGGAUGUGAUGGGAUUUGGGUAUGGUGUUCCCAUGUUUCUGGUGAGAAAAUAGUUGUUUGCUCAAGGUACUUACCAAUAAUGAUGGCAAAACGGACAAUAUGUCAUCUUUUAAUGAAGAAAAAAUAUCAAAUGAAAUGAAACAUAAGAACCUUCAUAAUCUUGCAACACAUUUUUUGUUAUUAGAUAGACACCGUUAAUUAUUUAUAUUUGUUUACAAUUUUGAAUAAUUUAAGCAGUUAAAAUUACUUCUAAUGGUAUAACUUUAUUUUCAUUCAUAAAUCUACCUUACAAAUAUACCCACAUUUAUAUUUAUCUUUUGUAAUAUAUUUUUACUCACAACUUUAAGAAUGAUGUUUAUUUAGCUUAUCGUUGUGAAAUAAUAAUAAGAACGACUCCUCCCUAGCACUGAACUUGGGAAAAAAACAUGUUUGUUUUGCAAAGAACGAUUUUUUGUUACCAUUGUAGGUGCUCUUAGUAUGAAUAUAUAGAACAUGGUCAAAAUAAUAGAUCUCUAUUCUUAUUUCACGGGCUAAACACAAGCUAAGUAGUAUUCGAUUCAUUACAUAAUAGGUUGUGUGAACUGCAUCAGCCCAAAAAUAUUUUGGAACCUUGCUCUCAUUUAGCAUGGUCCUCGAGAGUUCCUCUAGAACUCUAUUUUUCCUCUCAAGAACUCUAUUUUAUUGAGGGGUACGGGCUAAACACAAACUAAACAAGUUGAAUGACAUUUUUAUCACUACUUAUAAAUUACAUUGCACAUGAAUGAAACUCUUUUUAUAGUAUGACUUGAACUCUUGAUAAUUAGACUAUAAAUCACUUCAUAUAACAUGAGAUAUAAUGUAAAUGAGAGGUCAAACUCAACUUGUUGCACAAUUUCUUUCAUGUAUGCCAAGAAAUAUUUACUCAUAAAAAAAGACUUCAAGUAACUUGAUACACAUCUUUCUACCCAAAAAAACUUGAUACACAUCUCCUAUGGAUGAUAAAAAUGAGAAAUGGAGUGGAGGAAUCUAUCAAGAGAAUUGAAUUUAGCUAGACAAUGGGAACCUAUAAAAAAUGAUCUAGAUUUUAGGAUAAGGAAUGUAUGAUCAAAUAUUCAAAAUGUUAGAUUCAAUUUAAUGGAUCAAAAUUCAAGUAAGGGAUUCUAUGAUCCAAGUGAAAGGAUUAAAAGAAGCCCCCUAAACCAUUUUAUCUAUGCCUUGCCCUGGUUGGAGAAUGGACUUAGGAGGAAAUGGACUUCAAAUUUGGGUUUUAGGCCUAGUUGGUUGUCUUUUAAAGAUGCUUUUUUUUGUGUGAUAUUUUUUAUUUUAUUGGUCUCUUUUAAUUUUUAAAAAUAGCCAGGACUACAAUGUUCCAAUCACAUAUGAUAUUAUUCCUUAAGAAAGGUAAUGCGUAUAGCAACUUUUUUUGAAACUAUUAGUGGAUCACUAGAUCAAAUUAUUGGCUAAAGUUAUUAGUUAAUUAUAUUAAAUAUACUUUUGUUAGCGUUUCCCCUAAUCAAAGUAUUCAGUUGUGGCAUAAUAAGAUGCUUGAUGCUAUAUGCUGUUGAAAUGUAGCUUUUUGACAAAGAAAAGUGUUUAUGCUUGAUAACUUUCUGAAUCAGAAAGCAAUGAGUUAAUACAGAUAAUAUAUGUUGUUGUGAAAAGCUAUUCACACACGAUUAAACACUUAAUUUUUCUAAUAAUCUCGAUUCUAACGUGACUUGUUGUUUGAGGCACUAACUUAAUCUAUUUAAAAGUACUACGUGGUUUGUUCCAAUAUAGGUCUUGGUAGUAACCCCACUUCCAAUCCAUCCCUUUUUCAAGAAUAUUUGUUCAUGCACUUUAUUCUCCGUGCACAAAUUUCUAAUAUUAUUUCUUAUACUAAUUGAACCUUCCUAUGAUAAUUCAAAUUAAAAGGUAUUGCAUCUCAGUCUUUUUUGGCAUUUUAGAUGGAUUGAAUGACAUUUUGAGUUGAAUUAUUUUUUAAACUAGAAGUUUAUACGUAUUAAGUAAUGUAUAAUUAAGCUUCACAGUUAAUGAAGAUUCAUAAAAAUAUUUAUAAAUUACCUAUUAAUGAUAUCCUUGCACCAAUACCAAAACUCACUACUACAGUGUUAUAUAAUUUAUAUAACUUUUAUUUGAGUUUAAAUUUAAUUCAUCAUCAAAUAUUUUUUAUUCAUUCUAUCAUUUUCACACAAUAGGUUUUGUAGUGUAUUUUUUGGGCAAAUGAUGGAGUAAAAAAGAAAUGAAGAUACCAUUUUUAUGUUAGUAGACCAACCUAAAAGUUAUCAAAUUUAUUUUACAACAUUGAUGUCCAUCUCCCUUCCCCCUAAUUACUUGAUAGAAAUUUAAUGACAGAAUCCAUUCUCAAAACAAUGAUUAUCUCCAGUAUGGCAUAAUGAACUUUUUUUUCAACUAGUGCCUACAAAUACUUCGUGUUUGCUGGUAAAUAUUACAUAAUACUAUAUAUUAAAUUUUUAUAUAUUUCAUUUUUUAGAUUUAGAAUAUAUUUGUUGUAUUCGGUGUACUUUAUAUUAUAUUUUUUUUUUGUGUUUAUGAUAAUAUUUAAUUUAAUGUGAGAUAUGUAUUUAAUUAAUGUGUUGAUUGUAAUUGCUUAGGAUUAUAUGAUUUUUUUGUAAAAAUUAAAUAAUAUUAAGGACAAAAUAGGAAGUGAAAAUUACAGCAUGAUAAAAGUUAUUUCAAAUUUUAACUUUAUAUAUAAUAUAAAAAUAUAGGUAAUAAAAAUACUAUUUCAUUGUUCACAAAAAAUAAAUAAAUGUGUUACAUCAUAUUAUUUUUUUUCCCUUUGUUUUUUCAUAUUAGAGUGGGCUUGUGCUAAAUGACAAUGGGAACGUGCAUGCUUGCCUAGGGAUAGGGCAAAACCCCACAAACUGGGACCCAAAUGUCUCGAUUGAUAUGGGUUGAGCUUAUGUAUGAAAAACUAUUUAAACAUGUACUAUAUGAUAAAACAAUAAAAAAAGAAUACAAAAAUAUCAUCUCACACUUUUUGUCAUAUAUUUUUUCAGUUUUAUACAUAAUUUUAUAACUAUUGAUUGCUUAUAAGUUUAAAAUAUUUGCAUUAAUAAUUAUUUUUGUUCACAAUAAUUUUGUUAUUCACACAUUAAUAAUAAUUAAUAGUGAAUAAAAUUAUAAUAAUGUAAUUUUACAUGUAAUUAAACAAUUCAUUUUCUACAAAAAAAAAUUGAAAAUAAUAAAGAAAGAAAAAUAUAUAUACCGACAGUAUAAGAAUUUUUUAUAAUAUCGUUACAUCAUUCACAAUUUAUUUCUUAUAUUUUUAUAAAAAUAAUAUAAAAAAUAGUAAAUAAUAUACUGAUGAUGUUACACUACUCAAGAAGAAUAAAAGUCGAAAUCGUGACAUAUAUACAAGUAUAAAAUUAAAAAAAGAAAAGGGAGAAUAGUGGGGGCAGUAGUGGCUUUGGUGGAAGGGAGAAUCAGCUUCGGGUAGGGUACCCUUUAUUCCUUUCUUUGACAGACACGCUGUUGUCACCGCCAGGCAUUAAGUACACCUAAUGGACAUAGAUUAUACUAUUUUUAGGUAAAGUUGAGUAUAUAAUAAGUACAAAAUGCCAUAAUUAGUGAAUAAACCAAAAAGAAUUCGUCACAUUUUGCCAGAUUCCUCUUUGCAUGGCAUAGACAACCAAACUACCAAUCAAACCGUAGUUAGUCCCUACUAGUUAACACUUAAAAGGGAAUAUAUAGGUCAUAAACGUAAAUACUUCAAAGUUCAAACAAACACACGUGUGGCUGUCUAGUACAUGUGUUUGAACGGGACACAAAUAUGAUUUUUAUUUAGAAAAGAGGCUCUUUGUACUUUGUAGUAUUUUAAUCCAUUACAUUUAAGUUGGAGUACUAAUUAAGUGUUAGUCAAAUGUAUUAUGCCUCACUAAAUUCCUAUGUCGAAAACUGAUACUUGUUGAAAGGGACAACCACGAAAAAAAAAACAUACAACUUUAACGGGUAAAAAUUCUAUUUUUUCCUCAAUUAUUCCCCCUCUAGUGCAAAAUACUAAUCACUAACCUUUUAUGGUACAGAUAGAUGUUUAAGCAAAAAUUUCUCCGGACAAUAUUUUUAGAGUGUAUUAUUUAUAUAUAAUCAACUUAAUAGUUAGUAUAUGAUGAAUAAUGAUUAAAUUUGACUGAUAUCUCUGUAUACACGUGAAUGCAUGGUACAGAACAAUGUAUAAGGUGCAAGAGUUGUCAAAUAAAGUUGAGUGGUGGGGCAGUUGUCGACUAGAGAGUUAAAUAAAGACAGGUAGAGAGAAGGGUAUCGUUGAGCUAAUGUUUGAAACAUCUUUGAACAGAGUUUAACUUUCUUCUGAGGGAUUUAUUCUGGGUUUCAGUUUUGCUUCAUAUUACAGCAUACUACUAAUUGGCCUUCAAUCCAUUAUUCCAUUCAUUCAAGGUAAGUUCAUGACUUCUUAUGUCAAUUUCUGUUUCAAAUUUUAUAUAAGUGUUGUGUGGACUCAUAACAUUAAUAAGAGAUUCUUUUUAUGGAUGCCCUUUGAUUGAACUAACCCAGUUAGCAUUUCUAGAAGAGUUUGGUUUUAUUACUCAUUUUAUGCUGAUAAGCGUUAAUAAACAUGGAAAUGAGGUUACUAAAAUUAUGUAUCAUCUAUCAGAAAACAAACUUGUGUUAGACCAAGGUUUUAAAGUUCAACCUGCGGGUUAAGAUCCUCUCCAGCAGUACUGAAAUAUGAGGGGAAAAAGAAAGUUUGUUAAUUUUUAACAUUAUUUUAUUAAAAAAUAAUGAAAAUAUGGACGUUAAAAAAUUCUCUGUAGCACUUGUAAGUAUCUGCACACCAGUAUUGGACUCUCUAGGUGCAGGAGUGGAGAGGAUCUCUAUUCAACCCAUGGUAUCAAACCCACUUAUUGAGGUUUCUCAUCUUAAGACCAUUGGAUGCAAAUCUCCUUCAUUGUUUAUGCUUCAUAACUCUUAACAAAUGGUGUUAUUAGAACCAAUGGUUUGACAAAUAUGAUUAGCAAAAGAAGACAGUUGUUGGUGGAACCAUGUGUGGGAUCUUUUGUGUUAAAGCAGCUAAGCAGCUUAUUCCUGUAUACAUGAUGUACAAUGACAAUACAAAUACCUCUUAUGUAAAUACAAUUUUUUUUGAAAUCAAAUUGGUGGGUAGAAAAUGUUUCUUUUUUUUCUCUUUCUGAUUAUGGUGUUAAUUUCACUCUUUUGAUACAACAACAACCAAACCUUUAUCCCACUAAUUGGGGUCAGCUACAUUCUUCAAACGACGCCAUAAUACUCUAUCAUAUAUCAUGUCCAUUUAACAAAGGUCUAAGUCUUUCUUUAUCGUUCCCCUAUGGUUUUUCCCAAACCACCUAAGGCGCGAUUUUAUCAUCUUUUCUCUACUUUGAUAGGUAUACAUAAAUAUUUCAUGGAUUGUCACUGACUCACAGCUCUAGCAAGAAUAAGCAUACAUUUUCACAAGUAAAUCUUAAAGGUUUCCGUAAAUAUAUCAGCGGUGCUCGCAUCGACCUUUUAUCUGAUUUAGAAAGAAACAACUUUUAGAUUUCAUUAUUGCAUGAUUUUUUUCUUGUGUUGCAUUUUGAGGUUCGUUAUGAUCAUUGUAUAUGUUACAGAGUUCACUGUGGGGCACAAUAGUGUCGUCAAGUUGGUAAAGGCAGAGAUGAAUUUCCUUAUCACACCAGUGAGCCACAAGUUCAACAUUUGUAAAUAAAUGGCAUCUCUUGGAGUUAUCCUAAUAGAUUAUUGAAAGGCUGCAAUUCAUGGAGGACAGCGGAAGGUAAUAUCCAUAGAAAUUCGCUCAUCGUCUUGUGUUAUGUAUUUUAUCUUUUUUUGACUAUAACUGUUCUGUUUUGUAUGAAUGUACUAUGAUUUAAAUAUUUAAUGUAAAUUAUAGCUCUGAAGAGAAGUCCUUUUCAAAUGGCGAUGUCUACAUCGGUGAGAUCAAGGCCAAACUGCCCCAUGGCAAGGGAAAGUACACGUGGUCCGAUGGAACAGCAUAUGCGGGUGAUUGGGAAGAUGGGAAAAUGACAGGGAAAGGAGUGAUUAUAUGGCCAUCAGGAGCAAAAUAUGAGGGUGAAUUCUCUGGUGGUUACCUUCAUGGUUACGGCACCUUUACAGAAUAUACCGGUUGUGUUUAUAGAGGCAGCUGGAGGAUGAAUGCUCAUCACGGGAUUGGACGGAAGGACUAUUCUAAUUCAGAUAGUUAUGAAGGUUUAUGGAGAGAAGGGAUUCGUGAAGGAUGCGGAAGGUAUUCUUGGAGUAACGGAAAUACGUAUGUUGGGAAUUGGAAAAGUGGGAAAAUAGAUGGGAGAGGGGUUAUGAAGAGGGCUAAUGGUGACAUCUUUGAUGGUUGUUGGGUUAAUGGUCUUAAGCAUGGAUCCGGAGUUUAUCGAUUUGCCGAUGGGGGGCUUUAUAUUGGAACGUGGAGUAAGGGCCUAAAGGAUGGGAAAGGGACAUUCUAUCCUUCCGGUAGUAAAUAUCCAUCUCUAAGAAAAUGGUGCAGCAUUAAAGGCCAUUAUAGUGGUCUACCAUUGAAUGCAGAGACACAUAUGGAUCCAAAAUCAAGUGUUAGGCGUAGCUUUAGUGAAAAGAUUUCAUUCAGUAGUAGAUCAAAAAGUUCGCGUAAAAUAUCUCUAAGGACCUCAUCGUUAGAUGCAGAUUGGAGCCUACGAGAUCCUGCAGGAGGUUGCAUAUGUCAUGAUUCCUCAUCCGCUGAAUCACAGACCCUUGAUGAAGGUCAAUCUGAGGUCUCUGGUACAAGUACUUUGGUUUAUGAAAGAGAAUAUAUGCAAGGAGUUCUAAUUAUGGAGAGAACUAGGACAUAUUCAGAUUCAUCACCUAAAAAAAAAAGGCAAAAUAAGUUUAGUGUGAAGCCAGUGAUGAAGAGUUCACUAAUGGAUAUUUUCGGAGGCCGCCGAAGCUAUUAUCUGAAGCUUAAUUUGCAGCUUGGCAUCAGGUAACGUAUUUGGUCUAUUGUCACCUUCUAAAACAUUUUGUUGCUGUAAAAUUUGAUAUAGUUAAUUAUCAUUUCCAGUUUUUAAUAUCACAUUUCUUUCCACUGCUGUUUUUGACUAAUUAGUUUACUAACAAAUAAAAAAAGCAAAGUACAUUCUGAAAAAAAUAUUCAUCUUGUCGGCAUUAUAGUUAAGGGGUUAGGAUGGUGUGAGUGUGUGUUUUAAAUCAUCUUUAAAGUGGCUUAAUCCAUUUGGUAUUUAUGUUUAAUGUUAAGUUUUAAUUUGAACAAAUUUGGAUGAAAUCCCAGGUAUACUGUUGGAAAAAUUACACCAGUGCCUGCACGUGAAGUUCGGUCAUCUGAUUUUGGAGAACGAGCUAGGAUAAGGAUGUACUUCCCUAAGGAGGGUUCACAGAGAACUCCUCCACAUUGUUCUAUAGACUUCUACUGGAAAGAUUAUUGCCCUAUGGUGUUCAGGUAUUUAUUAACUAUAUGCAAACAUGCGUCAUAAUGGAAGAGUUGUAUCAUGAGCACCAUGCAUAGGAAUCUUUUCCACAUGGCUAAUGUAUCAUUCUUUUGUCUUAAAGUUUUAAGAUAUGAAAGCAUUAUCUCCUCUCUUUUAUGAUUGAGUUUAGAUUACCACCAUUGGUGUAUCAUAAUUUAUUGAAGUGGCAACACAAAAUGAAAACCUUAUGAAGAGUUUCAAAGUAGUGAAUCAAUGUUGUUGAAGUUUAUUCCAAUCCUUUUCCUUAUCAGAAUAUGUCCAAUUUUAAAUGUGACCAUAGUCAUUGUCAGAGUAAUAUGCAUUAAUUGUUGAUAAUGUGAAUAUAAGAUUACAUUGGCAUAAUAAAGUGCUUAGUCAGGUUAUGGUUAGCAACACGUGCUCUUUCGUGAUAUAUUUAUUGGUAGAAUCUAACAACCACAGAUUUCCAAACUAACUCUUCAUACAUUUAAUGAUAUUGGAGUCAAGCACAUUUUACGUUUAUAGUAUCUUUAUUAUUUCUUAGUUCAUUGCUUAAUCACACAAACAUAUUUUUCCAGGAAUUUGAGAGAGAUGUUCAAAUUAGAUGCUGCAGAGUACAUGAUGUCCAUUUGUGGCGACUGUGGUCUGAGGGACAUAUCUUCACCUGGAAAAAGUGGUAGCAUCUUCUAUCUUUCUCAAGACGAUAGGUUUGUGAUAAAGACACUGAAAAAAUCUGAACUAAAGGUUGGUAGUUUCCACUUGUUUUUUGCUUAGUGGGCCAAGAGACAUUUUUGCACUAAUUAUUGUGUUGAAUUCAUCAACUGGUAGGAGUUUGACCGCUUAAGACUUCUGCAACUGGAUAAAUAAGCAGAUUAGAUUAUAUAUAGACUAAAGAGUGGUAAAACACAAUUCCGCUGAUGCCUGCUAUCUUGAUCGCAUAUCUACCAAUAAUACCUGGUAGUACCACUAAUAUGAUAUAUAAAAACAAAGUUCAUGAAAUUCUAUGUCAAAGUUGUUAACUAAGGCCUCUUUGGAUGGGGUUUCUCAGGAGAGAAGUGCUUUUUAUUUUCAAUAAAAUAGCACUUUUAGACCAAAGUAGAUGAUUGGUUGCAUUCCCAUCUCUCAUAGUCCAUAUAUACCAAUAGUUCUUCUAGUGCCACUGAUCUAAUGGCAAUUUUUAUAGACAAAGUUCAUUAAAUUCAAUGGCAAGAUGGCUGUUUAAGACCACAUUUAGAUGUGUUUUUCUAGAGAAAAAUGUUUUUGUGUUAAAAAUCACUCAUUUACCAAGUUAAAUGAUAACUACAAACUUCAUGAUUAUGCACAUGCACUUAUGCAGUAAGUGAUGUUUAUCUUCAUGUAGGUUCUGCUCAAUAUGCUUCCUAAAUACUACAGUCAUGUAGGAAAGUAUGAGAAUACUCUUAUUACAAAGUUCUUCGGGGUCCACCGAAUAACACUACGAGGUGGGAAAAAGGUAACUCCUAAUAUCUAUCUCUACCUUCUUCCUCCUUACUUGGUAAUUGGUUUAACUAAAAAUAAUUCCUUGUCCAUCAGGUGCGCUUUGUGGUAAUGGGGAAUAUGUUUUGCACAGAACUGCAUAUCCACCGUCGUUUUGAUCUGAAAGGAUCUUCUCAUGGAAGAUGCACAGACAAAGAUAAAAUUAAUAGCCAUACAACAUUGAAAGAUCUUGAUCUAAAAUAUGUCUUUCAAAUGGAUAUAAAAUUGCGAGAAUCACUACUCAAGUAAGUUUCUAUUUUAUGAAGCCACUUCUGUUAUACACUUAUACUUACUAAUAUGCAAUGUAUUUUACUGUAUAAUCAAGGAGUACCUGUUGCAAAUUUCAAGAAUAUAACAGUGUUUUAUUCUAUAAAACAUAAUAUAUCGCCUAUUUCAUGGUGGAUUAACAAUACUGGUCCAAUAUUGAUCAUUGUUGUAAUAGAAUCUUACCCUUAAAAGUUAAAACCAUAGGUCAUGAAACUACUUUGCAUGUAAUUCUGAAUUGUCACUAUUUCAACUCCACAUAAAUUGAAAUAGAUGGUCUUUUAAAGUAGUAGAGAUAUAUUGGAUUAUCUCUAUCUUUAAUCAAGCUCUUUGUUAGAUCCUGCUGCUGUUACAUCUAGUGAUCACAGUGUCUGGUUGACUUUGAAGGGAAGAACUUCUAAAGUCAUAAAUUUUUACAUCUCAUUAUGUUUUAAAAAUGAAAAGAUUAACAUAGAAGUUCACAUUAGUAUCCAAAAACCAUUAUACGUCCGUCUUAGAGGUGAUGCAUUUCCCUGGGUGAUAAAAUUUGUAAGAAAUAAUCAUCAAAGAUGCAACUUGCUUCCGUGAAUUUUAUUUAGGAUGGUCAAAUUUACAAUUCAUAUUUAAGAAUGACUAACUGGAACUCAGCUACUUGUAUAAAUAUCGAAUAGUGGAGCCCCUCUUGGUUAUGAUUGAUUACUUUCAUACUUGGCAUGUGAUAGUACUGAGUUGUGACUAAUAGCCUGAGUAUAUAUCCACUAAAAUGUAUCAUAACAAUUGCAUUCAAUUUCUCAUUGAUUGAAGGGUUAGUAAGAUAUUCUAGUUAUGAUCAAAAUUGUUUUUCUGGUGCAGCCAAAUUUCUCUUGACUGCAAAUUCUUGGAGUCCCGGCACAUAAUUGAUUACAGCCUUCUGUUAGGAUUACAUUUUAGAGCUCCAGAGAAUCUGAAGGCCUUAGCUGAACUUCCUGGAUCAAUGCAGCGUCAGGAUAGCAUACCUUUUGGAGAUGGUAAAUAUUCCUCUGAUGCCAGUUAUUUAUAACGUGAUUCGGAAAAUUUCUUUCAAAAGUUAUUGUAUUUUUCAUAUACAUAAUUUAAAUGAAAAUAUUUAAGUUCACAUUUAUGGUAUAAAAUCUACAGAUGUUAAAUAUGACAUUUAGAUCACAAGGAAUGUUUUGCAGUAAACAAAUUGCUGUUAUAUCGAGAAGUGAUGUAUCUUAGUCAAAAAUGGAUGAAAGGGUUCUAGCAAUGAAGUUAAGCUAAUUUGACAUAAAUCAUACACUCAUGAUUAUCAUUUUGGUUUUGUGCCCUAAGAAUUCAAGAAGACACAUGGCAUUCAUCAAAAUAUUUUGCAAAAUGGGCGGUAGCAAAGUUUAUUUCAGUAACUCAUUUAUAUGUGGGAAAAAAGGAUUAACUGCUUCUCUUUGCACCCAAAUACGUACUAAUGAUAAAUGAUUACAGCAUGCUUUCUAUGGAUUUCUUCUCAUCUUUUGUAAUAAUUUUUUCUUAACUUGUCUCAUUGAUUCUAUCUGCGACUCUGCGAGUGUGAAUUCUGGCAUAUGCAAGUUCACAUUUACGCCUCAGUAUUUUUCUUACUAUUGAGUACUUUUUCAUUUGCUUUGCUUACAUUAGAUGUCAAACAAGGGGAUCAAUUGAUUAUUCCUAAAGGAUUGCUAUUAGUUGCCCAUGAACCCAACUUUGUGAACACUGCACCUGGACCCCACAUUAGAGGGCAUACAUUGAGGGCAUACUCCAUAGGUGACAGGGAAGUUGAUCUUUUGCUUCCUGGUACUGCAAGGUAUCUUCUACUAAACUAGAAAUUAUUUUUUGGGGGGGAUGAGUUAAAUUUUUUAAAGCGGUUCGAAAGUUUGAAACUUUAUAUCAUAAAAUUAUGAGUAUAAUUUGAAGGGUGCAUUAAAUUAGUUUCCCUUGAUAUGCACCUAAGUAUCAGAAGUAGAAAAGUAUAAAUUUAUAUCUGGCUAACAUUUAUGUCUUAGCAAGAGAAGCAUUCACAGUAAUACUUUGAAUGCCACAAGCUUCAGGUCAUGUUGAGCAUACCAUAGGCUGUUUAUUUCAUUAAGCAUUUAUGAGCUUGUUUCCUAUGGGAUGUUCAACAUUUUACUUUUUAUAUGGGAUGUUCAACAUGCAUAUAGUUUUGACCUAUAUAUACACUAUACUAUAGUCUGCUGAGAUUUGAUACUGUCAGAAUUGAAAGAUGAAUUAUGAAAUGCAUCAAGCAUUUGAGUGCUAUAAAUGCCUGUUCUGAAUAUAUUCCACAAGGCAUUGAUUCUAUUUACAACUUUAUUCAAAUUGAUAAUAGAAAGUAUUAUUUUUUUGUUGUGCAUUCUGUUUCUUCCACUGUAAUUCAUGUCACACUCAUUAACAAUCUAAGCAAAAAUUAUUACCUCUUUGUGUUGGAUUGUAAAUUUGUAAUACAUAAUAUGUCUAAAUACAAAUUUGUUAUAUAUAUAAUUUGUUCUCAAUUUUUCUUCUAAAAUGAAUAAAAUUAUCCUCUCUUAUAAAAACCCAUCUAAUUGAAUGUAUCCUCAUUUGAUUACUUAGGUUGAGAGUGCAAUUAGGAGUAAACAUGCCAGCUCAAGCUAUUAGCAAAGUUCAUGAGGAUAAAGUGGAUGCAUCAGAAGUUGAGCUUUUUGAGGUUUAUGAUGUGGUUCUCUACAUGGGCAUAAUUGAUAUAUUGCAAGAAUACAAUAUGAAAAAGAAAAUUGAGAAUGCAUGCAAAUCACUGAAAUUUGACCCCCACACUAUAUCAGUAGUAGAACCUAAGAUAUAUGCUCAACGUUUUAUCAAUUUCUUGGAUAAAGAGGUUUUCCCACACAAUGCCUGAAUAUGUAUAACAAUGUAAGUAAUUGUUACACUGGAAGAGUGUUUUAUUUUAUCAGCUUAGUUUUCAAAUUCUUUUAUUUAUUUGUAUUCUAUCUAAAAUUAAUAUCAUCUAUUAAUAUCAUAAAGAUUCAACUAAGCUUUACAGGUUGUGAUUCGUUCUUGACAGUGGUUAAUUAGAUUGGUGUAUAAGGCCAUUGCAUUGCAUUGCUUCUGUAAUUAAGACAUGAUCUUGUUGUAAGGGCUUGAUACCUUUAACAAAUUUUGAUUAUCGGGAAAAAGGUAAUGAAGUGAAAUAUUAAUAACAAUUGAUAUUUGCUUAAACAGAGUUUAUGAUUUAUGUUCUAAUAAAAACUAUAAAAUUGUUAGAAUAUUCAAUCUACCAAAAAAAUCAUUAGCAUUCAUUUCCAUGAUGGAUAAAAUCCCGCCUUUGACUUGUCAGAAUUUAGGCUAGUCCGACCCGACUCUUAUUGUUAAAAAGACUCAAAAUGUCAAUCCGACCCAUAUUUGGCAGGAUUGACAGACCAGCGAGCUAACUCGUUUUUUUUCUUUCCAAAAAUACACAUUAAGGUUUAUAGACAAAAAUAAAUAAUUCACAUGCCUCAUAAAUGUAUUUUAAAACAAAAAUCACAAACAAAAGACACAAUCUCAUAAUAACAUAUCGCCUUAGUUCAAAACUUAUAAUUCUAAACAAUAAAUCAACAUAGUCUUAAACUUUUAGACUCCUAGUUCACAAUAAAAAUUUUAACUUCUAAGUUUUACAAAAUGUAUAAGAAUCAAAACUAUUAUAUUAUAAAUCAGUCACAUAAAGUAUACAUAUUACUCAAUUCAAUUUGAAUUCAACUACAUUAAAAAUAUAAAUUGAAACACAUUCGAAUUCAAUUAAUUUUCCAAAAGGAAUCAAAAUCACUAGUUCUGUUUGAGUUUCUAAUUUUCCAUUUCAAUUAAUUAAAUGUUUAUAUUUGGUUCAAACACCCCUAAUUGUCAAUGAAGCUUCAUCUUUAUCUGACAAUAAGUACAAUAAUUGGAUAAGAGUGAAGAUCAUAGAUAAGUACAGAAUGAGAUAUUAAAUAUUCAUUUUGCAAGAAGAAAGAAGAAUUACAUGCUUAUAGCAUCCAAACAUAAACUAAAAUUGUACAAGUUUAAUUUUAAUUGUAAUGAGCAACAUGAUAAGCAAAUGUACUUUAAUCUUCAUGUAAGCCCGAUGGGCUAGCCCAAACCAACCCUCCAUGACUCGUCUGAAAAACGAACGUCUGAAACGGGUUGAAUACGGACUUUUGGGCUAAAACCCCCAACCUACUAAAAAUAUCUUUUCGAACGGACUGGUCCGUCAGACCAAGCUGAUUUUGCCAUUCCUAAAUGUUUGUUUGAGGACUUUGGCAUCAAACAUACAUUUGAAAAGGGUCAAGUCCAUAUUAAUCAGAUUAUAGAUUUCCACAAACAUUCUCUUUAUUAUAAAACAUUCUUUAUUAGCAAAAAUCUAAUAAAAUUGAAUAAUGACAUGAAUACUCCAUAGGUUAUCUGAAUUAGGGGUGAGCAGUACCUGAUCUUACCCGCUCAUUCUAUAUGACCCAAUUAUGAUCGGAUCCGAAUAAAGUUGGGUUUCAUCGGAUUAAGUUUGAGUUCAAAAAUUAGACCUGGUUAAUAUUUACAGUCGGGUAGGAACCAAAUAUGAUUUAUACUGACUCGUCUCAUGGUCAUUCAAUAUGUUUGUAUGCGUCUCUAUGCAAAUGACGCAACCAAGAUUUAGGGUUGGGUAAAAACAAAUCUUAACUCAUCUCAAGCUCACUCCUAAUUAUUUGAACAUAGAUCGUCUGUCCUUAAUGUUAUCCUUAUUCUCUCUUCCAGAUUGAUCAAAUUUUAACAAUUAAUAGAAAAAAAUUGUUUUUUAUUUUAAAGUUUUUUCUAUUGAUAUGAGAAUAUCUAAUUAAUCCUAGAGAAUAAAUAUCAUAGCCUUUGCUAUAAGUGUUCUAUUUUCAAGUUAUCUAGGACAAUUCCCAAGAAAAGAAGAAAGAGACAGGAGAAUAAGCACAUAUAUAACUGCUACAGGAUUUAGAAUCAGGUUUGUUUCAACUUUAGUGCCCCACCUCAUAAAAGAAACAUGAAAACUAUGAGGAACAACCAACAUAGGAAGAAAAGGACAAGAGUAAUGUAUGUUACUUUUCUGAACUGCCAAAAUGAAAACAAAAACCAACUGAAUAAAGGCGUUACCCUUGAACAGUGUCAUCAUCACUACCCUAAAAAAGCUAAUAACAAUCACUCACUAAUCAUCAUCAAAGAUGUGUAAUUAUUUGAAGAGAUUGAACUUAAAUGAGAGGUGAUUAGAAAAAAAUUACGAUGAUGAUAAACAAAGGCACUGUGGUCAUUAUAAAAGAGUAUUACAUCUAAAGUUUAGAAUUUAUAGCAAAGUUUAUGUACAUUAAGUUUGACAACUUUUUCAUGCAAGAAAUGAAUCUCAUCAAACUUGUUGUAUAAGGCAAAAUAUAUAUUUCUAGAGUAGUACUCUAAUUAACCCAUAAACAUAUUACGAAAUACCCUACUUGCUAAAAUUUGAAAUGCAAGUCAAGGGCUGCUAUAUAUGGAGACAUAUAAAUCAUAUAUUAUUGAAUUGUGAUUUUGCAUCAAACGUGUCGGUGGAUUAAUAUUAUAGGUGGCUGGUGUUCAAUUUGUUUUAUAUUACAGGAUUAGAUCAUUCUAUUCAGCACCUAUUUGUGUAUCCCAUAGAAUAGUGGGUCAAUUUUAGAGAAUGUUUUAGUUUGUAAUAGUUUGGAUCAUUUGGUUGGAUGGUAAUUUUCCAGAGUAAACUCAUAUGUACUCAUACAUGAUAGAUUUAAUUCAAGUUGGAUUUUGAAUGUGAUUUUGGUUUAGGUUGCCUCCAUGACUUUACUCAAUGAUAUGUUAUAUGUGGUAAUCCUUAAUCAUGUAUCAUAUGAACUAUCUUCUUUAUAUCUUAAAUCUUUGUAACAUGGUUUGAUGAGUACAAUUUUAUAUAUGGAUGAGCACCCUUUUUUCUUUUUUCAUAUUACUUAUUUUUUUACACAAGUUAAAUAUCAAAUAAAGAUAUUAUGAAUAUGCAUUCAAUCAAGACUAGAUUCUGACUUCUGUCAAAUCAAUAACACUUUUGAUAUCAAACGGAUUGCCUAUAAAAAUAACAAAAUUCUCGAGGAUCCAAAUGCUUCAUAUACAGUUUUAUCAAAUAAGAAAUGACAUUGAUAUCAAACUGAUUGCCUCUGAAAAAAACAGCAUUCUUGAGAUAAAUGCUUCAUUUAACAGUUUGCCAAAUCUCUUGACUUUUCCUUUGAACAUUAUUACACACACAGACUCAUAUCAUAAAUUUAUAUCUACAAGAAUAGAAUUAUAGGAACAACAAAUCAUAUUUGUUGUAAAGAAAAAACAUAAUUCAUUACAAAAAUGUUCUACAAGUUCUAAGGGCAUCUUUCUGAGAUUUUACGAUACAUCAUGAAUCAAAUGAGUGUAAUAGACCUUCCAUAAAAUGAACCUGUUUCUUUUUUUAAAUUCAUUUAAAGAGAUAAUAUAUAUAUAUAUAUAUAUAUAUAUAUAUAUAUAUAUAACUGAAAUUAUUUUUACACCAUAGUUGAUCCAUUGAUGGAGAAAAUGAUAUAUGAAAAGGAAGGAGAGUGAAGAGGGAUGGAAUUAUUGAUGGUAAUGAAGCCUGAUCCGGAUUCACAUAAAUCAUUAGCAACAAAAUCCAGAAGCAUUCUUUGUUUCAAAGAUCCAAAAGAAGGAAACCCUAGAAAUGGAAGCUUCAAAAGAUCUUUGAGGCAUAAUCUAUAUAUGAAUUCGGAUCAGACAACAUUGCCAUGAACACCCAAACUCCAAUAAUAUGCCAUGGGGAGAUAUCUCACAUUCGUGAAGGAAAAAAAAACUAUAGAGCCAAUAAUGAUAUGAAUUACUCUGAACCUAAAACAUUCUUGAUCUCUAGAACUUGGCAGAACGCCUCUUUAUAUAUGCAGAGGGAGAGUAAGAUAAGCACUGAAAAUGUGAUACUUUUGUCUCAACUCUGAUUGAAACGUGUAUACCUUGGGAUUGGGAAAAACUAUGGGCUCAGACCACCGUUUAUCACAAAUACAAAUGCUUUUCCACACAUCUAAAUUUAGAUAGGUAGAUAUUAAUGUUUAUUUUUGUAAAAUGAAAUUAAAAUAAAAUAUUAUUUUUUAUUUGUCUGCAAACUUUUAUCUAGUCGGAUAGAAAAUUUUAAUUCCAUUUGUAAGACUGAGAUUGCAACUAAGAGGAGGGAAAUUAAUUGACUAAAAAUUAUGACUAUUUUUUCUGCAAAAUGAAGAGUUAUAGUGCAGCGGAUAAUAUUGUAGAAAAUAAACAAGAAGAAAUCAAAGAGGUAAGGGAGAAGAGAGUACACAAGAAUUUUAUACUGGUUCACCUUCUUGUCCAACGAAGGCUACGUCCAGUACUCUUGCUUGCAGCACAAUAGAUUUUCCACUAAAUAUUAUGAGUUGUAAUUACAAUAUCUCACCCCGAGAUCUCUAUGUACCUUACACACUCACUAAUACUUAUACUAUUAGAAAACACAUUUCCAAGUAACUCUAUCCCCUUUCUAUUCACACCCCGUGAAAGAAAGUUAUUACAAUGAAUAGAGAAUUUGAAUGAUGGCUUUGGAUUGCCUUUACAAGUAUGAAAUAUAAUAACACUUGCAAUCCAAUCAACUCUUUUGUAUACUUAAUAAUAAUGUUCUUUGAGUUUAUAAAAGUUUGAAACACUUUACUUUGAAAGUUUGAGUGCAAGUGCUUAAAAGUGCAGAAAAGUGUAGGAAAGUUGUGAGAAAAGAAUUAAAGAGUUUUUCAAAAGGUUGUUUUCAUUGUGAGUUCUAAUGCAUUUAAAUAUGCUUUCCAAUCAGUCUUUGUUCCUUUAUGAAAGAGUAGAAAUUGUUUGGAAUGAAGACAUUUCGUUUGGGAUGAAAACUCUUGAGUUUCAAAUAUGAAAAACUGAUGUAACAUCUCUCAGUAACCGAUUACAGCAUUGAGUAAUUGAUUACCCAAAUGUUCUGUCCAACAGUGAAUAAUCGGUUACUCAAAUUUGAAUAAUCGAUUACUCCAAUUCAAAUAUUGUUGGAUAAUUGAUUCUCACUCAUGUAGCAUGUUACUCAAAUUUCAAAAACGUGUUAGACAUUAUUUUAAAAAAUGUUUUCAUUUAAAACUUAAAGAUGACCACUACUAUACAAGGGUCACCAGCUAUUUCUGAUUCAAUUUUAUGUGAACUCCUCACAUCCUUCAUUGUAUAUAUUAUUUAUAUAUUAAUAUGGAUUGAUAUUUUCAAAUAAUGUAACACAUAUAAAUAAUAGAUAAUAUGUAUAUAUUCAUUAAAUUAUUCCAAUUGAAAAAAUGAUCAAAACUUGUCUUUCUUCUAUAAAAUUUGGUGUUUGUAACACCUUAUAAAAAAAAUGUCUCUUCAUUGAUGAUGCAGUUAGCCUUAGCACACAACAUAAAAUACUUAUAGACACAUAAAAAGGAGAGUAUAAUAUGGAUGUGUAAAGAUUUAUAUACAAUCGGUGCAUUAUUCACAUUUCAUUUGAAUUACUUUUUCUUAAAAAAUCAAUCUUGAUUAAAAAUGAAAGAUAAAUAAUGUAAUAACAAUGUAAGAAAAUCUUACACUUAUACACCUUUUUCUCUCAAAAAUAUAUUUAACAAUGCAAUUUACCAAAGAGAAUUUAGAUCUAGUCAUUGGGGAAAGACACGUGAUCAAAGUAGCCAGGUGUAAAAUAUAUAUAGAUAUGUUGUCUCACAUCAUGUCUCCUAUCUCGUGCCAAUGAAAAAAUAUUAUAUCAAUUAAAAUUUUAAAUAUUUAUUAUUAUUGUUUUUACUUCAUUAUCAUUCGCUCAUAACAACAUAUGAAACAUGAUUUAUAAGAUAACAUAUUUCCAUCAAAUUAACUUGAAUGAGGCAGGGUAUGAGAUCAUAUAUAAAUGGUUUUACUUAAAAUCAAGUAGCUUUCUUUGUUUUAAAAAUCACAACACUCUUAGUGAUAUGCAAAAUUAUUGAAUGUUUAUAUAAAAAUUCUAUCAAAUAUAAACUCUAAAAAUAUUCAAGUUGGUUCAAUAUUCCAAAUGAAACUACCCAUUUCAGACCAAAAUAUAUAGAUUUGAUUCAUACUGAGUGCAGAUUAUAAUAAUCAUUUCAUAAAACACAAAAUAUAAUUACUUGUAGCUUGUACUACUAGACCCAUACAAAGGUCUAUAAAUUCAAAAGGUCGAACAUAUUUUAAAAGGCACAUUUAUUAUAUGGUGAUCAAGGAUACAUGAAUGUACAUUCAUCCUAAGUAGAAGCAUCAUUUGGUUUGAGAAGAAUGGCACCAAGUCCUAUCUCAUUGUUGGGUAUAAAGUUGUUGCCAUUGUUGGACAGCAAAACCUCCUCCUCGUAUGACUCAUUUUGUUCCAUGUCACAUUUUGACAAUAAAAGAAGUUGUUUUUGAAACAUCUCCAUUGGUGUCAUGUUCUUGAGAACCAUUCUUGAACGUUUUCUUGUUGGUAUUUUGAAGUUCAAUAAAUCACCUAUGAAAAUGAAGAUACAAAAUAUUACAAACAUUUUAAAAAUCCAUAGUAUAGAUCUUAAAGAAAAAGUUAAUUUAUAACUAUAUCCAUUACCAAAAACUUUCAAUUUGCCUCUGCUCUUCAUUUCCUUCAGAUAUUUGUGGUGUUGUUUUUGCUUGCAGUGCUUGGGAACAUAGUUCUUAAAAGUUCCCCUUCUCAUGUAUCUCGUUCCGCAGGCAUUGCAUAAUGUUGGAUUCUCCUUUGGUCCUUUACGCCAUAGUGGAGUACCUGAUCAUGAUCAAAACACGUUACUUUAAUUUGCAUUGUAAGAACUAAGUUUAUAUCAUUGUCUUGGUUACUUUAUAGUUUUAUUUAUUUAUAGAGGGACAUUUUAGUUCUUAAGAAUUGUAGCUGCUUAUUCUGCUGAAUCUAUAGAAAUGACAUAAUAGUUCAUAAGUGUUGUAUCUACUUAUUUUAUAGGAUUUUCUUAACUUUAGCCCUUAUAUAAGAGUCUAUAACAAG
Molecule: long non-coding RNA, 97588 nt
Filed under: Lupinus angustifolius (narrow-leaved blue lupine)
Lineage: Eukaryota; Viridiplantae; Streptophyta; Magnoliopsida; Fabales; Fabaceae
Description: long non-coding RNA (LANG_LNC001996)
Source: RNAcentral